AUCCUUCAAUAACAAGCAUCUCCAAUGCAGGAAGGUGCUCUGGAAAUGUUCCUUUCAGUUUAGAACAUCUUAAAAUGUGAAGCUCUCUCAAUUUAGGAAACCGUUCAACUCCCUGACUGGAUCCAUGAGGAAUCCAGUCUUCCCAUUCUCGCAUGUUUUCAAAACGAAGAGUCUCCAAACAUGGAGGAUCAUUCCCACAGAACUCUGAACCCAACCUUUUUACUCUGCUCAUUCCACGCACUGUAAGAUGCUUUAGAGAGGGCAGUUGCCCGACAGACGGCAGGGCAGUACACAUGCCGCAAUCUUCAAAUUCAAGUGUUACUAAAUUUGAGAACAAGGAAUCUCCUAACCAUGUUGGAAAUUUCAUACCUCCAUAGCCUUUGAUACAAAAUUGCUCCAGAUUUGUAUGAGGUUUUAGCAUGUCAAGCACGCCCAUUUCAGUUUCUGCCUCCCUUGAAGAAGAACCAUCGGUACUGCAAGUCCAUUUAAGCGAUAAUUCUUUCAGAUUCUUCUUUCCAUCCAUUUGAGCCUCCAUGGCAUCACCAACGCAUUUUACAUUCUCCAAUUUUGAAAUGCUAAGUGUCCCAUGAAGGUGCGUCAACAACUUUAGCUCUCGUAAACCGGAACCACUGCCUUUUCCCACAACAAAAUUACACAACGUCUGAAGACUAGUCAACCUACCAAUUCCUACUGGCAUUUCCUCCAACGACUUCGUAUUUGAAUUCUUAAGAUGAUGCAAUUUGAUGAGGUUCCCCAUGUCUGCACACAACUUCUUCAGCCGAUCACAAUCUUCCAACAAAAGACUAUGCAAAUUGUAAAGCUUGUUGACUGAUUCAGGCAGAGUUCUAAUCUCAGUUCUAGACAGGUUAAGGUACCUUAAAUACCUCAAAUCACCAAUUGAAUCUGGCAGCUCAGGGAUGCGGUAUCCACGCAAAGAGAAGACCCUCAAGCGUUGAAGUUUGAGCAACUUAGGAAGAAUGCUAGGAGCCAAGUAGCCAGGCCAUCUAUUUGUCAACAUUACUGGUAAAAAAGUUCUCAAAUGUUGGAUAUCAUACAAGUCCCCAAACCUUUGAACGCCAUCAUAAUCUCCACAAAUGUAUGAUAGAUGACGAAGAUUUCUGGAAAAACAUUGUUGCUUGUUAACCUCCGAGGUAUACUCCAGUGUGAAGUAUGUCUCCCCUGCAGCCCAACGGGCAAGGUCGUUGAUAAGAUCGUGCAUAACAAAUAGUGAUGCAUCGGUGGCCGAUUGCUGGAAAAAAGAUCUUGAACAUAGCUCCUUAAAGAAAUCACGACCUAAAUCUUCACUAGGAUUCUCAUCUUCUUUGUGAUCCAAAAAACCGGAGGCACACCAUAAUAAAAUUAUCUCCUCCUCUUCAAAUUCAUAAUCCUUUGGUAACAAUGAGCAGUAUGCAAAGCAUUGUUUCAAAGUUGGAGGAAGAUAAUAAUAGCUCACUGCAAGGGCUGGUAUAAUGCGACACCUCUGUUCUGGUAAUUCCCAUAUCUUGCUACCGAGCACACCUUCCCAUACCCGUCUGUCAUGUCUUCCACGUAAUAGUCCUCCAAGUGUUUGUGCAGCUAAGGGCAAGCCAUCGCAUUUGGUCACUAUCUUCUUGCCAAUUUCCUCCAAUAACUCAUGCGGCCCCAGAGAAUGUUGAGCGAAUAUAGCUAGACAGUCAUUAUCUGACAAUUUUUUUAAUGGAUGAGGUGGAAGAGUCCCCAUGAUUGUUGCAACAUCCUGAUUGUGAGUAGUAACAAUAAUCUUACUUCCCUGUGCACCAGCUUCAAAUGGAAGGCUGAGCUGAAUCCAAUCAUCGUAACUAUCAUUCCAUACGUCGUCUAAAACAAGCAAAAAUUUCUUUCGAGACAACUGCUUCUUUAGCUCCUCUUGAAGAAAAUUUAAAUCAUUAUUAUCAACAGUCUGCUUAGUAAUGGAGCUUAGAAUUGUUCUUGUUAGCCUGAUAAGAUCAAAAUCAUCAGAGACACAAGUCCAUGCCUUGAGAUCAAAAUGAUCCUCCACUUGCUUGUAGACAAGCUGAGCAAGAGUGGUUUUACCCAGCCCGCCCAUACCUAUAAUGGGAAUAACUGCGAAUCCACCAUCCUUUCUUGAAUCAUCCUUCAACAACAAUUCAACAAUUUCCUUCUUUUCUGUUUCCCUGCCAUAUACUUUGGCUUCCUCCACCAAAGAGGUUGUCUCUUGCCUUUGCCUGGCUUUUUUGGACCCCCCAGCUAAACUUUUUAUCAAAUUCAGCGAGCGUAUUCCUUCUUCAAUAUCUUGAAAUCUGUCGUUGAUCUUUUUGAUUUUGGACAUCAAGGCGAAAUCGAACUGAAUCGAUUGUAGAGUAAAAGUGGUACAGCAAGUAGGAAUGAGCUUCCGAAACUUACUCUUCGUGCUUGUACGACUGCUGCUGGGUUGAUCAUGAGCAGCAGCUGGUUCUCCAUUUCCAAGCAGCAACUUCCUCCGGAAAGCCUCAGUUUGGAACUCAUCCAACAAGUCUUCAACGUCAUAAGCCAAGUUCUGAAGCUCGCCAAGCCACAACUUCACAUAAUCAUCAGUCGUCUUCUUCUCCUCAGCAUCAUCAAGCACCGCCUUGAUCGUCACCAACUUAUUCUUCCACUUCACUAGAUCGUCUUUGAUUCGACCUUGGCGUGCAAAACGCAGAAUCCCCUUUGAAGCUAACUUAUUGACCAGCAACUCAACGGACGCCGUCAGGAUUGCCUCUCCGAUGAUUGACAUUUUUUCUUUUUUCUUUUUUUUUGGGUUUUUUUGGACAAAGAAAAAAACUAAAUUAUGAGUUUGUGGAAAGCAAAAUGAGAAAAGUGAAUAAGCGGAAUGUGUUUGUGAUUGUGUCUAGCAAGCCUAGAAAUCAAGAAAAAUCCACCGUAAAAGUGAAAAGUAAAACGGAGCCCACCACAAAUAUAAAAUCAGAGGAGCACAGAAUAAAAAAAAAAACAAAAGAAAAGAAAAAGCCAAGCCAAGAAUCAUAUGCCAUUGCUUUACAUAUUAAAUUAAAACAAAAGCCAUGCCAGGAAUCCUGCCUUUGCUUGAUAUUUGACAAGAUUAAUUGGACAUUACACAUUAUUUCACAGAGAAUAAAACUUGUAAAGAACCAAACCCAUCAAACCCUUUCUUUAUCUUAAAUGUCAGAAAUAUAUAAUUAGCUUGGAAUAAAGCUAUACUCUUCUCCUUUUUCCAUUUCUACAGGUUCAUAUAGGCAUAUCAUAUGGAUUUUGUUUUAUGCUAGGUAAUUAUUAAUUUAUAUAAUAAUAUAUUUCCCUCAAAAUAUACUAUUUGAAUUUGAAAUAAUUUUUUAAAAUAAUUUAAUAUCACAAUAAUAGUCAUGAUUCAAUUCGGUUCAGUUUAAUUUUUUUAGAGAAAAAAUUUGAGAAAAUAGACAAAUAAUGAAGACGCAAUUGAAGCACAGCCAAUAAACAGGGUAAAGUGAAUUGCGUCCUGUCCUUGAGCACUCAAUUCUCUUCAAUCUCAAAUUUAUACGUACAUUUUUGUAAAUUCAUGUCAUAUACUAGAGUCUUUUGGGUUCUGUUACAUCAAUUGUUUCGUGUCUAUCUUGUUUUAUUAAUUUAUGGAGCAAGAUUGCUAGUAGCGAUAAACCUGGAAUAAAACGAUUUAUUUAUUUUAUAUAUAUAUUGCGUUGUUAUCAGCAAAAAAUAUGAUGGGUUUCGUUUGUAACAACUAGCUAAUUGCUUAAUACAUUUUUGUACUUCUCGUCAUGAAGUCACGAGGAACUUGUAAAUAAGAUCAUAGACGUGGUACGAUGUGACGUGAUAAAUUUAAAUCAAAUCUAAACUAAGAUGGUUCAUAUAUAGGUACAUACUGAAUAAAGAUAUUUAAAGCAUUCAAUUUUAUGACAUACCUAAUAGUCAUUGGCUUAUUGUUAUUAAAGGAAGUGAAUAGAAAUAGAUGUAGAAAGUGAAAAAGAUGAACUAGCGCACAUGAUGAUUUCUCAGAUAAAAAGUUAAAUUUAUAUUCUUUUUUUUAAUAAGUGUGAGAUGAUUUACACCCUAAAAUUUAUUUUGAACACUCAUAUUUUUAUUACAAAAAACCCCAUAGUUCAAUUUACUGGUAUGGACAAUUCAAUAAAAAUACAUAGAACAAUAAUACUUUUGACACCCAUCUGGCUAUAUUUAACAAGUUUGCACGCACAGACUCUAUGAUUCUAAUUUCUUUGACUUGGUUUUAGUUUUUGUUGAAUAUAUAUCUACCUAUAUAAAGUGUUAGUGAUUUUUCACUUCUCUACCAAGGAGAUUCUACACGAAUAAACAACCGCAGAAAAAAAAAUAUAAAAAACCUGAUACAGGUGAAGAAGAUAUUCAUCAUAACAGUUUUUUAAAGUUGAUGAGUCCAAAUAUCCAAUAACUGAUAAAUUGUGUUAAGAAAUAAAAAAUAUUAAUAGUGAUGACACAAAGGAAGUCCCGUGUUUUGAGUUUGACUAAAAUAAUCUGAAUAAUUUAAAAUAAUCGAUCAGGCCAAAUUGCUGAAGAGAUGAACGGCCUCUGUUUUUUACCAUAAUACUAGGAAUUGACUUCAAUUGGGAAGUCAGGCCAAUCGAAGGAGCUCCCCUGUUUCUGACUGAAACAUAAUCCUAACAAUUUACAAUUAAAUAAAUCAUUCAAAAUUUCUCCUUUAAUCGAACCCCCACUUCUAUGACUUAAUAAAAUAUUACAAAAGUUCUUAAUACAGUGAAAUUAACGUUCAGCUCAUGAAGUCGCCAUUAUAUAUAUUGAAAAAGAGAUUAGUACAAGACAUUGAAAAUUAAUUGACAUUGAAUCACGUUGGAUCCUUAGUUGUUAAUUAUGAUCUUGGUCUUUUAAUUAUCAUCUAGCCAACGCAGGUCCACUAGUUUCAUUUGUGUCAAUCACUGAAAAGUAGAGCUUUAUUGAACACCGCAUAUUACAGAAACUCACUCGAUUUUCAUUGCCAUACAUGUAGCUCAAAAGUACAUAUUAUAUCAGUGAACAUGGAACAUUCAGCUAACCUAUAACAAAUAUAAUAAAAUCUCAAUAAAUUAAUAGUUCUGGGACCAAUGAAAAAUUAGUUAAAAUUUCAUGAAUAUCAAUUAGUCGAUAAGUUAAUAAAUUAUUAAUUUAUGAAAAUAUUCAUUAUUUUGGAAAAAAAUGAUUACGUUUAUAGUAUUGAUUUACGUUGAGUUAGAAUCUAUUAUUUUUUAUUUGAAUAUUAAUUUUCUUUUAAGAAGAUUUUUUAAUAGUUAACUACUUUAUAAUAAGACUAUUGUAUGAUUUUUAUUUUUCCAUGUUAGAGAUGAUAGUUCUGCUAUGCAAGCUGUUUCGAUCAAAGGAUUAGAUGAUAUUGACAUUGAAUAAUUUUUUGUUGCAAAAUGACAACACCAAUUAGAAUUUCUUUUCGCAUUACAAAAGAAAAAAAUGAGAUCCAAUUCUAAAUUAAUUUAAAAAGAAAUAAACGAUGCUGAGAAUAAAUUUUACACAAGCCAUAUAGACAUAUCAUAUGGAUUUUGUUUUAUAUUAGGUAAUUAUUAAUCUAUGUAGUAAUAUAUUUCCUUCAAAAUGUACUAUUUGAUUUUGAAAUUAUUUUUGAAAAAUUUAAUAUCAUAAUAAUAGUCAUGAUUCCAUCGGUUUGAGGUUUUUUUUUUUUUUUUGGUUUAAGAAAAAAGAUGGGACAAUAGUCAAAUGAUGAAAACACAAGCUAAGCAGAGCCAAUAAACAGGGGAAAGUGAAUUACUGUCCUUGAACACGUUCUCUAAUAAUCUCAAUAUUCUACGUACAUUUUUGUAAAUUCAUGUCGCAUACAAAAGCCUUAUGGGUUUUGUUGCAUCAAUUCUUUGGGGAUUUAUCUUGUUUUAUUAUUUUGCGACGCAAGAGUCCUCGAAGCAAUACAUUUGGAAUAAAACGAUUCAAUUUAUUUUUCGUUGUUAUUAACAAAAACUAUAUAUUAUUAAUUAAUCAACUCAUCGAGAUAUUGGUUUCAUUUGUAACAAGUAGCUAAUUGCUCAGUACAUUGUUGUACUUACUCAUUAUCAUAUCAAGACGAACUUGUAAAUAAGAACAUAGACGUGGUACACUGUGAUGUGAUAUAUUUAAUUCAAAUCUAAAUUAAGAGAUGAUUCAUAUAUAUAGGUACAUACUGAAAAAAGAUAUUCAAACAUAAACACUCCAUUUUAUGAUAUACCUAACAAUAAUCGGUUUAUUGUCCAUAGGAAAUGGAGUGAAUAGAAACAGAUGUAGAAAGUCAAAAAGAUGAACGAGCGCACAUGACGAUUUAUAAAAUAAUAAAUUAAAUUUAUAUCGUUUUUAAUAAGUGUGAGAUUAUUUACAUUUUCAAAUUUAUUUUGAAUGCUCUUAUUUUUUACUACAAAACCUCAUAAUUCAAUUUACUAUUAAGAGCAAUUCAAUAUAAAUAAAUAGAACAAUAAUACCUUUGACACCCACCUAGAGCGCACACACCCAUGUAAAAUUAUUAAACCUUAAACCGAAGAACAUUCUUCCUCAACAUUAAAACUCGUGCAUUAUUUAAAACCAUAUUUAACAAAUUUUCACAAAGAGACGCCAUGAUUCUAAUUUCUUUGACUUACAUUUCAAUUUUUGUGGAAUAUAUAUCUAUUCCAUAUUAAGAGAUUCUGAAUCUUUCACUCGGCUGUCAAGGAGAUUGUACUGAAUAAACAACAGCAGAAAAACAAAUAAAAAACUUGAUACACGUGUAGAAUAUACUCAUUAAAUUUUAAUUUUCGGCACAAUUAUGAGCUGCAUAUUUAUACACACACACAAAUAACUGUUCUGCAAAUAUGUACAAAUCAAUUUCAGCCAUCCAACUUUUUUUCGAAUUUUAAUGAAUAUAAAUUUUAUAAGUUGGGCAACUAUGAAACAUAAAAUUAGCAAAAUGAUAUUAUUAACAAAUAAGGAGAGCAAAAGGUAAUUAUAUCUUGGUGUGCUAAAUAUUUUUAUGGGUGUAGUGAAAAAACUAAAGAUAAUGGAAGAAAUGUUAUUGAGGAGUAAGUGAAAAGUGAUUUCCUAAAAUCUAUUAACUAAUGCGCAAAAUAGAAGGGCAUUUUGAGAAAAUUUUAGAUUAAAAAUAGUCCCAUCCUUUUAAUAAUAUUCUUCAAUCAAUCUGUUUAUUUCAAAAUAAAAAUCCAUCUCAUUUUUACUUUCUAAUUAGUCAUAUUAAUGUGUUAAUAAUUACGAAGAACCAGUAUUAUUUGUAUGAUGUAGGAAGCCCUUUCGACACAAUAACCCAAAUUUCUAAGAGUAGCGGCUGGACUUGAUUGGGAACAACUUCGAUUCAGUUUAAAAGGUUAAUCUCAAAAUUUCGUGAUAUUGUGCCUAAAGAGCUUCCUGCAUCAGUAUAACAGUUUCUAAAUUAAUAUAAUUGUGUGUUCAUUUUUUAUGAUUUUCCUUUAAUUUUUUUUUUAGAAACUGUUGUUCUUCAAUAAUUAUUCUAACAAUGUUGCUUUAAAGUGAUGUUGAUACGGGAGUCGAUGAGUCUUUAUCUGAAACAAAAAUUUACAAAAAAAAAUAUUAAAUUAAAAAAAAAGUACAUCAAAUAUUGGGCUCCCCCAAGUUUUACAUUUGUCUUCCACAAUGAGACAAGCCCUUUUUUCAAGUGAAGACUUUUGAUGUACAAUUUGUAAAGGAAAUUUGCCCCAUAUAAUUUUCCUUUCUACAACUUGCAAGCUUAUGUAAAUCAUAUCAACUUAAAAGAUUCCAAGAUUUGGUAUUUUGGUGAUUUGAGUAUCCAAUGGUGAUGACACAUACGCAUGGAAGUCCCCUGAUUUGAGUUUGACUAAAAUAAUCUGAAUAAUUUAAAACAACACAUCAGGCCAAAGUCCUUAAGAGAUGAACUGGAUUUCAGUGCAUCACAUUCCGAAAUUGAUACUAACCUUAACUGGGAAGGCAGAACAGCCUCUCUUUCCUACUGUUGCACAAAAUGGCAAGUCAAGCCAAUUCAAGGAACUUCCCUGUUUUUUACUGAAAAAUACAUAAUCUGAACAAUUUAUAAUCAAAUAAAUCAUUCAAAAUAUCCUUUAAUCGAACCCCCGUUUCCAUGGUUUAAUAAAAUAUCACAAAGGUGCCUAAUACAGUGGAAUUAACACUCAGCUCAUGGGAUUGCCAUUAUAUAUAUUGAAACAGAAAUUAAUACAAGAAACUGAAAAUUAGUUGACACUGGAUCACGUUGGAUCGUUAGUUGUUAAUUAUGAUGGAAAUAUAAUCUUGGUCUCUUACUUAUCAUCUAGCUAAUGCAUGUGCACUAGUUUUAAUUGUGUCUAUCACUGUAAAUAGUAGAGUUGCUUGAUUGAAUAGUAUCAUAUUACAUCACAGAAACUCGCUCAAUUUUCAUUGCCAUAUGUAUCUCAAAAGUGCAUGAACAUUGAACAUUCAGCUAACUUAUACCCAACAACAUCCAUCAGUCAGAGUGAAACCCCAAUUGAUUUCAUAAAUACAAAAUAAAUAACUCGCAAAGGCAAUCUUUGACAAUCACAAAAGCAACAACAAUUCACUCCAACAAACAACAUAACAAUUAUAUGGUCUAAAUUGCAGGUCUUUUUAUGAUUUUAAUUGAAAGAGAAAGCACGAGGGACAUAUUAUAUAUAAUUGAAUGUUAUGAUUGAUAAUUGGGCAAAAUAAUACUAAUCUAGCUAACUAGUCCAAUCAUCAUAAUAAUCUGAUUUUCAUUAUUUAAUUAUGUUCAAUCAUGUUAUUUUAAUAAAGAACACUGAACGCUUGAGUAUUUAUAUGUUCAACAACUUCGGCUAAAUUUGAAAAAAAAAAAGUAUUAAUUAUGAAUAGUAAUAAAUUACCCUACAAGCCACAUAUUGCGUACAUAUGCAGUUGCAACAAAUAUAUGUGUAAUAAAAAGAUCAUAUGUGCUUAGAAAAUGAAGCAUCAUUGAAUAAAUGGAAAAAAAAGAAAGAAAAUUAAAAUCAGCGUCCAGCGGAAAGAAUCCAUCUUUACGUGUUGCCUCCAAUUUGGUACAUCUAUCUGACUUUAAAAAAAUUGCAGUAGAAAUUAGAGCUCAUUUUUUUAGAUAUGGCUCAUAUACAAUACAAGUGUCAAGAUGUAAUUAGAGUUUACAUAUAUACACGUGUCUAAUUCUAAUUGACAGACAAACUAAUCAUAAAUACUCAGGUGUUUCUAAAUGAUUGAAUAAUGAUAUUGUAGUGACUUGAUUGCUUUGUUCUCUGAUUAGAAAUAAAUCACUGUCCAAGAACCUUUGUCAAGAUCUGUUCAAGUUGCAAUUAAACCAACACCAAUCUGAGGCUUCAAUGCUGAUUCACACCAUAGCUCUAGGUUAAUGGAGGUUGAAAACAGAAGAUUAAAUUGAACUAGAAGCAGCACACACUCACACAAAGAACAGGAUUUAACGUGGUUCGAUUAUGCAUAAAUGCACAAUCUACAUCCUUGGGAGAAGCCACAGAGCUAAUACAGAGGAGAUUACAAGGAACAAGAAGACUCUUUCUCUCUUUCUAAGAUCUCUCUGGAAAGCUCUCAAAAUCCUAUGCAAUGUUUUUCAACAACCAGCCUCUUUACACCCCUGAUAUUGAAACCCAGAUUGCAUAGCUUUUGGACGCGUGUAUAACGGCUUCAUAACGAAUUUGAUUCCCUUCUCACAUGCGGUCUCACGUGCUUCACUUAAACUUGCUCAAAACGACUGAAAGUAGCGUCGUUUUUCCUUAAGAUUAGUGAAGAAGAUAGCAUGUGUGUUGCACGUGAGUCGUAAGUGGAUUCGCUUACUCAAAACACAGCCGCUUUAGGGCUUCGAGUUUUGGAUUCAUGGCACUCUAGUCCAGAGAUAUUAUUGGUAUUUAUAAAUUUCAAAGUGGUGAUAACAGAUUCACAACAUAUUGGAGUUUUGGAUUCAUGGCACUUAUGGUUUCUCAUCAAAUAAUGUUAUAAAAAAAAAUACAUAAGUUAGAAGAUUCACAACAUAUUGGAGUGUAAUUUCCACUUGAGUGACAAUGAAUGAAGUUAUGUUAAUUUAGAUUAAGUACAAGCCUUCCUAAAUAGGAUUAGAAAUACUCUAUUAACAUAUCGAAUACUACCUUAGUAAAAAUUUAGUUGACAAAAAUUAAAAAAAAAAAAGCCUUGAAGGCUUGAAACAAUUAACACCAACUAAAUAAUUGUCUUACAUCACCAAUUUUUUUUUUUUCAUUUUAAUAAGACAUCACCACACUCCUGACUUUAUAAAGUGACUUUAUAAAGUAAAGCAUAAAAUAUAAUAGAGAAGUUUGAGUUUAAAAAAAUAAAGUUGGGAGAAUGACUUGUCACGCUGUCUUUGAUCAUUGAGCACACAAUUAUCUGAGAAAAAAAAACUCUAUUGUAUUUGUGUUUGUUGUAGAUUCAUGUCAUUUACUAGUCCUUUGGGUUUUGUUGUAUCAAUUCUUUGGUAAAUGUUUAUCUCGUUUUCAUUCUUUUAUGAUGUGAGAUUCCUGGUUAUAUUAGGAAUCAGAGUGAAAUCCAAUCUUAAAAUUUGGAGAAAUAAAACGUAAUAUGAUUUUUAAAAUUUAGAGAAAUAAAAUGUAAUAUGAUUUUUUAAUGAAUAAAACGAUUUAAUUUAUUUCUUUUCUACUAGUAAAAAUUAUUAAUUUAUUAACCCAUCAAGCUAUUGGUUUCAUUUGUAAGCUGGUCAGUCAGUUUUUUAUUUUGAGUUGUUAUCUUUCAAAAGAUAUUAGAAAAAUCUUACUUUGAGUGUACUUGAUCACUUCACUAAUUAUAGGGUAUUUACAAGUUAGAAAAAUAAAUUAUUUCUGGCCGAAGACACUAGAAAUUAAAGUUCAUAUGACUUUGUAAUACUGUUUGGUAAGUGAGAAAAUUGCCGAGAAAAUACAGAGCAAAUAGAAUCUUUAAGAAGAUCUAAAUUUCUGUAUUUUAUUGAUCUAAAAAAAUGAUACAAGCUCUUAUAUACAAUUGUAAGAUUCUACACACUCACAAUGAAAUAUCACGCUACUAGUAAUUAACAACCCUUAUAACAAACUCAACUGAUUCAGGCUGACUCCAGAGAAUGUCGAAAAGCGUUUGGCUAAUUUUUGUAUACACACACAUAACACAAAAUUAAAUUAGUUGGCAGCGUUGACAGUGAGUCGUUUUUGGCCAUCCAUAAGUUCACAUGUGCAUGGACAUCUGUUGCCAGCCCUUUCAUUAUUUUAAAUCUCCAUAACAUUAUUAGAGUCCCACAUUUAUCACACAUCAUUAAGUAGAAUGCGCUAAUUAGGAAGAGCUAGUUUCUUUGUUCUGUUUUCUUGCAUAUGUUGCAAUUUUCGAGUAUCACUGAAAAUUUUAGACCGUCAAACCUGCAGGAAAAUUAUAUACAUAUUCUAUCAUUCAACCUCAACAAAUAAAUUCUUUUCACUGGAAUCCAACAAUCGUUAAGUGUUAACCUUGUAGUUCUCAAGAGCAGAAAUUGUUGUAUUAAUUUUUUCAAAGUGUCUCUCUUAAAAGAACACUAAAGAUAGGAGAGUGAAAUUUCAACUGAGAUCUUGCCACAUAAGACGAUCGAUUUAAUCCGACAAAAUGUGCGUUAGGUUAAUAAGAGCCAAUACUGCCCUGAUCCUUUCUGCAUCUUUCUUCUAUCAGCGGACAAUCCUUGAUAUACAGUUGCAAGAGCGAGGUAGGCACGCUCUUGUCCAAAAAGUAUUUUGGCUUCGGACGAAUAUAAAGCCAAAGAUACACCAACGACGUGAGAUUUUGACCAAUUGAAGGCAGGCAUUCCAUGCUUUGGAAAUCAUAAAUCCACAAAAGGGUUCCUAACUCCUGUGGCGAAAUGACACCACGUCAUGAAGUCCUCCGAUUGACAGUCGUUGUAGAGAUGAGAAUCUGUUCAAUCCCCCUUCCCCCCCACCCCAUCGAUGGCUUCCAAAUCUUCAUAUCAUGAAUAUAAAGUGACUGAAGGUUGCUGGGAAACCUACCAUCAUCUGCCUCAACUGGGAAGCAAUACCAUAUAUGCUUGCCAGACCUCCUCUGUUUCAUUCUUGAAGACUGUGCAUGUCCUUGGGUAAGGCCUCUAGCUUAUCACACCACGUUAUCCGGAGCUUAGACAGUUCCGCAGAAGGCAAUCCUCCUUCAGGAAAGGGUCAUUUCAAUAAAAGCACAGUACAAUUGCUUAACUAAUUUUUUGAAAACAGAGAUAUGAGAGAUUGACAAUUUACAAUUGCUUAACUGCUCAAGAAGAGAGCACGCUUGAAUUAUGAAAUACGAAAAAGAGAGCACAAAUGAAAAAUCUUAAGGAAUCAGCAGGAUUCACAUCCGACCAACUCCACGCUGCUAAAGCAAAGGAUUAAUUUUUGAGAAAUUGUAAAGAAAUUAAUACAAGUGAAAUGAGAGCCUGUUCAUUUGAUUAUUGGCCAAGGGUGAUUUCAAUAACGUUUUCAAAGAAGAUAUAGGACAAAGAUCAGAACGAAAAAUAAGUAAUUUCAGUCGUUGAAAAAAAAGAGCAAGCUUCACACAUGCAUGCAUGUGUCGGACCAACAGAACAUGGCUUGUGUCAAGGAUCAAUCAAAGACAUAUAAACUCAGUUUUAUAAAGUAAGCAUCAAAAUGUUUGACAAGUUUUAGAUUUGUAGAAUAUUGGGAAAGCAGACAAAUAAUCAAUGAAGACACUGCAAGUUAAGCAGAUCAAUUAAACAGAGGAAAUAGCUGAUCAAUUCUUUGUGCAAUGGCCACAGCAACUGUGAGGUUAUAAGUUGCUGAUGUGUUGGGCUUCAAUACAAGAUUCGAAGAGUUCUUGGGGCUGUGUGAAGACUGACUUCAGUUGGAGGGGUCUUAUUGUAAAUUUUAUGCUGAUGUGGCAGAGUUCGUUGAGAAUUCGUUAUGCCUUUUCCAGAAAUAUCAGAAUAAAAGGCGCUGGUGAUUAGCCCCUGAUCUGAGAUCAAUAUCUUCUUCAUUUCUUGUUCAUUUUGUUGGAAAUUUGGUUCUCUGUGAUCCUUGUAAUUGCCUCUUCAUAAUCAACCUGUAUCUAGAUUGUUAUGAUCAACAAAAGAGCAGUUGUUUCCUUCAUUGAUUUGUGUACUUGAAACAGUGCUCUGUGUUCUAUUCUUGGAAUUGCUUUCUUGUUUGGUUGAUCUGGUUUGAUUCUUUCAAGUCCGAUUCAUCAAGUUCUUCACGAAUUAACUUGUGUAGCCAUUAAAGUUUCAACAGCAACAGAUUAAAUAUAUCUACAAGACUACAUUAAUCCUAAUGGCAUGGUAGCAUCUCCAUGCAACAUUACAUUAACAUUUCAUCAUCAAUCAAUUUUGAUGAUAUGAUAUUAAAAACAUUGACUUCAUAAUUUAACAUAUAAAGAAAAAGUAAUACUUAUUUGAUGAGUAUGAUAGACAGCAAAUAUGGAUCAUGCAAUAAUGAAACAUGUAUUUAUAGAAAAAUGUUUGGGAGUAAAAUGAUGCUAUAAAGUUUAAUAUUAGUUGCAAGAAAAAAAAAUUGGCAAUUAAGAUUAACAGAUACAUAUGCAAUGCUUCGAGUUUAUUUUAUGACUUCCGUAACGAUUUUGUAACUACAUAUUGAUUAGAAGUUCGAUUAAUUUUGACCAAAAACUCUAGAGCAAGUCGAAAAGAGAUUUGAUUUUUUGUAUACAAAAAAAAUAAUCAAUAAAAGCAAGCUCUGGUGUUGUUAAGCUAAGGAUACAGGGGUUAAAAUUACUCACCACUCAAUGGAAUCCACCAAAGAGAUACAGAGUUUGAUAAUAACUCAAAGUUCAUCCAAUUUCCAAAAUUAAUCUCUGUCCUUUGGUUACAACUACAUAAGCUUAAAUAGCUUUCUUGGAACAAUCCUCCAAGCAUAGAUUUACUACAAAGAAACCCUUCAAAUAACUUGACUUUAAAGACCAACAUUAAAGCUAGACAUUAAUAAAACAUUGGUAUGCUUAAAACACAACAAAAAAAAUUAAAAAAAAAUCCAAGUCCCGAAAUAUUCUUCUUGACUCAAAACUGAACAGUCUGCACUUAACUGAUCAUAACUUACUGUAGAAAACUCCAAAUUUAGAUUAGUAAAAUUCAUUGGAAAACUAACAGAAAUAUCUUUCCAAUGAUGUAUGGCUCGAAAAUUAAUUCGAUCUCAUGCAGUACAGUUGAAUUCCCAAAGAUGCCCCUUCUGCACAGAAAUUCUGCUCACUUGAUUAAUGUAAGAACUUGAGCUGCACUUGGUAUAACUUGAUUACCAAAUAUUUCAAACGCCCGUGUUAUUUUCACUGGUGGCCGUAGGUCUCAUGACAGACUGAACCACGUUGUCUCUGUUUUCCCUGUGAUUUUGUCUCUGAUUCUUCUUGUUCUUUCUUCUUGAUUCUAUUUCUUGGAAGUUUAAGUCUGGUUUGUUGAAUAUUGAGUUGAUUCAGAUUCGGUUCGGUGCUUGUGCAUCUUGUGUUAGUCUCAUUCAAGAUCUUGGGCAGAGUCUUUGGUUUGACAAGUUAAUUAGAUCGUCCAAAGCUCUACGUUUUUUUUUUUUUUUUAAACAAAAAAGAAGCACAGUCUGCUAUUAAUACUGUAGCAUGUUAGCUACUAUAAAAGCUCGUGUCUAAUUACCAAAUAAAUUCCACUUUAACAAAGAAUAGAAGCUAAUUUUAUUUUUUCUUUUUGUUAUUGAAGUUACCUCGCAAACUUCUCGGAAGCUUAUUACAAAAUUUCCUUUUACUCUAGGAUCUCUUGAAUGGUCCUGCAAUUUGUAUUCUUUUAUGUGGGAUUGGUUUUUUCUUUAAACAAAAUUUCAAGGAUAAGAAACCUUUCCCAUUGAAUACCAACUUUGAAUUUUAUUAUCAUUUGAACUUAGAAAACUGCAGAAACAAAGCGCGUUCAUAGCACCAGCUAAGCUAGCUGUGUCUUGGUACCAUGCUGGUUCUAUUUUUACUUUAUUAAAUAUAUACAAAAUUAAAUCUCCUGAGCCUCUAGCUUCACUAGUUUCCAACUUGAAAUUAAAACGCGGAAUUAAUGGCAUUGGAGUUCGUUAUUUAAUUUUGCUUUGGUUCAUGGGGAAUCAGAUGGCCAUCCAAUUUUUUGUCUAUUUUAAGUACUAUUGGCCACUAAGUAGCUUGCUUAUAUAUGUGUAUUGGGAUGUCAUAGGCCUUAAAGCUGAAAAUCAAUCCCCAAUCUAAAGUGAAAAACAGUAGCUAGAACAUAAUCUAUGUUUUGAUGUCUUAGUUUAUAAGCUCAAACAAUUAGUAGUAUAUAGAAAAUGCCCGAUAGAACCCAAAACUUGUAGUGAUUUUUAGUUUCGAAAUUCAUUUCAGAAAAUCUGUUCCGUUCAACACAUUCAACUAAACUCUAGCCAUGUACUUGUAUGUAUACAGGUAGAGCACUAGGGCAACAAAGGAGUCCAUCCUUAAGGCCUUGUCUAAGACUGGUUGUCUUUUUCAUGAGCUUCUGGCUUUCCAGCUUGCUGAGCGACGUACACAUAAAGAGGUUAUCCUUUUCUUUUUUUCUUUGUUUUUAUAUGACAGAAUCCAUUUUUGAAUAUAUAUAUAUAUAUAUGUUUAGGUACACAAACACACACAUGAAUAUGCAUGUUUUUAUGAGUUCAUUUAAGUAUAUCCAAUGUUGAAUAACUCUUCCAUUUGAACUUGACAGUAAUCAGGUAGUUGAUAUUUAUGUUACAAAAAUUGGAAGUGUUAGAUAUGAGACUCAAAUCUGAACUUGAGAACACAUACGACAAGUCACGUGGAUCUUUGUAUUAAAUGUGACAUGUCAUGCGUAGGAGUUCACGGAGCUGUAUGACAUUCUUGCUCUGUCGGGAAAACGAGUAAGUAACACACGUGACGUAACACGUGCAUAACUUACUCAAAACGACAGGAGUUUGUGCCGCUUUGUGCUCAAGAGCUUGUGAAGGUGUAACACGUGGCUACCAGAGGUUCAAAAGGCCGUUAAAGGUUGUUAUGACGCGGGCAAAAACUGGGGUUCUUCACAAGCAGCCCAGGUGGCGUUAACAGCUGACUGGUGAAGGGUCUUUCUAGAUCCUUUUCUUACUAUAUAUAUGCCUUUAUGGUGAGAUCUCGCGUAGAGUGAUUCUGUAACACCUUCUUAAGAACUUUGUAUCUUUAAUAAGCUCAGAUAGUGGAAUUCUUCUUCUCCUUCACAGUAGAUGUAGGCUCACUCUAUGGCCGAACCACUAUAAAUCAUUUAGUGGAACUCUCCUUCUCCUUCACAGUGGAUGUAGGCUGACUCUGUGGCCGAACCACUAUAAAUCAUUGGUGUCAAGUGUGUGUGUAUUUUUGUCUCGGUUCUCUUUGAGUUUCUUGCUUUGGUUACAACUGAUUCAUCAGCCAUUAAAGCUAAGUAUAUUCUGAAAUCUUGAGUUCAUAAAGGUCGUUCUUGGGGGGUCUAAAUUGGUGCUUAAUCCGGUUUAGUUUCAACAAGAAGCAACAAAAGCAAUUCAGAAUCAUGCAAGGACUUGGAUUUUUUUGUUAAUUCACUGGGCAUAUGUUUAUCCAACCUCUGAUUUUUCUUAAUAUGUCUCAGUAGUUCAUUUCACGCCACUUUUAGCCGCUCCAUUGGCAUUUUCUGCCAUUUGCUUUUGUUCAUUGGAGCAAGUUAGCUUAUUAAAUUGCUUUUCGAUAAAUGUUCUUCAGAGGGAAUGUGAAAAGGCCAAAUGAACCGAGAUGAUCGGGUUUUCUAGAUCAGCCAUCUCUGUCCUCAACGGUGCUGAACCGUCAAUUACUGAGACACCAAACUCUGACCUGAUUCAUAUGGGAUGUAGACCAAAGCUUCUUGCCAUACCAUCUCUGGUCAAAGCUGCUAUCUUUGAAAGUUUUGCAGGACAAAACAUGUCGGAGUCAGAAAUUGACGUCACCCCUAGCAUAAAACGGUGUAUCAAGAGCAAUUUUGGUUUCCCAGUCGAUACAGAUACAGAAUUCAUAUAAGCAGGUUGCUCUCAAUCUCUGUUUAAUAAGCUUCCUCUGCUGUAUCCUAGAACGUUAUGCUUCCCAGCUGGCUAGAAUGGGAACUAUGUUUCUGCUGCAAAAUUUUUGAAAGCGAGCAUUGUGAAUAUCCCGACUGUGUAUGAAGUGGGCCUUAAGAAGACAGAGAGGACACUUGUGACAAUACUCGAGACUGUAAAGAAGCCGUGGGUAUACAUUUCUGGUCCAACAGUCAAUCCAACUGGCUUGCUUUAUAGCAACAAAGAGAUAGAGAAUAUAUUAACUGUUUGUGUAAAAUAUGGGCCAAGAGUUGUGAUUGAUGCUUCAUUCUCGGGAUUGCAAUUCAAAUACGAGGGUUGGGGUGGCUGCAAUCUGGAAGGCUGUUUAUCGAAGCUGUAUCGUCUCUCUCUGUGUCUCUGCUGGAGGGCUGUCUCCGAAGAUGCUUACUGGAGCCCUCACAUUUGGAUUUCCGGUUCCAAACCAACGUCAUUUAGUUGAUGCAUUUAGUAGCUUUCCGGGAUUAAGAAUAUAUUUUAUGCUAUGAAGAAUACAUUUUUGAUAAAUUAACCUCAAUUCUGAAUUUUAAUUUAGAGAAUGUCGAGAAGAGAUUUGAUUUUUCAUAUAGAAAAAAAUUAGACAUGAAAUAAGUCAAAAUCAAUUACAAGAACAACAAUAAGAAUGUAUUUUUUAAAAGCCACAAAUACAUAAAAUAUAAAUUUAGUUUAAGAUUAGGUAAUUAUUAAUUUGCAUAGUAAGAGGUUCUCGUUGGAGAAAUCCAUUAACCUUCGGCUAAUUUGAUGCAAGGUAUAAUUUUGCAAUGCCCAAUAAUAUAUAGCUGUAUGGUAUUUCUGUAUUAUAUAUACUCCUAAUGAAAAUGAAGCAAAUACGUAAUACUACUACUAUGACAUAACUUUCAUGAUUGCCAACUGCCAAAACCAGCCACCUCUCAUACGUGCCUUAUUGAGCAUGGAAACACCUUAUAUUAUAAUUUCCGUUCACCCAUAGAAGAAUUUCAGGGCCAUUAAUUCAACAAUUACCAAACCAAUAUCCCAAUGAUAGUUGGAUUACUAAUCUUAGCAUUAAAAGAUCUACAAUUUUUAUUUGGCCAAAAUAAAGGUUUUCUUACUGCCUUCUUGAUCUUUUCCUGCCUGGUGAUUCCUGAAUGUUCCUCCCAUUCUCAUAUGCUGAGUCGCUUGCUGAGAUGAUAAAUACUCGAGGGUCCUUCCAUAAGACAAUUCAGCAGACACCUGAUUCAUUCUAUCAAACAUCAGCAUCACUAAUAACUAAAUGGUGUAAGAUAGUCUGGUUUGAAAAUUCUAUAUAAAUCAAAUUUUUAUUUUUCAUCAUUAUGGUUAAUGGCUUAGCAAAUGCAGGAGUACGGAUCAGACAAAAUGAAGCACUUUCUCUCGUAUUAAGCUUUAUUAGUCGUUGAAGCUAACAAAUUUUAAAACAAGUCAAAACAGUUCCAACUCAGAAUCAGUAGGCCGUAAUUGGGUUGUUAUAAAUAUUUCAAAGUUUCAGUUUAAUUUAAUUGUGUAUGCACAAACUAACUUUAUCACUUCUUUCAUAUUAAUAUUCAUAAAUUUCAACCUUAUUUUAUGUUGAUGCACAAAAUGUUUUUUUGUUAUAUAUAUAUUCAAAUAGUCAAAUUUCUUCUUCUUUACUCCAGGAUCCAGCUCUGUACCCCACUUUUUUGUCGUCAUUCUACCCCGCUGUUAGAUUUUAAUUCCGUUGAUCUAAUGGUUGGGAUUUGUAAGUGAAUAACGAAGUGCUGUUUGGCUACCGUCUGAUAGCAAAUCUGAAGCAAAUGUAAUCACCACCAUGCCGGUAUAUUCAUUCAAAUAUUAAACGUACAGAGAAGAAAGCAAAUUGUGGCAGGAUAGCGAAAAUUGCAAACGGUCAUUCCCAACACGAACACCUGUGGCUGUUUUCCUUUAAUUUUCUUCUUUGAAUUUUCCUUUGAUUAAUCAUUAGAAAAACUGCUUUUUUUUUUUCAAAAUCAUGUGUUAUUAACAUUUACAUAGUUAAUUCAUCAAAAUCAAAUGGUUGUUAUCUACGAAAAGACAUUGAAAAUUUCCUUGUCACAAGUCUUUUCGUAUUACAAAAGCAUAUUUAACAAAAUUGCACUCACAGAUUCUAUGAUUCUAAUUUCUUUGACUUGAUUUUAGUUUUUGCUGAACAUAUAUGUAUCCCAUAUAAAGUGUUAGUGAAUUUUUCAUUUCUCUAGCAAGGAGGUUCUGCACGAAUAAACAACAGCAGAAAAUAUAUAUAUAUAAAACGUGAUACGAGUGUUUGUACUUUGCUAAUGGCGUUGCACUCUCCAAACAUGAAGAGUGCAUUAAGGUGCAUUAAGCAUUGGCUGAUUAGAAUCAUUCAUGUUAAGAAAUAAAAAUAUUAAUAGUGAUGACUCAAAGGAAGUCCCGUGUUUUGAGUUUGACUAAAAUAAUCUGAAUAAUUCAAAAUAAUCCAUCAGGCCAAAGGAAGUCUCGUGUUGAACUGCAUUGGGAAGGCAGAGCAGCCUCUGUUUUUUCACUAUAAUACUAAGGAUUGACUUCAAUUGAGAAGUCAGGCCAAUUGAAGAAGCUCCCCUGUUUUUGACUGAAACAUACUCCGAACAAUUUAUCAUUAAAUAAAUUAUUCAAAAUCUCCUUUAAUCGAACCCCCAUGUCUAUGGUUUAAUAAAAUAUUAAAAAGGUACCUAAAACAGUGAAAUUAACACUCAGCUCUUAAAGUUGCCACUUUAUGUAUUGAAAAAUGUACUUGAAAACGAAUGUUGAGAUUUUUUUCCCCAAUGAUUUCAUAAACACAAAAUAAAGAUCAUAUAUACUUUGAAAAUGAAGUUUCAGCAGCUGAGAAAGCUAGCCGUUACUAACAUAUUACACCCACCCACCCCACCAAGAAAUCCAUUAAUCUUGGGUUAAUCUGACACAAGGUAUAAUUUUGCAAUGGCCAAUUAUAUAUAGUUGUAUGGUAUUUCCGUAUUAUAUAUACUCCUAAUGAAAAUGAAGCAAGUACGUAAUACUACUACUAUGACAUAACUUUCAUGAUUGCCAACUGUCAAUACCAGCUACCUUUUAUACGUGCCUUAUUGAGCAUGGAAACAUCUUAUAUUAUAAUUUCCGUUCACCCAUAGAAGAAGUUCAGGGCCAUUAAUUCAACAAUUGCGAAACCAAUAUCCCAAUAAUAGUUUGAUUACUAAUCUUAGCAUUAAAAGAUCUGCAAUUUUUUUUUGGCCAAAAUACAUGCUUUCUUACUGCCUUGUUGAUCUUAUCCUGCCUGGUGAUUCCCGAAUGUUCUUCUCAUUCUCCUAUGCUGAGUCGCUUGCUGAGAUGAUGAAUGCUCGAGGGUCCUUCCUUGAGACAUUUCAGCGAACACCUAAUUCAUUCGGUCAAACAUCAGCAUCACUAAUCACUAAAUGAUGUAAGAUAGUUCUGGUUUGAAAAAUCAAUAUAAAUCAACCACCUUAGAUUUUCUUAGUCUCAGAGCACAAUGGGCGAUGAUUUGAUGAGAAAUACUAAUAACAUGCAUCCCCUGUAUUAGUUAGAGCUGCUUGUCAUUUUCUUUUUUCUUUUGGGUACUGUUUUAAAUUUUUAAUCAAUCGGAUUGAGCUGCAUGUUUGCUUUCAGUCCAAACUGAAAUCAGACAUUAAGUAUUUUUGCUAGAAUGAAUGCAACCAAGAUUCUAUGGGAUAUGUAUGAAGAUGAUGUAAUAAAGUGCUUUUGAUAUAUUCCCCUAGUCGGUUUACUUCACUAACCAUUAACGAGCAAAUCCUCCCAAUGACCCUCAAAACUCUUGUGCACAAUUAAAAUAAUUUCAAUUAUAUAUAUAUAUAUAUAUAUAUAUAUAUAUAUAAAUAAACUCUCAAAUAUGUUAUUUGAUAAUCACCAAAAAAAAAAACAAUUCACCCCAAUAAAUCACAUUACAGUCUAUGUUGCAAGUCUUUUUAGGACUAAUUCAAAGAGAAAAUGCGAAGGACAUGUAAUUGAAUUUGGGACACAGAAUAUAUUCCCAAUUACCCUUUAGUGUAAACAGUUCCACUUCAGAUAUAUAUAAUGAUGAUGAAAUUUUGUUUUCUCAUAGCAAUCAUUCUAGUGUUUUACAAUGAGUAAUUGGUUCAAUAUUAACACAACACUAUUUUAACAUGUGACAUAUUCUAUCGUAGUGUGCUUCAACUCAUACUUCUAACUCAAAUAGAAAAGUUUCCAUUUUAAUUUUAUUCAAUCUAAUGGUGCACGUUUUUAGUCAAAAAGCCACAAUAAGUCAUCGUUAUUCUUCUACUAUUGAAAUGAAUAUAUCAAAUGGAUGAAAAUUAAAUUAAAAGAUUGAAAUGACUAUGUGGAAGAAAAUUGAUGUAAAAUGUUGAAGUUAAGAAGCCCUCCGAAUUAUAGAAGAAACGAAAUAUAUUGACACACAACAGUUUAUUUAUUAAUUAAGAGAGACAAAAUAUAUAAAUACAAACAAAGAAAAUCUCUUGCAUAUAUCAAACUUACGCUCACGUAAUUGACAGGUAAUAACAAUACCCAUUUUUUUUAUUUCAUAAAACAUAGUAUGAAAGAGAACACUUCAUGCAUUUAACCACUAUAAUUAGGAUUUCUCUCAUAUUGAGAGACUAUUAAAAGAUCAAGAUUGUCAUCUUUUAUAUCCUCGUCACGACAAUACUAAACACACGAUGAUGCCUUCAACCCUCCAACCCAUCGAUCUUACCUGAAAAAAUUAUAAUUAAUAGGAAACUUAUUCACAAAUGCAUAUAUUUAGAAAAGAAUUACAAAUGAACGAACUCAGCCUAAAAAUUAACCUGCACAAGCAAAGAAAUUAUAUACCAUUUUUGACUUGCGAACAAAAGCGAAGCAAUAAUGCAUGGUAUAGACAUAAGCCAUUUUUAAAAGACUAUAUUCAUCAUGCGGAAGUUAGAAAACUUACCUCCUGCCAUAGUUAUCAGAUUUAAUUGUACACAACUUUUCUACUAGAAUGCAAACAAAACCAACGAAAACAAGCGAUGCUUUGUAAUCAGAAUUUUCUAGUCUAUCUAACACUUAAUUCCUGAGAGUAGAUGGUAUACACAAGCUCUGUUGUUAGACCAGGGACCCUCAAUAUUUUUUUUGAAAAAACUUGACCGUAAGUCAUCUCCCAUCAAGAUGACAUGUUUAAAUAAAAGAGGAAGUUAUGAGCCAUUAUCCCUUUGAUUUUAGGAAACCACCCGUAACGUGUAUGAGAGAUAUUAAGAAGAGUUGUUUUAUCUUUAUUCCAAUUUUAAACCAAAACCAACGUUUUGAAAUUAAACUAGAUAAAGAUAAUUAUCAAUUUAAAUUAGAAAACUAAUAAUUAAAAUAAAUUAGAUGGCCAUAUUAUACACGUUUUGAAAACGUGUCUAACAAUUUUUACUUUAUUGCAAAUGUGAUCAUAUGGCCUGAUGCGGUCCACAAAAUAUAUAGUUGUCAAAAAGAAGACGAACAAAGCAAUUGAUCAUAAGCCAUUUUUACUUUAUUGCAAUAAAGCAUGAUUAACGCUUAUUGCAAUCACUAAAGAAAGAGAGAUUCUAGAGUACAUAGAAUUAUUACGCUUGAUUAAUAUAUAUAUAUAUAUAUAUAUAUAUAUAUAUAUAUAUAUAUAUAUAUAUAUAUAUAUAUAUAUAUAUAUAUAUAUAUAUAUAUGUAAUUUCCCUAACGAAUAUGUCUAAUUCAGGAACUAAUUACUUUUUCAGGCCUAUGAAGUCAUUUCAAUAUUUUAAUUUUUUAAUCAUUUAUUUACUAUUUACAUAUUAAUAUUUUGAUUGUUAAUUUUUUACAUUUCCAAUUACUUAACAUAUAUCAAUUAUUUUUGUUGCCUUUACAAAGUCGUUACAAGAAUAUUAUGUUAGAGUGGAGAUACUUUCAUACUUUCAUGAGUUAACGGCGGUCAAUGGUUAAAGAUAACGAGUUUUGGGGUAGAUUGAUGUUUUCAAUAGUAAGAGGGGGAAAUUUGAAGAUUGUCAAUUCCCUAAGGGUAAUUAGAAAUUAACCCAUAUAUAUAAUAGGUACAUUUGAUAUGAAACGUAUAAUUUAAUUAAAUAUAUCUAUUAAUUACAUUUUAAUUUUUUAAAAUAAAUAUACACAUAAUAUAUAUGUAUUAAUUUAUAUAAAAAUAUAUAAAGAAAAUUAUUAUGUAGCACAAAUUCCCGCCCUAUUAAAGAUCUCAUGAUAUCCAAAAAAAUAAUUAUAUAUUUAUAGCAAAGUGUUGGUAUAUUUUGAAGGAACGAGUUCGGUACGGAAAUGUAAUAGUAUGUGUUUUUAAUGACGUUUAUAAAGUCAUUAAAUGUCAAAAGGAAUGAAUUUAGUGAUCAAUUAAUAAUUAGAUAGGUAAACAUGAAAUCUCUCGGUCUAUUAAUGUAGUAUAGUUUCUCCCUCAGUUAUUAUCAUUAAAUUAAUUUGUAAAUCUCGUUUCCCGCUACUCCUUCCAAAUAUACAUGAGUAGUGAUAUUUGGCCCUUUUAUUAUAACUCACAAUCUCCUAUUUUUUUGUUAACCCCAUUAAAUAUUUUUAAAUAAAUUUUUAUCUCUCAACAUAUCACACAUAAUUAUGGAUUUACAUUUAUUAUAAUUUCUAUCUUUUUUUCCAAGCACUCACUAUAUAAAAUUUAUAAAAUCUAUUUAAAAAAAAAACUCUCAUAAUCACUAUAAUCUCUUUUUUUAAAAAAAAAAAAUUUAUCCGUCGUUGUCAUAAUCAUUAAAAAGAAAAAGGCACCAUCCUUUAUUGAAAUCUCUCGGUCUAUUAAUGUAGUAUAUUUUCUCCCUCAGCUAUUAUCAUUAAAUUAAUUUGUAAAUCUCCUUUCCGGCUACUCCUUCCAAAUAUACAUGAGUAGUGAUAUUUGGCCCUUUUAUUAUAACUCACAAUCUCCUAUUUUUUUGUUAACCCCAUUAAAUAUUUUUAAAUAAAUCUUUAUCUCUCAACAUAUCACACAUAAUUAUGGAUUUACCUUUAUUAUAAUUUCUAUCUUUUUUCCAAGCACUCACUAUAUAAAAUUUAUAAAAUCUAUUUUAAAAAGAGAAAAAAACUUUCAUAAUCACUAUAAUAUCUCUUUUCAAAAAGAAAAUUUAUUCGUCGUUGUCAUAAUCAUUAAAAAGAACAAGGCACCAUCCUUUAUUGAAUAUUGAGUACUGUAAAUUAAUUUCUUUCACGAUUACAAAAAAAGAGUAUACAAUAUUUGAGAAAAAAAUAAUGAUUUAAAAAGUUAAAAAAAUUAGAGUUUAAGAAAUUAGAUUAGCUAAAUUCGAUAUUAAUAGAAAUUGUCAUAUGAGUGCACUUAAAAGUUAUUUACCCUUUUAAAUCAUUUCACAUAAUAAUAAAAUAUGUACUAACAUAAAAGUGAUUAGUAGAGACUGAUGAGAUAUAAUGAGUCAAAUAUCAAAUUCUACAUAUAUAUAAUAGCUAAUAUAAUUGUUUAAAUAGGAUUGUAAUUAAACUCAUUAAUUAACUACCUUUAAUUUUUCAGUAGGCGAUAUUUUUGAAACGUGAUGAUCAUGUGUGAAUAUUAUUCGAAAGUAAUGAUUUUACUAAAAUCUUCGUCUACAAUGAUGUUACAGUACUGAUGCUCAUUUAUUAGCUGUUGUCUUACCUCUUAAUUAAUUUUUUGCAUUUGCACUUGGAAUUAAUCAUUUGGCCGUGAUAGUAAUGCUACAGCCAGCGGAAUUUGAGCCUCCCUUCUUCAAUGCCUGGUACGAGAAUGAAGCUAACAAUCGGGAUGGACAGAACAUUCUGUUAUGGCAAACGUGUUUACUUCACUUUCAUUAACAAGACUUAAGCAACCCACAAAACCAGAGUUUGCAGAAACAAGAUUAAGAAACAAAACAAAAGAAGUAUCAAGCAAUCAAAGAUACUCAACACACCAAGAAUCUAACGUGGUUCAGCUCCACAAAGGAACCUACAUCCACGGCUGUAAAACCAGCAAGGGCAGAAGCUUUAUUGAACAACAAGAAGAUCGUUUACAACUGAGUCACCAAUUACAGAUUAAAGCCUAUCGAAUGUUUUCUCUCUGUAAAUCCUCUCUGUUUUUCUAUAUAUGUUUUACUAGCUUAGAGACAACUUAUAUAUGUAAGCUUCUCACGUGUGUUCCACUUGCAAUGAGUCAGUCUGUUAUUUAACUAACUAACCAACUCUUGACUUGAAUCCCACUUAUGCCAGCUCAUACGACACCUCAGCAUGUCCAUAACAGAUUAUAACUAAUCUCGGCUUCACAAAUCUCCACCUUAGUUCUAAUCUGAUUAUGCUUCUCCCUUCACUGCAACACAUCACCAGAAAGCUUGUUUCAUAAGCUAACACUUCCAAUCAGAUUCAGUAAGUCCCUGAACCUGACUGAUGGCAAAGGCUUGGUUAACAUGUCAGCUGGAUUUACUUCAGAUGGCACCUUAACUACAUUUACUACUCCUUUGCUGAUUUCAUCCCUUAUAAAGUGCAUUCUAACAUCAAUAUGUUUAGUUCUCUCAUGAUACUUAGGAUUUUUACUUAGCUGAAUAGCACUUAAGCUAUCACAGCCAACUACAACAACUUCUUGUUUAAACCCCAACUCAGAGACUAGUCCUCUCAGCCAUAUUGCCUCUUUGACAGCUUCUGUAAGUGCAAUAUAUUCAGCUUCUGUUGUUGAGAGGGCAACCACUGAUUGCAGGGAAGACUUCCAACUUAUAGCACCUCCACACAUGGUAAACACAAAACCUGUGAUGGAUCUUCUUCUAUCUUUGUCUGCUGCAUAGUCUGAGUCCACAAAUCCAGCUACUUCAGGUGAUGCUCCACUUAAUUUCCCAAACAUAAUGGCAGUGACAGCAGACCCUUUGAGAUACCUUAGUACCCAUUUCACUGCAUUCCAGUGACCCUUCCCUGGAUUCCCCAUAAACCUACUGAUGACUCCAACUCCAUGAGCCAAGUCAGGUCUGGUGCACACCAUGGCAUACAUGAUGCUGCCAACUGCACUGGAGUAAGGUAUCUCCUUCAUGUAGUUGAAAUCAUCAUCAGUGGUAGGUUCCAGUGACUUGGAUAACUGAAAGUGAGUUGACAGAGGUGUUGAAACAGGCUUUGAAUCUUCCAUAUUGAACCUGGUUAAUACCAUCUUCACAUAAUCCUCCUGAGAUAGAUACAAAACUUUGGACUCCUUAUCUCUCUUUAUCUGCAUUCCUAGAAUCUUUGUAGCUGCACCCAAAUCCUUCAUUUCAAAUUCAGUGCUGAGCUCCACCUUAAGCUUCUUUACUUCUUCCUUUUGUUUACAUGCAAUAAGCAUGUCAUCCACAUACAGAAGUAAGUAGAUGCCUCUACCAUUUGUCAGGAAUUUAAAAUACACACAAUUAUCAAAUCUGCUCCUACAGUAUCCAUGGCUUAGCAUGAAUUCAUCAAACUUUAAAUACCAUUGCCUUGGAGAUUGCUUGAGGCCAUACAAACUCUUCUUCAAUAAGCACACUUUAUCCUCUGAUCCUCUCUCAAUGAACCCUUCUGGUUGUGCCAUGAAAAUCUCUUCAUCAAGACUGCCAUGUAAAAAGGCAGUUUUAACAUCCAUCUGCUCCAGCUCCAGGUCAUGAUAUGCAGAGAGGGCCAGCAGCAACCUAAUUGAGCUAUAUUUGACUACAGGUGAGAACACUUCAUUGAAGUCAACUCCCUCUCUCUGUGUGAAUCCCUUUGCUACAAGUCUGGCUUUAUAUCUUGGUGGUUCAUUUUCUGAAGCUCCAGCCUUCAACUUGAAAAUCCACUUGCUGCCAACUAGUUUCUUGUUAGAUGGUCUGUCCACUAAGAUCCAAGUAUUAUUUUUCUUUAAAGAGACUAUUUCAUCCUGCAUUGCAGCAUACCAUUUCAGCUUAUCCUCACAUCUCAUAGCUUCUUUAUAGCUCAAAGGUUCUCCACCAGUUACUUCAUCACCUACUGUUAGUGCAUAGGAAAUGAGGUCAGCUAUGCCAUACUUCUUUGGCAUUUUGAUGGCUCUCCUCUCUCUGUCCCUAGCAAGCUGAUAUGUUUCCAGUUCUGGUGGUUGUUUUCUUUCCUUGGUCUGGUCUGAUGGUUGUUCAGGAGGCUUACAACUAUCAGAAUGCUUUACCAUCUGUCCAGCACUUUCUUCUUCCUCUGUUUCAGCAGCUUCAAUCUCAGUUUCUACCUUUGACUGGAGCAUUUGCUCUUCAUCAAAGGUGACAUCCCUGCUGAUUAAUAUCCUAGAUGGUUUCCCAUUAAGGGUCCAUAUCUUGUAUCCAUUAAUGCCCUCAGGAUAUCCCAAGAAAUACCCUUUAACAGCCCUUGGUUCAAGCUUACCUUGCUUUAAGUGUGCAUAAGCUGGACACCCAAAGAUCCUCAAAUUGCUCAAGUCUGGUGGCUUUCCAGACCAAAGCUCCUAAGGUGUCUUGAAACCUAAAGCUGAGGAUGAGCUUCUGUUUAUCAGGUAAGCAGCUGUGGUGACUGCUUCUGCCCAAAAACCUUUGGAUAUGUUUGCAUUCAGCAGCAUGCAUCUUACCCUCUCUAUUAUGGUUCUGUUCAUCCUUUCUGCCAGUCCAUUUUGUUGUGGAGUGUAGGUGACAGUUCUAUGCCUUGCAAUGCCCUUAUAUUUGCAGAAAUCUUCAAACUCUUUUCUGCAAUACUCUAGCCCAUUGUCUGUUCUGAGCCUUUUUAUUUUCUUACUAGUUUGGUUUUCAAUGAGAGUAACCCACUCUUUGAACUUCCCUAGUGCUCCACUUUUGUGUUUCAACACAUAGAUCCAAACCUUCCUAGAGUAGUCAUCUAUGAAGGACACAAAGUACCUAGCUCCACCUAAAGAUGGAACUUGUGAUGGCCCCCAAAGGUCUGAGUGGAUGUAAUCUAGUGUCUGUUUGGUUUCUUUUCUCCCUGAACUGAAUUUCAGUCUUGUGGCCUUCCCAAACACACAUUUCUCACAGAAUUCUAAGGAAGUAACUUUAUCAUUACCAAGCAAACCUUGAUUGCUUAGCUCCUUGAGGCCUCUUUCACUGAUAUGAGCUAGUCUCAUGUGCCAGAGUUUGGUUUUAUCUCUGGUCACACUUGCUGAGAUCCCUUGCACAGGUGAGGAUCCAACUAGUAUGUACAGCCCAUUUUUCCUAACCCCUUUCAUAACAAUUUUACCCUGAUCCAAGACCUGUAUCUCUCCAUUUUCAGCCUUAAUAGUACACCCUGAUUGGUCAACCAUUCCUAGAGAUAUCAGGUUUCUUUUCAGUUCAGGGACAAAUCUCACUUGGUGUAAAUCUCUAGUGACACCAUCAUGCAAUUUUAAGCUAAUGGUUCAUAUCCCAGCCACCUUGCAAGCUAGGUUAUUUCCCAACAACACCUUUCCACCAUUUACACUUUCAAAGGUCUUAAAGAAACUUUUAUUUGGACACAUGUGGAAUGAGCAACCAGAGUCCAGAAUCCACUCACCAGUUGGGUGCCUCUCUGCAGCCACCAAGACAUCUGCUUCAUCAUAGUCACAUUCAUCUUCAGAGGCAACAACAGCCUUUCCAUUUGAUUUCUUUUAUAGUUCUUCUAAUUUCUUUUUCUCGAAGCAAUCUUUAAUGUAGUGUCCCUCUUUCUGACAGAAGUAACACUUCCUCUUCUUCUUUUUCUUUUCAGCUUUAUCUUUCUUGUUGUUGUUCUUUGUUUGCUUAUUGUGUUUCUUUUCUGGCUUUCCUUUGACAACCAAACCUUCUACAUUAUUUUGAUCUUUCAUGUCUGAUCUUUUCUUCAAAUCCUUGGAUUCCAGAGCAUCUUUGACAUCUUUCAAAGAGAGGGUUUGUCUGCCAUAGAGGAGGGUAUCUACAAAAUGUUCAUAAGAUUCUGGAAGAGAACUUAAGAGGAUGAGUGCCCUGUCUUCAUCUUCAAGAAUUAUGUUGACAUUCUCGAGAUCAAGAAUGAGUUUGUUGAACUCAUCCACGUGAUCUUUCAUGGCUACUCCAUCUUUCAUUGAGAAUGUGUAUAACCUCCUCUUCAUAUACAGUCUCUUAGCCAAUGAUUUUUUCAGAAACAUUUCUUCUAACUUGCUCCACAAACCAGCUGCAGAUCUUUCUUUGGAUACUUCUCUCAAGACUUCAUCAGAGAGGUGCAAGAUAAUGGUGCUAUGGGCCUUAUUGUUUAUGAUCCUCUGAUCUGCACUAAAGCUUGAAGAGCCUUCUCCAUUCUCUUUCUUGGCCAUCGGAUCUUCUCCAUCAUCGAGGGCACUGUCAAGCCCUUGUUGAAUAAGUAUCGCUCUCAUCUUCAAACUCCAGAGAUAGAAAUCAUUGUCUCCAUUGAAUUUUUCAAGAUCCACUCUGGUGCUUGCCAUCUUUGAGUCUGAUCCCAACCGACACCAGGCUCUGAUACCAGUUUGUUAUGGCAAACGUGUUUACUUCACUUUCUUUAACAAGACUUAAGCAACCCACAAAACCAGAGUUUGCAGAAACAAGAUUAAGAAACAAAACAAAAGAAGUAUCAAGCAAUCAAAGAUACUCAACACACCAAGAAUCUAACGUGGUUCAGCUCCACAAAGGAACCUACAUCCACGGCUGUAAAACCAGCAAGGGCAGAAGCUUUAUUGAACAACAAGAAGAUCGUUUACAACUGAGUCACCAAUUACAGAUUAAAGCCUAUCGAAUGUUUUCUCUCUGUAAAUCCUCUCUGUUUUUCUAUAUAUGUUUUACUAGCUUAGAGACAACUUAUAUAUGUAAGCUUCUCACGUGUGUUCCACUUGCAAUGAGUCAGUCUGUUAUUUAACUAACUAACCAACUCUUGACUUGAAUCCCACUUAUGCCAGCUCAUACGACACCUCAGCAUGUCCAUAACAGAUUAUAACUAAUCUCGGCUUCACACAUUCUUUAGACAUAGAGGUCAAAUUAAGAUAAGGGGGGUCAAGAUUUUUUGUUAAAUUUUAUAAGAUAUGAUGAUGGUUGCUUGUAAUAUGUUGUAAUGGGCAAACUAUGGAAGCAUAACAUCUGCAAAGACUUGCUUUUGUCUUUAAUGGACAACUAGCAAGUAAAAACCUUGCUUGAUAUGCUGCUUUUAGAAACCAAUUUGCAAUCCAAUUCAAUAUUACUAUUCAUUUUUCAGGUACAUACAAGUUGGGAAUGCUGUAGCAAUUCCAGUUGGUAUUGUAUUGGGAUACGCUUUUGGUCAAGCUUGCCAAGGAUUAGCCGAUGAUGAUCAGCCAUUGACUAUACUCCCUUUCAAGUUUCCCAAUUGUCUUGCACAGUCAUCUUCAACACUUGCAGAAGAAGAUUCUGAUUGAAAUUGUAAGGAAAACAUAAAUAUGAUUCAUCAAAUUAUACUCUUGUUAGUUGCGAGUUAUUACCAAUUUGAUUUUUAAUUUGCUAUUGAUGUACGGACAAGCAUGUUCAAUGCAUUAUUUGUUAUUGAAGAUGUUUCGAGGUAGGAAUUAGAAUAUGUUGCAUCUUUUAAUUAGUGUUUUAGAUAUAUAUACUUUAUGCUUUUUCAGUCUGUAAUCACAUGUAUCAAAUAAAAGGUUUAGUUUUAGGGUUAAUUUUGGUAUCAAUCAUAAAUGUCUAUAUCAUUAUUGAAAGGGUGUUAAAUUAAAUGCUAAAAGGAUGAAUUUUUUUCCCUCAAGUGUGAGGGAUGUUUAUGAAAGUGACACCAUCAUAUGGCAUGGAGUCAUACUAUUAACAUAUUAUUUGAAUAUUAUUCACCAAAUAUCACAUAAUCAUGCCUUUUAUACAAGUGUAUAUAUGUAGAUGUAGUACAUACUCUUAUAUGUAGCCAUGAGAUCGAAUCAUGUCUUAGUAAAUGAAAAGUUGCUUCUUGUAAUCUUAUACUACGUUCUUUGAUAAAGACUUUCGCUUUUUGCUUUGAAAUGGUAACUAGGGGUGGGCAAAAAAAACCGUAGUCUUAAAAAAACCGAACCGAAUAGACGAUUUUUUCUAAUUCGGUUCGGUUUUUAUUUAAAAAAAAAACCGAAUAUACCGUUUGUAAAAAACAACCGACCCGAAAAACCGAAUUAUUGAUGAAGAUCGGAGAAUGUUGUUGGCGUUUGUUUGUAAUUUUAUUUUUUAUUUUUUGUUGUAAGUUGUAAUUGUUGUUAUUUUUAUUUCUCUUUAUAACAUUAUGAUUAUGUUUAUAUAGAUGGAGUAUUGGAGUUUGGUUAUGUAUUUUGAAAUUUUAAUAUUUCAUAUUUUGGGAGUAUCUUAUUAAUAGUUAGUAAAAUAUUAGUGAUAAAAUGUGUUUUGAAUACUUUGUAUUUAUUGUUAAUAAUUGUAAUAAAAUUAGGAUAAAUUAAUUGUUGAAAAAAAUUAUUACAUUCAUGAGGCCCAAUGGGCUAAAAAUUUAAAAAUUCAAAAUAGGCCCUAUGAGCCCAUAACCAAAAAAACCGAACCGAACCGAACCGAACCGAACCGAUUCGAAAAGAACCGUUUGAGUUCGGUUCUUAUUCGGUUCUACUUAAUUUCGAACCGAACCGAACCGAACCGUGCCCACCCCAAUGACAACUACAUAAUAAAGUAAAGACUUUCGCUUUCAUUCUUUAGUGGCAUUCUAUGAUGAAUUGACACAUUUUGUGACCCAUGCUUAAACCAUGUGGUGCUUUUUAUCAUCAUUAUUCCCAUUUCCAUUCUGCUUUUGGCUUUUAGGAAUUAAGGGUAUGCAACUUGCGAGCUUCUUUUGUCACCAACCCAAAAGGCCAAAACCAAUAAAAGAAAGCAACUCUCCUUCUUGUUCUAUCAUUCAUGUUUCAUUCUCUAGAUUGCCGUGCUCUUUGGUUUAUGAAAACGACAAAAUAUAGAACUUUAAUUAAUUUGAUAUGAUUUCAAAGCAUAAUGAGGAUGCAAUACGACAAAAUAUAAACAUUUAUUAAUUUGAUUAAAUUCCAAAGGAUAAUGAGAAUGAGGGAACAAUGCAUUGGAAAUUGCACUAGAAUUGGAUGUGGAUAAAAAUAAAAUGCGUUUUCUUUGGGGUUUUAAUUCAAAAGAGAGAAAUAUAAGUUGUAUUUUACUAAUUAAUCGAAAAAAAAAUUUAAAAAGUAUUUAUUCGUCAAUGGAAAAAAAAUUAUGAAAAGAUUUAAAACAAAUUUCACCAGUAUUUUCUCAAACCAAGAAUGGUUACUACGAACAUCAGGCAACAAACAGACAAUUUCCAAUUUAAUUAUUAGUUUUAUAUUUAUAUAUAUAUAUAAGUUCGUUUUGAUUUUUUAAUGAAUUAUAUAAGUGGGCCAUUUGUCUAAAGUCAGACAGUCAAUAACCACCGGCAUUGUUAUAUAAAACUUCUGUUUUAAAAUUUUUAACACCUAAUGUGAAAAUAUCCUCAAGGGGCCCUAGACUUUAUAAAAUAUAAUAUUAAAUCUAGUGCUAAAAAAUACUACAACUUAGAUCUACCUUAUAUUCUUGUUAUUACAAGGUGAUAAAAAUCUGUUUGCAAUUUUUGCCAUGUAGUUUGGAUUCAUAAUAAAAACACUAUUUUUUAGAUUUAUUUUGAUGUUCGAACUUGGUAAAAAUAUUUAUUUAAAUUAUUAGUACAUAGCUAGGUUAUUUGAUAAAUACAGGCAAAUUUUCUAACCAAAAUCGUCCAAAGAAGUUGAAAGUGUUUAUUGUUGUUAUUUCAUGACAUUCUAACAAACUGUAAGGGGUCACAGAAAGGUUGGUACCCCUACUUCUUGUUCUUUUUCUUUUCUCACUUUCUCAUAAGUUGACUUUAAAGGAAUACCCAUAAAAAGUGAUUGAAAAAGAUAUUCCACGUAGACUACACCAUCCACUCAGGAUGCACCACGUGUAAAACAUCAUGACCUUUUCUCUUUCUCGGCAUAAAAAUAUUUAAAAAAAUAAAUAUUAAAUAAAUAAAAUAAUAGAUGUAUGUAUAUAUAUGUGUGUACACACGCACGCGCUAAAAUACCGGGAACGAGAAAACAGACUUCCUACUUUCUUCUUUCAAUUUUCUAAGCUCACGCUAGCUUUCUCUCUCUAAAAGUAGGAACCGUAAAUUGAGUGAACGUGCGGAAUGACGGCAGCGACGCCGGCGGCGGAGGCGGUGGAGAAGUUCUUGAGGAAAUGCGAGGCGUCGGGUGACGAGGCGUACGGUGCGUUUCGGUCGGUGUUGGAGAAGCUGGAGGAUCCGAGUAGUCGGACGCAGGCUCGGGUCUUCCUUUCGGAUCUUCAGAAACGGGUCGAUGACUCGGACGAGUGUCUAAACAAGUACCAUUUCCGGAUCCAAGAUGUCGUCUUGGACCAAUACGAAGGUCCAUUUCUCUUGCUUCAUUUUUUCUUGUUUAAUUCGGUUGAUUUUUUUUUUUUUUUGAGCUAGUGGUUUGACUUUCUUUGAAUUAGGGACUAAAAAGUGAUUGUUUGUUUUUUAGUUUGGGGAGUGGUUUUAUGGAAGAUAGUUCGGAGGAAAAAGUGCUUUUGAUAUUAAGUGAUUUUUGGGAAAGUAAUUAAGUGCUUAUGUGACAUAAGAAGUGCAUUGUAGAAAAGCAAUUGUGCUUUUCGUAUGUUUUAAAGAAUUUUUGAGUAGUUCAGUUUGGUGCUUCUAAUUAAGUGUUUUUUCAGAAUGUGAUUUAUGUUCUUUUUUUUCUUCAAUUCAAGAAGUGCGUUUUAGAGAUGUAACUGUUAGAAAUUUUUCUGAAAGAAGCCCAAAAAAACGUAUGCUCUUUUUUUUUUUUUUUUUGUAGUUCAGCUGGAAACUUAAAGAAAAUGCAGAACUUACUUUUUUUUAAGAAAAAUCUGAUUUGAUUACUUGAAAACAUUUAUGAUUGUGAGUGCUAUUAAUUAUUUGCAUUUUUUUUAUGCAUUAACUUUCUUAACUUAGGGUGUUUAUUUUAUCAUGAUUAUUUUCAUUCAACAAUACAAUAGACUUUGGUUGGGUCCACCUUAGUUGGGUGUUUCUGAGCAACCAAUUAGGGUCUGGAGAAAACUUGGGUGGAGUGCCGAUCGUUUUCAGGAUUCAGUCCCAAGAAAAUACAAACGAAGUCGUAGUUGUAGUUUAAAUUAAUUUAUAUUUUUGUCUUUUUCUGUGAGCCCAGUGGGCUUUUGUUUUUACUUUGUUCUCUUUUGUUUCUUCCCCUUCUUUUCCUACUGUUUCUUGACAAUCAAAACAGACCAGGAUUUGUUUCAUUUAAACGUUUACUUUUGGUGUAAUUAUUCACUCUAACUCGAAUAAUGCAUAGGUUUAGUGCUAACAAAAUAGAAAGUGAAUUAAUAUCUAAAGCUGAUUUGGGAGUGGAAUGUAUGUUACUAAAAAUAUACUAUAUAGUAGAUAGAAUUUGCUUUUUAGGUAACACUGAAAUAAUAACUGCUGUUAACUUAUUUCAAUAAGCUUGUAAAUCAUUUCAUAAUAAGUCCUAGAUUUUAAUGGUUUUUUUUCCUGAAAUUUUUCGUCAGUGCAUGAGCAAAGUUCAAUGGAUGAACUUCUCUUUCAAUGUCACUGCUCCUCAUAUUAACUGUAUGAAACAGUAAUCUUGCUCUGUACUUUGGAGCAUUUUAAUAGUUGUUGCCAAUUCCUUAGCCAUUUUAUUCACCUCGUGCACAAAUUAUGCAAUCAAUAAGCCAACUCAACUUUCAUCUUUCUUCAGUGAAAAAUUUGCAAGGCCACUAGGAGGUUUUUGUACAUCUUAUGUAACUUGGCCGCCGUGGUUUUACCAUGUAAAUUUUCCCUAUUGGAAUUCAUGAUCCCUCAUAUGCCACUCGUGAAGCUGCUUCUGCCGCUUUAAAAGCACCAAAUUUCAGUUUUAUCCUUUCUAGCUUAUUAACUUGUCUGCAUACGCAUUAUUAUCUUUGUUAUUGUACGAAAGUUUCAUUUAUCAUCUUCCCAACAUAAACAUCCAUAGGUCAUUGUUCACUUUUUUCCUUUAGAGUCAUGCCCGAUUAUGGUUGCCGGAUUUUCUGCUCUGACAAUAUUGUUUCUAAGUAUAGGCUACCAAGGGAGAAAAAAAUUGACAAUGAUGGUCAUCCCCAGCAUUUUUAUCCCAGAAGACUGGUAGUUUACUUUCUAUGAAGGACUGAAUAGACAUCCUGACUCUAUUUUGAAGGACAAGACUGUUGCUGAGCUUGGUUGUGGAAAUGGAUGGAUAACCAUUGCCAUAGCUGAGAAGUGGUUGCCUUCGAAGGUUUGUUGGUUUGUCAUCUUUUGCCAUGUGGGAGCUUUUGUUUGCUUCCUUACCAGUGCCUUCAGGAGCUCCAUCGUGAUUUCUCUCCUCAUCGUUUUCUAUCUCCUUGUUUUGCAAGGCCACUUGUUAUUUAUAAGUAACAGUGUUGGCACCAGAUUAUGGUGUUUUAGUGCCCUCCUAUUCAGAAAAAUUACAUAUAAAUGAACAUGUGAAUUAUCAAGUCUGUCCUUGUCCAAAAGUCUUGAUUGGAGAAUGUUGAAAAUAUAACCUUGUAGCAGUUCUUUUAUGCUGUCUGAAUAUUCUUUUGCAGGUCUAUGGCCUUGAUAUUAAUCCCAGAGCAAUAAGGAUCUCUUGGAUAAAUUUGUACUUAAAUGCAUUAGAUGAAAAAGGUCAGCCCAUCUAUGAUGCGGAGAAGAAAACUUUACUGGACAGGGUGGAGUUUCAUGAAUCUGAUCUUCUCGCUUAUUGCAGAGAUCAUGACAUUCAACUUGAACGAAUAGUGGGAUGCAUACCUCAGGUAUUAUCACUAUCUGCAACUCAUGAUAUUUCUCGGGGCUUAAAUUUUGGUGAAGUUUGUUUUUCCAACACCAUGUUCGAAUUUUAGAGUGGCCACAUGGAUAACCUUUUAACUCCUAGUUUAACUUAUUCUGUUUUCUCCAUGCAGAUUCUUAACCCCAAUCCCGAUGCAAUGUCCAAAAUAAUCACUGAAAAUGCAAGCGAGGAAUUUCUGUAUUCAUUGAGUAACUAUUGUGCGCUGCAGGUUAGAAGAUAUUCUAAAUAAUUUAAUUGUGAUUGCAAAUUGCGGGGAAGUUAGCAAUUAAGUUGACAGGCUUCCUCUACUUUCACAUAUUUAGAAGUAUACAUGUUAUAAUUUUGGUUUGAAUCUUGCAUAACUUAGUUAAGGUUGAUGUCUUUAGUUGUUCAAUAUCAAUUGGGAAAUAAAGCAAACCAGUGAAGACCGUGGGAAAAGGAUAAUGUGAGUUUGACAGAUGCUGAGAGGAGAUAGGGAAACUUGAUCUAAAAGAUUUUUUUUCUUUUUCUUUUCCCUGAUUUUUGUUUUUUCUUAGUGUUUAGCCUCUUUACAAUAACAUUGAUUCCCAUAGUUCAUGUUUCUUGUUGAAAAUAAAGAUUCAAAGUUAGGAUUUAUUUGUAAUCUAGGCUAUUUUAGGAAUAAGUUAAAUUAUAAUGGGAAGAUUCAUUAGGAUUCUUUCCAGAUUUUGUUUCCUAUUAUUUAGGAAAGGAUAGAUGUAGUCUCCUAUUUUCUCUCCUAUUUUGCUGUAUAUAUUCCCUGUACAUACUGUUCUGGAAAGUAAGAAAAAGAGGAACCAAUUCACCGUUUUCUUCAUAGGUGCACUCAACAACUAUCUGUUAUGUCUUGUGGAUGACUGAGAAAGUUUAUUCAUUUUGACAAAUUGCUUUUUGAAUAGAGUACAAGUAGAUUGACUAAUAAUGAAUAUAUUGUAUCAAGUUGUUGCAUUUGAAAACUGUGCAUGACUGCGGUCUUUAUCACUUUUAUUCUCAAGGUUCAUGUUGACCUAAAUUUAAAAGCCUUGGACGUUUGGAAAAUCUAUAGCACUGAGUUUGCGAAACCUUUUAGUGCCCUGAAAGAUUGACUGCUUCAAUUGUGUUUUCAAUAUCUUGUUAUUAACAUAUUUGUAUAUAUGUUAAUAUCUUGUGGAUGACUGAGAAAGUUUAUUCAUUUUGACAGAUUGCUUUUUGAAUAGAGUACAAGUAGAUUGACUAAUAAUGAAUAUAUUGUAUCAAGUUGUUGCAUUUGAAAACUGUGCAUGACUGCGGUCUUUAUCACUUUUAUUCUCAAGGUUCAUGUUGACCUAAAUUUAAAAGCCUUGGACGUUUGGAAAAUCUAUAGCACUGAGUUUGCGAAACCUUUUAGUGCCCUGAAAGAUUGACUGCUUCAAUUGUGUUUUCAAUAUCUUGUUAUUAACAUAUUUGUAUAUAUUAUGAAGGCUAAGCUGUGUAAAUGAGAGAUAAAACAUAAAAGGUCAAUACACAGCUGUGUCACCUUUUACUUCUUCUUUAUUUAUUUAUUUAUUUUCUCUGUAUGCAGGGUUUUGUGGAGGAUCAGUUUGGCUUAGGUCUAAUUGCUAGAGCAGUUGAGGAAGGAAUUGGUGUCAUCAAACCUUCCGGGAUUAUGAUCUUCAAUAUGGGUGGUCGUCCAGGACAGGGCGUUUGCGUGUCGACAAGCUUUGGCAGACUAAAAUUCUUCAGGCAAGUGAACCUUUUUUUGUGGAAAUUCAUUAUCUAUCCCAAAUAUCCACCUCUUGAAUGUGUUUUUGCAGGCUUCUGACACAGAUAUUUCAGCUUUAGUUGAAAUUGAGAAGAAUAGUCCUCAUCGUUUUGAGUUCUUCAUGGGACUUUCUGGUGACUUACCUAUUUGUGCUCGAACAGCAUGGGCCUACGGAAAGGCUGGUGGACGUAUCUCUCAUGCUUUAUCAGUUUAUAGUUGUCAACUCCGUCAACCAAACCAGGUCUACAUUUCAUUUGGGUUUUAUUGAUAAAGUGGGUAAUUGCUCUGACCAGGGAAGUGAGCUAAAAUGAUAUCAACUUAUAUUUAUGGACAGGUUAAGAAAAUUUUUAAGUUUCUGAAAAAUGGCUUCCAUGAGAUCAGCAGUUCUUUGGAUUUAUCUUUUGAAGAUGAUUCAGUUGCUGAUGAGAAGAUUCCAUUCCUGGCUUAUCUUGCCAGUGUUCUGAAAGAGCGUUCUUUUUUCCCCUAUGAGCCACCAGCUGGAAGCAAAAGAUUCAGGAACCUGAUUGCUGACUUCAUGAAAAAGUACCACCAUAUUCCGCUCAAUGCUGAUGUGAGAAAACCUUAACUACUCAUCUAUUUUUGUACUUCUCUGGACAAGUAACUUUUGUGUUCUGUCCGUCCUAGGUUCUGUUUUCCCUGAUGCAUUUUUUCAAUUUCUUUGCAUGUGAACUCCUAGGUUCUGUUUCUCCUGAUGCAUUAUCUCAAUUUCUUUGCAUGUGAGCUUGGUGCAUUCAUAUUAGUUUAGGAGGGAAUCUAUUGGUCAUUUACUUGUUUGUGACGAAUAACGUAUGAAACAAUCUUGUUAUUUUUUGUUCUCAAUACGUAGAGCUCUAUGGACCAAUUGCUUAUCUUCUUUUAUCCUCAUUAGAAUUUCUUCAGACAACUUCUACUUCAUGCAAUUUGUGAUAAUUUGCAUUGUUUUUGUGGUCAUUCUUAUGUCUAUUGGACAAAUACUGUAAUGUGAAAUUCUGUCUAAUGGUAUCCCUUAUUCCUUUUGCAUCAUGUCCCCUCAAGUAGUUAAAUGCAUUUUUGGAUUUGUCAAUUUUUUUGGUUUGAUGAAAUCUUGAUUCUCAUGUUACCUAUCUGUUCAUUUAAUUUGACCGUGGAAUGUGUUGUUGCUGUGAGUUAUGCUGCACAUGCUUGUUAUUCGUCCAGUCUUUUUGUGUAAACAUAGAGUUUUGUACAUACUUAUAUAUGUACUGGACCUGAGAUAUUUGCACCUGACCUACUUAUUAAUGUACAUGACAAAUGAAGAACUUUUUGAGAUCUGGAAUGGAUCAAGACCUGCAACUUUCUACUUGUAGAUUUUCCACUGUCCAGUCCAAUUGUAAAAUACAGUUUGUGAUUGCUGCAUGCAUAAAUUAGCCAAACUUAAAGAUGUUGUAGUUGCCUUUUUCUCUUUUUUUGUAUGAGUAAAACAAUCCACAUUCUUAACUUUUCUUCUCCACUUGUUUCUCAAGAACGUUGUUGUUUUUCCUUCAAGAGAUGUGGCAAUUGAGAAUGCUCUUCGAUUAUUUUCACCUCGCCUUGCAAUUGUUGAUGAACGUCUAACCAGACACUUACCAAAGCAAUGGUUAACAAGUUUAACAAUUAAGGUAUGAUCUAUUUCUGAUUUAUUUUCUGUUAUUUUUGACAUAGUUGAAAAUUUCAUUUUUGGGCAGAUUUUCUUUGCUAUUCUUGGAACAAGUAAUAGUGCUCAUUCCCUUGCUUGAACACAUACUAGUUCAGUCGCACCGCGGAAUUUGUUAGAUGAUAAAAUAUCAGAUAUGAACUCAGCACAUUGUUAUACUGUUGCCUUUAUUCCUCAAGUGACAGUAAAAACUAGUAAUUGCAGUAGAUGAUAUAUUUAAUGAAAAUUACUGGGGCGACCAGACUUUUGUGUUGACAUUGAAGGGGGAGAUGGAGAAAGACCGCAGGAACAUAGCGAGCAGGGAUAGCUUUGUCUUAUGUUGUGAUGUUUGAUUUUCGCAGCCUUGACUAGUGGAGCUAAGAAGUUUAUUCCAAUCCCUAGUGCACUGAGAACAUUUCAUUUUUAUUUGUAGUUGCUGCAUUUAUGGUCCUGGCUACAAUCUUGUUCGAAGACCUUUCCUCAACCCACUUCCUUUGAAUUUCUUUGUUGUCAGUUGUCAUCUUGUGCUGCAUAACUACAAAAACAUCCUUCUUGCAGGGUACAGAUACUGAAAACUCUUCGGAGCAUGAACUAACAGUAAUUGAAGCACCACGCCAGUCAGAUUUGAUGGUGGAGCUGAUAAAGAAGCUGAAGCCUCAGGUGGUAAUUUCUGGGAUUGGUGAUUUUGAGGCUGUUACCAGUUCAGCCUUUGUACAUCUUCUAGAUGUUACAAGAGAAGUUGGAUCUCGUCUUUUCUUGGAUAUAUCUGAUCACUUUGAGCUCUCCAGCCUCCCAAGUUCCAAUGGGGUCCUUAAAUAUCUUGCUGGAAAUGUUCUUCCUUCACACGCGGCAGUUAUUUGUGGCCUUGUUAAAAAUCAGGUGAUUGUUUUUCAUUAUACUGGCCACUUGACUGUUAUGCUAUUACAAGAAGAGAUUUCUGUUUGUUCUGAUCAAGUCAUAAGAUGGGUUUCAAGAUUCGUUCUCAGUGGUUAUCUGUUAGCUUUUUGUUCUUAUUUAUGGAAGCCAAAUUCAUCUUUGCAGGUUUAUUCAGAUUUAGAAGUUGCUUUUGUAAUCUCAGAAGAAGAGGCCAUCUUUAAGGCCUUGUCUAAGACUGGAAGUACUAGAAGGGACUACUGCACUGAUUAGUCAAAACUACUAUGGUUGUCUUUUUCAUGAGCUUCUGGCUUUCCAGCUUGUGGAGCGACAUACGCAUAAAGAGGUUAUCCUUCUCUCUUUUUUUGCUGUUUUCAUAUCACAGAAUCCAUUUUUGAAUAUAUGUAUUUAGGUACAGAAGCACAUGAAUAUUCAUGUUUUUAUGAGUAUAUUUAAGUAUAUCCAAUGUUGAUUAACUCGUCCAUUUGAGCAUGAGAUAAUUAGAUAGUUGAUAUUUAUGUUACAAAAUUCAGAAGCAACAUUAGCACUGCAGUAUCAUGCAAGGACUGUAACAACCUGGAUUCUUUUUCCACCUGGAUUUUUUUGUUGAUUCACUUGGCAUAUGUUUAUCCAACCUCUGAUUUUUCUUAAUAUUUCUCUGUAGUUCAUUUCACGGCACGUUUAGUUGCUACAUUGGCAUUUUCUGCUAUUUGUUUUUAUUCAUUGAAGCAAGUUAGCUCAUGAAAUUGCUAUUUGAUAAAUGUUGUUCAGAGGGAUUGCGAAAAGGUCAAAUCAACUGAGAUGAUCGGGUUUUCUAGAUCAGCCAUCUCUGUCCUCAACAGUGCUGAACUGUCAAUUACUGACACACCAAACUCUGGCCUGAUUCAUAUGGAUGUAGACCAAAGCUUCUUGCCCAUACCAUCUCUGGUCAAAGCUGCUAUCUUUGAAAGUUUCGCAAGACAAAACAUGUCUGAGUCAGAAAUUGAUGUCACCCCCAGCAUCCAACAGUAUAUCAAGAGCAAUUUUGGUUUUCCAAUUGAUAUCAAUGCAGAAUUCAUAUAUGCAGAUUGCUCUCAAUCUCUGUUUAAUAAGCUAGUCCUCUGUUGUAUCCUAGAAGGUGGAACAUUAUGCUUCCCAGCUGGCUCAAAUGGGAACUAUGUUUCUGCUGCCAGAUUUUUGAAAGCGAACAUUGUGAAUAUUCCUACUGAGUCUGAAGUGGGCUUUAAGAUGACAGAGAAGACACUUGUGACGAUACUCGAGACCGUGAAGAAGCCGUGGGUGUACAUUUCUGGUCCAACAAUCAAUCCAACUGGCUUGCUUUAUAGCAACAAAGAGAUGGAGAAUAUAUUAACUGUUUGUGCAGAGUAUGGGGCAAGAGUUGUGAUUGAUACUACAUUCUCAGGAUUGGAAUUCAACUACGAGGGUUGGGGUGGCUGGGAUUUGGAAGGCUGUUUGUCAAAGCUGUAUUCUUCCGCCAAUUUGUCUUUCAAUGUGUCGCUGCUCGGAGGGCUGUCUCUGAAGAUGCUGACUGGAGCACUCAAAUUUGGGUUUCUGGUUCUAAAUCAUCCUCAGUUGGUUGAUGCAUUUAGUAGCUUUCCGGGAUUAAGAAAGCCUCAUAGCACAGUCAGAUACGCUAUAAAGAAGUUGCUUGGUCUGAGAGAGCGAAAAGCAAGAGACUUGAUGAAUGCUGUUGCAGAACAUAUAAGAAACUUGGAAAGUAGAUCAAAGCGCUUGAAAGAGGUACUUCUAUCUGUCCUCUUACAAGAAAUUUUGAAUUAACCAAUUACAUGUAGUACAUAAUCUUUGAAUUAUAUUACUCAAUUCUAAAUAUAUGUCCUACCAUUUUCUCCAUGGUGAUCUUUCUGCAACAGGCACUUGAGAAUUGUGGGUGGGAAGUGGUUCAAUCCUGCAGUGGUGUUUCAAUGGUGGCGAAGCCCUCUGCCUAUCUCAACAAAACUGUAAAGAUCAGCCGGCAUUCAGCUGGCAGUGGUGAGAAAACUGCUACAGAACAAAUCAAGCUUGAUGACUCAAAUAUCAGGGAAGCCAUAGUCAAGGCAACUGGUUUGUGCAUCAACAGUGGUUCGUGGACCGGAAUUCCUGGCUAUUGUCGCUUCACAAUUGCACUGGAAGAAAGCGAAUUUGAACGAGCUUUGGAUUGCAUAGCUAAAUUCAAAAGCAUCGUUCUUACACGUAGUUAACUAAAAAAUGGUAUUGUCAUUUGUCAUGAUUUAUUUCUAUUGCCUGAUGAUGGUACCCAUCACGCCUUAGUUGUCGUGAAUAAAUCGAAAAUCAAAUUGCACUGGUUUUUACCGGUUAUCAACAAUUGUGAUGUUUUGAGAUUAUAACAUACUUGACAACGUUGACUAGCGUUCUCUCCUAUGUGAAUUGGGACAAAAAUUAUUUUCCCAAUCACGCUUUCGUUUGAACAAUUCUACUUCAGAUAUAUAAAAUAAUGAUGAAAUUGUGUUUUAUAAUUAGUUACGAGUAAUUGGUUCAAUAUUAAUACAAAACUAUUUUAAGUAACACGUGGCAUAUUCUAAUUCCAGUGAGCUUCUAACUCAGAUUCCCAAAUCAAAAGAAACGUUUCAAUUUUCUCCAGAACAUUCUGCAAAACGUUUCUUCGAGUCUCUACGCUGUGCUAUAAUUUUCUCUCAGUUUCUUUUGCAAAGACUUCUAAAGAACUGUCCAGAUACCGAAAUAUAAGGGGUUUUUAAUUAAAUACCCUUUAAUAGUUUCAAAAUUAUUUAAAUAUCCCCUCCCUUUUUUGUUUUCAUGGAUACCCUAACAAAUGUGAGUAAAGUCGGAAAUACCCUUAAUGAAUACAUCAAAUUCACUCAAUGAAUUAUCUUCAUAUUUCUUUCCUCAUUUCUUUCACCCAACUCCAUUUUUGCUGCCGAUUCUUUCAAAAUCUCUUAGAAUCUCUCAAAAUCUCUCAUAACUUCUUACACAAAUACAAUUAUGUAUUCAUUUCUUUAACACCCACUCUUUCUUUAAAGGUGCAUUGCUUAUUAAACAACCCAAUAAGGUAUGUUAAUGUUGUUGGGUUUUAAAUUUUUUAAUUUUUAGGAAAAUUUAGAAAUUUUCCUCACAUUACAAUGUUUUAUUUUCACCAUUUUUUCUUAUACGUAGAAAUAUAUGCAAUGUAGGUUGUUUAAUUAUUUUUUUCAGCAAUAUAACUUAUUUAUGGCGAAAAUGUUUCGAGUCGUGCAUUCUUUUGAUACCGUGUACGUCAUAUAGUUAGUUAUGUAGGUCGUGUAAGUAAUAUAGUCGUGUAAGUCGUGUAGGUCAUGUAAGAAAUAUAGUCGUGUAGGUCAUGUAAGAAAUAUAGUCCUGUAAGUCGUGUAAGUAAUAUAGUCGUGUAGGUCAUGUAGGUCGUGUAGUUACUUGUAUAUGAAAUUUAAUAUUAUUGUUUUUAUUGUAUCAUCAGAUAUGGUUUUGGUACGUGUGCCUAUUCUCUUCAAUGGUGAAUGGAUUGAGCAAAAUGACGAGUAUAAGUUCAAAGGUUCAAAAGCUAAAGGGAUAAUGAUACCACGAUCGACAACAUAUGCCGAAUUGGUGGAGAAGAUAGCUGAAGUUAUUGAUAUAGAUACUUCGGAAUUCGAAAUCACAAUGAAGUUCAAACUUAAGACAUCUGAUCCUAUGCCACUAGUUACAAUUCAAACCAAAAAAUUCGUGUAAUUUUAAAGUCGCAAUUAAACAUAUUACAGCUAUUUAAAAAGUUUUUUUUUUUUUUAUCUUCAAAGUGCUUUCUUCCUCUGGCCAAGCAUACAAGCAUACAUGAGGAAUGUCUGCAUAUAAUUAAUCCAUGAAAUCAAUUAAGAAAAAAAAAUAUCAACCAUAGGAAAUUAAUGUAAUGUUAUACACAUAAGAACACCAUUCGCAGUGAUAAAAUAUUUCCACUCAUAACUAGACAUAUCAUGACUUACCAUGGCUUAUAAUUGGAAAUUAAGAAUCUCUCUAACUAAUGAUAUUUCACAAGGUAAAGGUAUAUGCACCAUUCCAAUUUAUUGUGAGCCUAAUUAAACUAAAUGUAAUGUGUAGAUUCUAUUGACAAGAAACAAAAUGUGGAAUUGAAGGUCGUGUAAUUGUGUAAUACAAGAAGAUCGUGUAAUUGUAUAAUACAUGAAGGUCGUAUAAACAUGCAAUACAUGAAGGUCGUGUAAACGUGCAAUACAUGAAGGUCGUGUAAACGUGCAAUACAUGAAGGUCGUGUAAUCGUGCAAUACAUGAAGGUCGUGUAAUACACAACCUUGAAUAUUACAUAACCUUACACGACCAAAUCUUAUGUUACAUAACAAAAUUAUAAUCAGCACAAUCCAUUAAUUUUUCACAAUUUGCAUGCAGCAAAACAACUAGAAAUUUGUUUUCGAACAUGUUAUGAGAGACCCACAACUAAUUAAUCUAUUUUUUCAAUAUAAAACCCUAACUUUUUAUUUUUUUUCCCUUGAAUAUUAACAAGAAAACUAAUUACACGGAAUUACUUGUCUCAACUAGUUACAUUCUGACAAUUUUGCAGUAAAUGAUCAACUCUCUCCGGCGAUUAUGUAGUGACGAACUAUGCUUCACUUUCUCAGUUGUGGCAGCUUCCCCUUCUCAGGCUUAGUUUGCUCGUGUUGAAGUUCGAUUUACCAUGUAUGGAGAAUGAAUGUUUGUUUCGGUAGAGGUGAUGCCGGUGAGGGAAUUGUAGAGGUGAUGUCGAUGAGGGAAUUGCAGUAUUUGUUUGUUUGAGUUUGAUAAUGGAGGGAAUUGCAGCAGAUGAGUGUUUGUUUGCUUCAGUAGAGAAGGGAGAGGUGCUGUCUAUUGAGUUGAAAUGUUUUAAAAUGAGGAUAGCUUAGUAAUUUCCUAUCAGUUUUUAAAGGGUAUCGAUGAAAAUUUUGGCAAAAACAGAUUUUAGGGUAUUGAGAUAAUUUUUGAAGUAUGGAGGUGUACCGGGCGCAAUUGGCUCGAAAUAUAAUCCAAUCUAAGUGUAUAUAUCUCUCUACGUAAAGAUAUUCUAAUUCUAAUUAUCACAUUCUAAUUCAUAAAGAUAUUCCUCUUCUGUCAUAUUAAUGUGCUAAUACGAAGGUCUAUUGGAAUUAUAAUAGUUCAGAUGAAUCCAAAAUAUUCAAUAAUUGAUAAAUAGUAUAUAUAAAUAUUAAUAGCAAUGGCACAUAAUCAAUUAAUUCAAGAACUUGCCCAUAGUGCAUUAAGUUAAAAGAGUAAAAAUAACAUUGCAAAACAUGCCAGACCUUACGUGUUUAAUUAGCAAUUGAAAACUAUUUUACCGUACAACACCAUAAAGAGAUAUUUAUAACACUGUUGCUGCAGCUGUUAAUUCUUUUGGUGAAGAUGUUAAGGCCACUAAAGCUGGAACGUAAUUAGGGAAAUAUAAUGCAUUCACUUAGUUUGCUAUUUGUGUUUUUAUAUUUGUUUGGCUAAUUCUUUGCUCAGAUUGCUUUUUGUUUGAGAUUUUAUUGGCUUAGUCGUGGGAUAUUAUUUAAUCUUUUAAUUUUGUGUUUUUAUUGUUAUGGGAUUUGAUGAUGGUAUACAUAUAGGAAAAUUAUGCAAGAAAGUGCUUUUAAUAAAUUAUGGUCGGUUUACUAUUAAUUAACCAAAUUUAAUUUACUCAAAUUACUCCUAUACACGAUCAAAAUAAUUUCAAUUCCAUGAUAUAAAUACGCGCGUGCGGACACACAAAAUGUAAAUAACUUUCAAAUAUAAAAUAUUUAAAAUAAUCAUCAUACUCACAAUUCACAAGUUAGAUUAUAUUAAGGCCACCAAGGCUUAAAUGUAAUUGAUUGAAGAAAGAAGUGCUUGCUUUGCUUGAUGUGCCAUUUGUCUAUGAUGUUUUAUAAAUGGCCGAAAUAAUGAUAAUCUAGUGAAUCUGGUCAUAUUAAUUUGAUUUUCAUUUAUAUUAAUUAUGUCGAAUCAUACUAUUUUAAUAAGAAAGAGCACUCGAGAAUAUAUAUAUCUAACAACUAAAAUUUCAAAACAAUAUUUGCCAAAGUCUGAUGAAGAGAAUACAUAUAUAUAUAUAACAUGCACUCGCACACAUUCUAUUGUUUAAUUAAAAAAUUCGAAAGCCCAUUAUAUACAUGAUAAAGACUCACCGACACCGAACCAUAUUCAUUUAAAGGAAUUGUUUUCAACUGAGAUUUGAAAUUAUAUACACAAACACACCCGAUUUUUUAUUUUUUUUAAAAAAAUUACUAAUAAUAAAAUAUUUCAGUCGUCCUCUGUUCAGCUGUCAAAAACGCAUUUAAAAUCUAUAGCAACAUGCGGUAUAUGGGUUAACAAGUCCCAAUAUUGUCCUCCAUCCUUUCUGCACUUCUCUGCCAUCAACGGACAUCGAUAGAUACUUAAUCGCAAAAGUGAGGAAGGCAGGCCCUUCUCCGGAAAGUAUUUGAGCUUGGGACAAUACUGGAGAUCCAAGUGAGUGAGGUUUUGAAGAUCAACAAUUGAAGAAGAUAGGCGUUCCAGAUUUGGAAAAUUAGAAAUCUCCAGAAAUGUUAGAGAGGCAGGAAGAGGAAGCGCGGUCCCCAAUCUUAUGUCCUCCGGUGGGAAUGACACCAUGUCGCCAUCGCAUCGGCUGAUUGUGAGUUGUCGCAGAGAGGAGAAUCUGUGGAAUCCCCGACCCCGCCCAAUCGUUGACUUCCAAAUCUUCGUAUUACCAUCAAUCUCCAGUGAAUGAAGGUUGGUGGGAAGGGCAUCUUCUUCAAGGCUUGGAAGCUCACCUCCUUUUCCUAUUUUUAAUUGUUGAAGAGAGGUCAGAUUGUGCAAUCCCUUGGGUAAGGCCUCUAGUCUCUCACAAUCAGAUAUCUCCAGCGUAGUCAGUUUCGCACAAGGCAAUCCCCCUUCGGGAAAGGACUCCAGAUUUCCACAUUUCUCUAUGCUAAUCUCUUGAAGCUGGCGGAGAUUAUGUAAACCACUCGGUAAAGUUUUCAGAUUUCCACAAUCAGAAAUCUUGAUUGUUUCAAGAGAUGUGUUGUUGUCCAACCUUUCUGCUAUAGACUCCAGCUUUGAACAUCCCCAAACACCAAGGAACUCAAGAGACGGAGGUAGAUUGCCAACUUCAAGGGACUCAAGCGUGGCAGGUAACUCGUUUUUUGAAAAUAUACAUGUCAGUGAUGGACAGCUGUUAAUACGCAACUGCUCAAGAAGAGAUGAGGUGUACCUUCUGCUGCUGCUACUCUGGAUGCCCUCUUCCACUGUCAAGGUCCUUAUAUUAUCGCAAUUGUAAAUCACCAACUGCUUAAGGCUCCGUGGUAGCUGGACUCCACCAAUAUAUAUCAACGAAUGGCAAACCCAAAUCUCCAAGAUCUCGAGAGAUGAAUUGGUGUCGCACAUCCAUGCCUCUGGUAACGAUUUCAGUGCAUCACAAGCCGAAAUGAAUAUUCUCCUCAACUUGGAAGGCAGAGCAACCUCAGGAAAGGAAACAAGGGAACUGCACUCGUAGAUUUCUAUCUCUCUCAAGGAACUGAGGAUGAGCGAUGAUUGUGGCAGCUUUACAAGGCAUUGGCAACGGCUCAAUCUUAGAUAUUCGAGUCUGCAUGACAACUCGCAGAGCUGCUGUUGUUGGUCUUUCUCUUCCUCCGCCACCAAGGAUUGAAGUUUGGGACAGCAGUAGAUCUCCAGUCUUUUGAGAGAGCAAAUGUCUUGUAGUAAUCCGUCAUGACUCUUCCAUAUAUAUGUUUGCUCUUUUGUCGACAAAAUUAAUUCUUCCAAUUUCUGUAGUUGUGGCUUCAAUGGCCCCGCAAGAAACACUUGAUUUGAUGUAUCUCUACAAACCACUGAAUUCUGUGAUCCGAGAUGACCAGUUGCACUUUCCCACACAACCUUUUUGCAUCCACCAAUUUCCAAUUUGCAAAGAGCUGGAAGACUCGAAACUGAAACUAACAAUUCUUCACAUCCUUCAAUAACAAGCAUCUCCAAUGCAGGAAGGUGCUCUGGAAAUGUUCCUUUCAGUUUAGAACAUCUUAAAAUGUGAAGCUCUCUCAAUUUAGGAAACCCUUCAACUCCUUGACUGGAUCCAUGAGGAAUCCAGUCUUCCCAUUCUCGCAUGUUUUCAAAACGAAGAGUCUCCAAGCAUGGAAAAGGAAUUGGAGCAUCAUUCCCAUAGAACUCUGAACCCAACCUCUUUACUCUGCUCAUUCCACAUACUGCAAGAUGCUUUAGAGAGGGUAGUUGCCCGACUGACGGCAGGGCAGUACACAUGUCACAAUUUUCAAAUUUUAGCGUCACCAAAUUUGACAAUGAGGAAUCUCCUAACCAAGCUGGAAAUUUUGUACCUCCAUAGCCACUGAUACAAAAUUGUUCCAAAAUUUCAUGAGGUUUUAGCAUGUCAAGCACAUCCUUUUCAGUUUCUGCCUCACUUGAAGAUGAGCCAUCGAUACUGAGUGUCCAUCGAAGCAAUAAUUCUCUAAGAUUCUUCUUUCCAUCCAAUUGAGCCUCCUUCGCAUCACCAACGUCUUUUACAUUCUCCAAUUUUGAAAUGUUAAGUGUCCCAUGAAGGUGCGUCAACAACUUUAGCUCUCGUAACCCGGAACCACUGUCUUUUCCCACAACAAAAUUACACAACGUCUGAAGGCAAGUCAGCCUGCCAAUUCCUAGUGCCAUUUCCUCCAACGAAUCUGUUUUUGAAUUAAUGAGAUGAUGCAAUUUGAUGAGAUUUCCCAUGUCUGCACAUAACUUCUUCAGCCGAUCACAAUCUUCCAACAAAAGACUAUGCAAAUUGUAAAGCUUGUUGACUGAUUCAGGCAGAGUUCUAAUCUUAGUUCCAGACAGGUUAAGGUACCUUAAAUACCUCAAAUCACCAAUUGAAUCCGGCAGCUCAGGGAUGCGGUAUCCACGCAAAGAGAAGACCCUCAAGCGUUGGAGUUUGAGCAACUUAGGAAGAAUGCUAGGAGCCAAGUAGCCAGGCAAACUAUUUGUCAACAUUACUGGUAAAAAAGUUCUCAAAUGUUGGAUAUCAUACAAGUCCCCAAACCUUUUACCGCCAUCACAAUAUUCAGGAAUGUAUGAUAGAUGACGAAGAUUUUCGGAAAAACUUUGCUGCUUGUUAACCUCUGAGGUAUACUCCAUUGUGAAGUAUAUCUCCCCCGCAGCCCAACGGGCAAGGUCAUUGAUAAGAUCGUGCAUCACAAAUCGUGAUGUAUUGUUGCUUGAUUGCUGCAAAAAAGAUCUUGAUCGUAGCUCUUGAAAGAACUUUCGACCUAGAUCUUCGUUAGGAUUCCCACUCUCUUUAUGAUCCAAGAAACCCGAAGCACUCCAUAAUAAAAUUAUCUCCUCCUCUUCAAAUUCAUAAUCCUUCGGAAACAACGAGCAAUACGCAAAGCAUUGUUUCAAAAUUGGAGGAAGAUAAUAAUAGCUCACUGCAAGAGCUGGUAUAAUGGGACAUUUAUCUUCUGGUAAUUCCCAUAUCUUGCUACUGAGCACACCUUUCCACUCACGUUUGUAAGGUUUUCCAUGUAAAAGUCCUCCCAGUGUUUUUGCUGCCAAGGGCAAGCCGUUGCAUUUGAUCACUAUCUCCUUGCCAAUUUCCUCCAAUGACUUAUGUGAACUGAAAUCUGCUGUCUCCAAAGAGUGCUGAGCGAGUACAGACAGACAGUCCUCAGUUGACAAGCUUUUGAGUUCAUAAGCUUGAUCCAGGCUCAUGAUUUUGGCAACCUCUUCAUUGCGAGUGGUGACAACAACCUUACUUCCCUGUGCGCCAGCUUGAAAUGGAAGGCUGAGGUGAACCCAAUCAGUGUAAUUCUCAUUCCAAACGUCAUCUAAAACAAGCAAAAAUUUCUUUCGAGACAACUGCUUCUUUAGCUCCUCUUGAAGAAAAUUUAAAUCAUUAUUAUCAACAGUCUGCUUAGUAAUGGAGCUUAGAAUUGUUCUUGUUAGCCUGAUAAGAUCAAAAUCAUCAGAGACACAAGUCCAUGCCUUGAGAUCAAAAUGAUCCUCCACUUGCUUAUCAUUGUAGACAAGCUGAGCAAGAGUGGUUUUACCCAGCCCGCCCAUACCUAUAAUAGGAAUAACUGCGAAUCCACCAUCCUUUCUUGAAUCAUCCUUCAACAACAAUUCAACAAUUUCCUUCUUUUCUGUUUCCCUGCCAUAAACUUUGGCUUCCUCCACCAAAGAAGUUGUAUCUCGCCUUUGCCUGGCUUUUUGGGACCCCCCAGCUGAACUUUUUAUCAAUUUCAGCGAGCCUAUUCCUUCUUCAAUAUCUCGAAAUCUGUCGUUGAUCUUUUUGAUUUUGGACAUCAUCGAGUAAUCGAACUGAAUCGAUUGCAGAGUAAAAGUGGGGCAGCAAGUAGGAAUGAGCUUCCGAAACUUACUCUUCGUGCUUGUACGACUGCUGCUGGGUUGAUCAUGAGCAGCAGCUGGUUCUCCAUUUCCAAGCAGCAACUUCCUCCGGAAAGCCUCAGUUUGGAACUCAUCCAACAAGUCUUCAACGUCAUAAGCCAAGUUCUGAAGCUCGCCAAGCCACAACUUCACAGAAUCAUCAGUCGUCUUCUUCUGCUCAGCAUCAUCAAGCACCGCCUUGAUCGUCACCAACUUCUUCUUCCACUUCACUAGAUCGUCUUUGAUUCGACCUUGGCGUUCAAAUAAACGAAGCCCCUCCGAAGAUAACUUAUUGAUCAGCAUCUCAACGGACGCCUUCAGGAUUGCCUCUCCGAUGAUCGACAUUUUUUCUUUUUUCUUUUUUUUGGGUUUUUUGGACAGAGAAAGAAACUGAAUUAUGAGUUUGUGGAAAGCAAAAUGAGAAAAGUGAAGAAGCGGAAUGAGUUUGUGAUUGUGUCUAGCAAAGCCUAUAAAUCAAGAAAAAUCCACCGUAAAAGUGAAAAGUCAAACGGAGCCCACCACAAAUAUAAAAUCAGAGGAGCACAGAAAUUAAAAAAAAAAAAAAUCAAACAUGUAAUGAUUUGUAAAGUUAUUAGCGAUUUGUAAAAAUCAAACAUGCGUCUUCUUCCUCUGAGUGUAUUUUUUUUUUCUUUUUCAAAAGAGAUGGUGGGGUUGUGUUGUUUGCAAAGUUAAUAGCGUGGGUCUAUUUGUUUUUGUUUUAACUUUAUUAAUUAAUUAGUGAAGCAAACAUGUAAUGAUUUGUAAAGAUCACCGGCAUCAGAUUAUUGAGAGGUAUUGCGCUUAGUAUUCACAAUUUCUUGUAAGAAGAAUUUGUAAGACUUAUUAAUUUCGAUGAAAAUGUAUCAUUAUUAUUUAAUUCAUUAAGUUAACUUGAGGUAUUAAUAUUCACUAAUUGUGGUGCUGGUGAAUUUACUUAACUUGUCAUUAUUUGUAAUUAAAGAAUGAGGUUCAAUCAAUUUAUUGGAGAAAAAUUGAUUUUAAUUCUUAGUAUUUGAUUUCACUCUCUUUUACUUUUUGACGUUGCUAAAGAGACAGUAAAAAACUUGCUAAAUGUCAUCAAAUACUUGUAUCUCAUCUCACAAAUUGGCAAUAUUUGUUUGGUAUUUCAUCUUAACGGGACGCCGUAAGGAUUGCCUCUCCAAUGAUUGAUAUUUUUUUUUUCUUUUUUUCCCGCACAGAAAGAAACAGAAUUUUGAGUUUUAAAGCAAAAUGAGAAAAUUGAGCAAAAUGCAUGUGGCAAGUCUCCUGCUUGAUUAUUCCAGUAAAGUGAAAAUAAAAGCAGAGCCCACCACCCAUUGAUAAUUGGAAAAUGAUAAACGAACGAAAAGCGCGACGAAGGGACGACAGAAAACGCGUUUCCUCAUCAAAUUUUGUUUUUGUGUACCGACAAUAAAUAAUAAAAUAUUUUUUGUGAGAGCGAUAACAAAUAGUAAAAUAAAGAAUUAAAAAAAAAGAUAGUGUAAACGAACGAAAGCGCGACGAAGGAACGACAGAAAACGCGUUCCCUCAUGAAAAUUUUUUUUUGUGGGAUCGAUAAUAAAUAAUAAAAUAUUUUUUUGUGGGACCGAUUAUAAAUAGUAAAAUAAAGAAUAAAAAAUAAAAAAAUGGAUGGUGAAAACGAACGAAAGCGCGACAAAGGGAUAACAGAAAACGCGUUCCUCAUCCAAUUUUUCUUUUGUCGGACCGAUAACAAAUAAUAAAAUAUUCUUUUGUGGGACCGACUAAAAAUAGUAAAAUAAAGAAUGAAAAAAAGGAUAGUGUGCAAUUUUUCUUUUAAUAGAAUUUAGCAAUUCACCAAUCACCAAUCACCACCACUUGUUACCAGAUUCAAUAAAUGUAAAAUCGCACCUGGACAUUUGUAGGGUCAAGCAACAUUAAUCCAGUGUCCGGGUAAAUGCUGAAUAAAGGGGAAAAUGGGAUGUAAAUUUACUAUUAAAACAAAUAAAAUUUAUUAAUAAAAAUAAGGGUUAUAUAUAUUUUUUAAAAUGUUAAGAAGUUUUAUAUCUUUUUUGGAUUAAAUUUUCUAUUUCCUAUUAAGCAAAACCCACGUCAAAAGUGAAAAAGAAAAAUAGAGCCCACAGAACAGAGCCCAUUACAAAUAUAAAAUCGGAGGAGCUCAUGAUCAUGCCUUUUGUUUUACAUACUAAAUUUAAUAAAAGCCAAACCAAAAUCUUGCCUUUACUUAACAUGAUUAAUUAGGCACUGCAUCAGAGAGAACACGAAAGCUAUGAACCAUUUUGUUAAUCUUAAAUGUCAGGAAUAUAAUUAGCUUGGAAUAAAGUUGCAUUCUUCUCCUCUGACCGCAAGAUAUGGACUGGGCCACUCCAAAGAGAUUGGUAAUGCUGUAUCAGUAUAAUUAGCUUGGAAUAAAGUUACAUACAUUCUCCUCCUCUUACUGUCUCUUUAGGUUCAUUUCAAAAGUUUGAAGAGAGUAUCAAUUCUUCUACACUUUAGAAUGUCAAUGUUUUUGCUUUCUUCAAAUGUUGAAUAAAGAGAAAAAAAAAAUGUUGAAUGUAGAAGGAAAAUGGAAUGCAUCCACCUUCGCUUUGGAAGUCUUCUACUUAUAAAAGCAAGCUAAAUUAAAAGAUUUAAAUCUCUCUUUUUAUUACUAUAAGUGCACUGCAUUUUUUUUUUUAAAUAAUCACCUAUACAAAUUUGUAACGUAAUGAAAUAUUCAUAUUCCUGUCGUGUCGAAAUGAGAUAAAAUGAAAUUUUAAAUAACACAAAUUCGACUCAUUUGUUAAAAGUAUAUACUUAAUAAGCUAAUAACAUAAUUAACAUAACGCUAUUAUUAUACUAAAUGAAAUAAAAGACGGUAGCCACCAAUAAUUACACUAGCAAGCUUCGCAUGCUCGUGUUUAAGGAAUUGGACAUUGGUGAAUUAAUCAAGGAUAAGAAACAAUUUCAAAAAACAAAAUGGAUACUAUACAUUUUCUUUUUUUAAUUGCACAGAAAAUGGGACUAAUUUUCAAAUAUUUUCAAAUUCACUUAUUAACAAAAGCUAUACAAAAUAAUUUCCUUUUUAUUUUGAAACAUUAUACGGAAUCAAAUAACAGUGAUUCAAAGAGUGUAAAGUGGUAAUUCUCUGAUUGUAUUUUCUCUCUUUUUUAAAAGGAGAUGGUGGGGUUUGGUUGUUUGCAAAAUUAUUGGUGUGAGGGUCUAUUUGUUUUUGUUUUCACUUUAUUAAUUAAUUACGAAGCAAACAUGUAAUCAUUUGUAAAGGGGUCACUAGCAUUGGGUUGUGUAAGAUGAAUUCGUAAGACUUAUUAAUUUCGAUGAAAAUGUAGCGUUAUUAAGUUGUCAAUUCAUUAACUUGAGGUACUAAUAUUUACUAAUUGUGGUGAUUAAUUUAUUUAACUUUGUCAUAAUUUUCAAUUGAGAAUGAAGUUCAAUCAAUGUAUGAAAAAAAUAAUUUUUUUAGAUUUUUAACUCCUAUGAUUUAAUUUCCAUCUGUUUCGAUUAUUGACGUGUUAAAAGCUUGUAGAAUAUCAUGAAAUGCUUGUAUCUCACCUCACAAAUUGACAAAAAUUGGUUGGUUUCUCCAAAGGCUGCCAUGACGAAUUGAAAGUAAAAACAACCACCAUUGAAAAUUAAUUUUAAAAAUCUUUUUUACUUGAAAAUUUUUAAAAGAAAAAUUAAGCAAAUUAGAUUGCAGAUAUCAAUCUUAAUAUUUUGUUGAUGAAAAUUAAUUAAUUAAUCCCAGUACUUUCUUAAUUUUGUGUUGUGCACCGCAUUGGCCACUUCUGAUUGUGUUGCAUAUUUGUUAAUUCAAAGAAAUAGAUCUUUUGUAUCGAUCAAACUUAUUUUAUUAGUAUUAUUCAUCAUAUGGUUAAUGGCUUAGCCAAUGAAGGAGAAGGGGUCAGCCAAAAUAAAUAAAGUACUUUCUCAUGCAUUAACCUUUAUUAAAAAGCUUUAUUAACUGUUGUAGUUAAAACAAUUUUAAAACAAGUUAAAACAGUUCCAACUCAAAAUCUGUAGGCUGCAAUUGGGUUGUUACACAUAUUUCUAAAUUUCAGUCUAAUUUAAUUGUGUAUGGACAAACUGACUUUAUCACUCCUUUCAUAUUAAUACUCAUAAAUUUCAACCUUUUUUUAUGAUGAUGCACAAUCUAACUUAACAAAAAUAAUGUUCAAAUUGUCAAAAAAUGUUCUUUUCUUAAAAAAGAAAAGAAAAUCAUAUAUAGUAGUUAAUUUUUCUUCCUCUUUACUCCAAGAUCCAACUUCGUACUCCACUUUUUUGUUGUUAUUGUACCCAGCCGUUAGAUUUUAAUUACAUUAAUUUAAUGGUUUGGAUUUGUAAAUGAAUAACGACGUAGUGUUUGGCUACCAUCUGAACCCACUGCAUCUAAUUGGUUUUGUGAUUUUUUGCUUUCUUCUCUGUAACACUUGACUAGUUCUGAAAAUAUCGACCGCCAUCAACAAUAAAUCUGAUCCAUGUAUUAUUUCUUAGUAGUGGGCAAAUUAAUAAAGUUUCCACCACCGUACCAGUAUGUCGAUUUGCGAAUACAUUCAUUCAAAUAUUAAACAUUCAGAGAAGAAAGCAAACCGUGGCAGGAUAGAAUGCUGCGUUCUGUGCUAACUAUAAAUUCUCACAGUGGCACGCAUAUCACAUGACACACAGAGCUCAGACAACACGCUCAACUGCCACAACACUCACCAAAUCUUCACCCAACUCAUGCAUCUCACCUCUCUGUGCUCUCUCUGUUGGCUCUCUCUCUCCCUCUCUCUCCCCCCGUCGCUCACGCAUCUCACCAUGCUCUCUUUUCACCGUCGACUUUCUCUCUCUCUCUCCCCAUGGGUCUUUCCACAGCUGGCGCGGGUCUCCAUCGAGAAUGCUUCGAACUCAUCAAGAGUGGUAGUAAAAGCAACAGUUUCAAUCGAGAACGGCGUCGUCUCGGCUCGGAAGAAGUAAUAACAGUGGUAUUUGGCGGGGGUUUUGGGUACUUUUUGUUCCUGUUUGUCCAUUAAUUAAUUAAUUUGGAAAAAGAACGGUGUAUUUGACAAAUAAAUAAUGGGGAUGGUUGGAUGUAAUUAAGGGGAUGAUGAACAUAAUAAUGGUUUAAGAAGACCAGGAUUUUGUUAACUUUUUUCUAGGUUUCUUGAAGAAUGUAACUUAAAAUAAAUGCAUCAAAUUAAGUAAACAUAAAAUCAUAAUAAUAAUAAUAAUAAUAAUUGGACUCAAUAAUUAUAUGUGAAAUUUACAUAUGUGUCAAGUAGGAGCAUGAUAUCAUCAUUUACACACACACACACCACACACACACACACACAUAUAUAUAUAUAAAUGACAAUUUAUUUAAAAGUCAAAUAAUUGUGACGUUUUAUCAAAUAAGUGACAAAUAUAUAAUAUAUUACAUAUUUAUUGAAUAAUUAUCAUUUACCUUUUCCUUUUAUUGACUUAAGAAAAAAAACAAAAAACUUGCUAUACCGCUUCUGUUUUCGUUCUUAGAACAUAUUAGUUUCUUUUGAGAAAAGUCAAACUCAUUCCCAUUACUUUCUUUUCAAUAAUCACCUCUCAGUUUUUCAUCAGUCACUCAAUUUCGAAUUUCAUCUCCAUUCUCUUUCAAAGAAGAACACACGAAGAAUUUUAGCUUGCUUUACCUGCUUCUCGAAUUUCAGGUAUUGUUUCCUUUAAUUUUGAUUUUUUUUUUUACCUCUCUGUUUCUAGUUUGAUAAUUUAGGGUUAUACUUGAAUUAAUUGUAUUUUUAAUCAUCCUAGGUUGAUUUAAUUGAUUCCAAGUCUCAAUUUCCUGUUCAACAAACAAGGAACGCACGAGUAAUUUUCAUUUUCAUUCUCAAUUUUGAAAGAAUCAAUUUAUUUUAUGUGUUCAAUUUUGUUUAUUUAACUUAGGAUAUCUUUUUCAUUCUCGUCUUCAAGCAGACUAUAGCGUUGCUCCUCUCAUUGAUUAUAUUGAGAACAAUGCUUUCUCCUUAAUUCCACCAAGAACAACGUUGAUGUCAGGUGAUAAUUGAAUGUGUAAUAUUUUCAAUUGAAAUUAAUUGAGUCUCGUAAUAAUAAUAGGGAUUUGAGAUUUACAUCCUGUUGAAAUGAUUUUAGAGUGUUCUGCUAUUUGAAUGGGCAUUAUUUUUUUAUUUUCAAUUAAUUGAGUCUCUUUAAAAGAUUAUUUUUGUUUUUAGCAAACAUCUUAAUGCACUUUGCAAAUUGAAUCCAACAAGGGAAAAUUACAGAACUGCAACAGUUUUCAAAUUGAUUGCAUAUUAGAAGUAAUGUUAAUUUAUGCUGCAACAGUUCAAUGGGCUGGGCACAAGUUUAGGACUUUAGUUGCUCAAUUAAUGAAUCCACCACUCAUCGGACUUGGAACUUAUAUCAACUGAAUCAAUAAAAAUAGUUGACGUAAUCAAUACUGAAAGCUUCAUUUGAUUAAUAAUGAACUACAGACAUUUAUUUAUAACAUCUGCUAGAUUCUGGACAAUCACAAAUAUAUAGUAGCAGAAACUAUGUUAGAGACACUGUAGUUGCUUAAUUAGUGAAAUUGUGAUCUCGUUGCCCCCUUUUUUUGGUUGAUUCUAUAAUUUUAUUAGUUGUUCUUGUGGUUGUAAACAAUAUCAAUUUCUAAUAUUAAUAAAACUGAAUGAAUAAAAUGCGAUACAUUUGCAGGAAAGUUAAUAGUUUAAAUAUGGAUAAAUCUUGGAUGUUGAUGGAUAGAAGGUCUAAAGAAUAUGAGAACACGGUAAAUGAGUUUCUCAAGUUUAAUGUGUUAAUAAUUAUGAAGAACCGGUGUAAUUUAUAUGAUGUAGGAAGCACUUUAGGCAAAAUCAUCUGAAUCUCAAAAUUUCGUGAUAUUGUGCCAAAUAUCCAAAACAGAGCUUCCUACAUUGCUAUAGCAGUUUUUAAAAGUUGAGGACUCCAAAUAUCCAAUAACUGAUCAAUUCUGUUAAGAAAUAUAAAUAUUAAUGGUGAUGACACAUACGCAUUGAAUUCCUUCGUUUUGAGUUUGACUAAAAUAACCUGAAUAGUUUCAAACAAUCCAUCAGCCCAAAGUCCUUGAGAGAUUGAACUCGAGAAUAUAUAUAUCCAACAGGUAAAAUUUCAAAACACCAUUUGCCAAAGUCUGAUGAAGAGAAUACAUAUACACACACGCGCGCUCAUAUGUAUAACCGCACAGCAGAAGGAUAGAUAAAAUAAAUUGAAGUUUCAACAGUUGAACAAUGCAAACUCAUUUUAAAAAAGCAUUCUAUUGUUUAAUUAAAAAUUCGAAAGCCCAUCAUAUACAUGAUAAAGACUCACCGACACCGAACCAUAUUAAUUUAAAAUUGUUUUCAACUGAGAUUUGAAUUUUGAAAUUACAUACACCAACACGCCCGAUUUAAAAAACAAACUAAUAAUAAAAUAUUUAAGUUGUCUAUGUUCAGUCAUCAAAAACCAAUUUACGAUUUAUUUCAACACAAACACACCCGAUCUAUAAAAAAAAUCAAAAUAAUAAUAAAAUAUUUCAGUCGUCCUCUGUUGAGUCGUCAUCAAAAACCCAUUUACGAUCUAUUUCAACAAGAGGUAUAUGGGUUAACAAGUCCCAAUAUUGUCCUCCAUCCUUUCUGUACUUCUCUGCUAUUAACGGACAUCUAUGGAUGUAUAAACGCAAAAGUGAGGAAGGCAGGCCGUUCUCUGGAAAGUAUUUAAGCCUGGGACAAUUAUAGAGUUCCAAUGAAGUGAGGUUUUGAAGAUCAACAAUUGAAGAAGAUAGCCGUUCCAGAUUUGGAAAAUCUUCAAUCUGCAGAGAUGUUAGAGAGAGGCAGGAAGAGGAAGCGUGGUCCCCCAUCUUAUGUCCUCUGGUGGAAAUGACACCAUGUUGUCAUCACAUCCUGUGAUUCUAAGUUCACGCAGAGAGGAGAAGCUGUGAAAUCCCCGGCCCCACUCAAUCAUUGACUUCCAAAUCUUCGUAUUACCAUUAAUCUCCAGUGAAUGAAGGUUGGGAGGAAGGCCAUGUUCUUUGACGCUUGGAUGCUCACCUCCUAUAAUUAAUUGUCGAAGAGAGUUCAGAUUGUGCAAUCCCUUAGGUAAUGCCUCUAGUCUCCCACACUCAUACAUCAUGAGCUCAGUCAGUUUCGUACAAGGCAAUCCCCCUUCGGGAAACGACACCAGAUUUCCACACCCCUAAAAUCUAAUCUCUCGAAGCUGGCGGAGAUUAUGUAAACCACUCGGUAAAUUUUUCAGAUUUUUACAACUAAUGAUAGUGAUUGUUUCAAGAGAUGUGUUGUUGUCCAACCUUUCUGCUAUUGACUCCAGCUUGGAACAUCCCCAAACAAAAAGUGACUUAAGAGACGGAGGUAGAUUGCCAACUUCAAGGGACUCAAGCGUGGCAGGUAACUCGUUUUUUGAAAAUAUACAUGUCAGAGACGGACAACUCUCAAUGUGUAAGUGCUCAAGAAGAGAUGAGGUGUACCUUCUGCUGCUGCUACUCUGGAUGCCCUCUUCCACUGUCAAAGUCCUUACAUUAUCGCAAUUCCGGAUGACCAAGUUCUUAAGGCUCGGUGGUAGCUGGACUUCAGCAAUAUAUGUCAACGAAUGACAACGCGAAAUCGUCAAGAUCUCGAGAGAUAAAUUGGCGUCGCACAUCCAUGCCUCCGGUAACGAUUUCAGUGCAUCACAACGGUGAAUUGAAAUGCUCCUCACCUUGGAAGGCAGAGCAACCUCAGGGAAGGAAACAAAGGAACUGCAGUUGUAGAUUUCUAUCUCUCUCAAGGAGCUGAGGCUGAGCAAUGAUUGUGGCAGCUUCACAAGGCCUUUGCAAUCAUUUAAUAGCAGAUAUUCAAGUCUGCAUGACAACUCGCAGAGCUGUUGCUGGUCUUUUUCUUCCUCCGCCACCAAGGAUUGAAGUGUGGGACACCAUCCAAUCGUCAGCCUUUUGAGAGAGCUAAUGUCUUGCAGAAAUCCGUUAUGACUCUUCCAUAUAUAUGUUUCAUUUUUAAUAUUGCUUAUCUCCAAUUCUUCCAAUUUUGGUAGUCGCGGCUUCAAUGGCCCUGCAAGCAACACUUGAUUUAAUGUAUCGCUACAAACCACUGAAUUCUGUGACUCGAGAUGAUCAGUUUCACUUCUCCACACAACCUUUUUACAUCCACCAAUCUCUAAUUUGCAAAGAGCUGGAAGACUCGUAAUUGAAACUAACAAUUCUUCACAUCCUCCAAUAACAAGCAUCUCCAAUGCAGGAAGGUGUUCUGGAAAUGUUCCUUUCAGUUUAGAACAUCCUAUAACUUCAAGCUCUCUCAAUUUAGGAAAUCCUUCAACUCCCUGAGUAGAUCCAUGAGGAAUCCAGUCUUCCCAUUCUAGCAGGUUUUCAAAACGAAGAGUCUCCAAGCAUGGAAAAGGAAUUGGAGUAUCAUUCCCAUAGAACUCCGAACCCAAUCUCCUUACUCUGCUCAUUCUACGUACUGCAAGAUGCUUUAGAGAGGGUAGUUGCCCGACCGACGGCAGUGUGGUACACAUGCCACAAUCUUCAAAUUUAAGUGUUACUAAAUUUGAGAAUGAGGAAUCUCCUAACCAUAUUGGAAAUUUUGUACCUCCAUAGCCACUGAUAAAAAAUUGCUCCAGAUUUUUAUGGGGUUUCAGCAUGUCAAGCACGCCCUUUUGAGUUUCUGCCUCCCUUAAAGAUGAACCAUCGGUACUGUUUGUCCACCGAAGCAUUAACACUUUAAGGUUCUUCUUUCCAUCCAAUUGAGCCUCCUUGGCAUCACCAACGUAUUUUACGUUCUCCAAUUUUGAAACGGUAAGUGUCCCACGAAGAUGCGUCAACAACUUUAGCUCUCGCAACCGGGAACCACUGUCUUUUCCUACAACAAAAUUACACAAUGUCUGAAGACAAGUCAACUUGCCAAUUCCUAGUGGCAUUUCCUCCAACGAAUCUGUAUUUGAAUUAUUGAGAUGAUGCAAUUUGAUGAGAUUUCCCAUGCCUGCACACAACUUCCUCAGUCCCCGACAACCCUCCAACGAAAGGGUGUGCAAAUUGUAAAGCUUGUUGACUGAUUCAGGCAGAGUUCUAAUCUGAGUUCCAGAUAGGUUGAGGUACCUUAAAUACCUCAAAUCACCAAUUGAAUCUGGCAGCUCGGAGAUCCAAUAUCCACACAAAGAGAAGACCCUCAGGCGUUGAAGUUUGAACAACUUAGGAAGAAUGCUAUGAGCCAAGAAUCCUUGCGAACUAUUUGACAGACAUACUGGUAGAAAAGUUCGCAAAUGCUGGAUAUUGUACAAGUCUUCAAACCUUUUAACGCCAUCAUAUUUUCCACAGAUGCAUGAUAGAUGACGAAGAUUUUUGGAAAAACUUUGUUGUUUGUUAACCUCUGAAGUAUAAUCCAUUGUGAAGUAAAUUUCCCCCGCAGCCCAAUGGGCAAGGUCAUUGAUAAGAUCGUGCAUCACAAAUAGUGAUUUAUUGUUGCUUGAUUGCUGGAAAAAGGAUCUUGCACGUAGCUCUUGAAAGAACUUUCGACCUAGAUCUUCACAUGGAUUCUCGCUCUUCCGAUGAUCCAAGAAACCCACAGCACUCCACAAUAAAAUUAUCUCCUCCUCUUCAAAUUCAUAAUCAUUUGGAAACAAUGAGCAGUAUGCAAAGCACUGUUUCAAAGGUGCCGAGAGAUAAUUGUAGCUCACUCUAAGCGCCGGUAUAAUGUCACAUCUCUCUUCUGGUAAAUCCCAUAUGUUGCAACUGAGCACACCUUCCCAAUCACUUCGGUCACAUUUACCACGUAAGAGUCCACCAAGGGUUUUCGCAGCUAAGGGCAGGCCGUCGCAUUUGAUCACUAUCUUCUUGCCAAUUUCCUCCAAUGGCUUAUUUGAACUGAAAUCUCUUGUCCCCAAAGAGUGGUGAGCGAACACGGACAAACAAUCAUCAAUUGACAACUUUUUUAAUUGAUAAGCUGAAGCAGUCCCCAUUAUGGCUGCAACCUCUUGAUUGCGAGUUGUGACAAUAAUCUUACUUCCCGGUGCGCCAGCUUCAAACGGACGGCUCAUGUCAACCCAAUCAUUGUAACUCUCAUUCCAAACGUCAUCUAAAACAAGCAAAAAUUUCUUUCGAGACAACUGCAUCUUUAGCUCCUCUUGAAGCAAAUUUAAAUCACUAUUAUCAACAGUCUGCUUAGUAAUGGAGCUUAGAAUUGUUCUUGUUAGCCUGAUAACAUCAAAAUCAUCAGAGACACAAGUCCAUGCCUUGAGAUCAAAAUGACCCUGCACUCGAUCUUCAUUAUAGACAAGCUGAGCAAGAGUGGUUUUGCCCAGCCCGCCCAUACCUAUAAUAGGAAUAACUGAGAAUUCGCCAUCAUUUCUUAAAUCAUCCCUCAACAACAAUUCAACGAUUUCCUUUUUUUCUGUUUCCCUACCAUAUACCUUUGCUCCGUUCACCAAAGAGGUUGUGGGUAGUCUUUGCCUGACUUUUUUGGAUCUCCCCGCUGAACUUUCUUUCAAACCCAACGAGUCUUUCUGUGUUGCAACAUCUUGAAAUCUGUCGUUGAUCUCUUUGAUUUUGGACAUCAUGGUGUAAUCGAACUGAAUCGAUUGUGGAGUAAAAGUGGUGCAGCAAGUAGGAAUGAGCUUCCGAAUUCUGGUAUGACUGCUACUAGGUUGAUCAUGAGCCGCAACUGGUUCUCCAUUUCCAAGCAGCAACCUCCUCCGGAACGCCUCAGUUUGAAACUCAUCCAACAAGUCUUCAACAUCAUAAGCCAAGUUCUGAAGCUCGCCAAGCCACAACUUCACAGACUGAUCAGUCUUCUUCUCCUCAGCAUCAUCAAGCACCGCCUUGAUCAUCACCAACAUAUUCUUCCACUUCUUUAGGUCGGCCUGGAUUUGCUCUUGGCGUCCGAACAACCGAAUCCCCUCUGAAGCUAACUUAUUGACCAGCAAAUCAACGGACGCCGUAAGGAUUGCCUCUCCGAUGAUUGACAUUUUUUUCUUUUUUAACGCACAGAAAGAAACAGAAUUUUGAGUUUCAAAGAGCAAAAUGAGAAAAUUGAGCAGUAAGUGUGAAGGGUCAAGCAAAUUGCACGCAACAAGUCUUCCACUUGUUGUUUACUCUAGUAAAGUGCAAAUAGAAACGGAGCCCACCACCCAUUAAAAAUUUAGCGAUUCACCAAUCACCAGUCACCACCACUUGUUACCAGAUUAAAUGAAUGUAAAAUCGCACCUCGACAUUUGUAGGGUCAAGCAACAUUAAUCCAAUUGUCCGGGUAAAUGCUGAAUAAAGUGGACAAUUGGAUGUAUCUACUACGAACCUUCCCUUUACAAAUCUUCAAACUCAUAAACCAUGUUAAAAUGAAAAACGUUUCUCUCUUUCUCUCUCCCUUUCUGCCGUAAAAUUACUUUAUGGAUUGAAUUAAUUUCCAUGCUAAAACGAAGACUUAAAAGUACGAUACAAUUUUUUAUAAUAAUCCCAAUGGAAUUUCUACCGUCACGUUACAUUACUGUAGUGUCAAAAUAAAUUAUAAUAAAAUUUUAGCUGAACAUAAAUUCGACUCAUUUAUUAAAUAUAUAUACUUAAUAAAAUAACAACGAUAUUUUAUUACCUGGCUUCUCCCCAAAAAGAUAAUUUUCAAAAUUGUUCAUGGAGAAGUCUAUGUUGCAGAUUCUGUAACAUACGCACCCAAUGCAUGCACCACACUUGUUCUGUGCAUGGAGAAAAAGCAUGCAAAUGCUUUUGUUAGGUAGCUGGCUUAAAGCAGAAUCAGUAAGUUACAGAGUCUGUAACUUAGCCUGCUCCAUGUGAAAACAAAAAAAGUCCUGCCACCAAUAAUUCAGAAAGCUUCACUUUAUUACACGAAGGUGAAAGCAAAAAGCCAAAAACAGCCCCCACCACCAUCAAUAAUUUAGCAAGCUUCACAUGCUAGCGCCUGUCUACCUGACGAACUGCACACAGCACAUGGGUGGACCAAGCAUCAUUGAAUAGUUGUAAAAAAUAAAAAAUAAAAAAUAAAAAUCAGUGUCCCGCAAAAAGAAUCCAUCUUUAUGUGUUGAUAUGCACAUCUACCGAACAUCCAAAAAAUGGAAGUAGAAAUUGAAACUUACUUUUUUAGUUAUGGCUCAUAUAUAAUACAAGUAUCAAGAUUUAAGUAGAGUUCACAUAUACACAUGCGUCUACAAAAUUUUUAGGAAGUGAUAACUAAUAUGUUGGGAUAUAUAUUUGUGGGAAAUGACAAAUAUAGAGAAUAGCAGUAAAAAUGUUGGAAGUUUAAUAUAAUGAAAAAAGGUAAAUUGCAAAAAAUUAAUAUGUAAUUUAAAGCACAUUACAAAUUGAGUAAUGUACAUGGGUUAAGCAAAUAUACCUCAAUGAUACAAUGAGACACUUAUUUGUUUGUUUGCUUUGUGCAUCGACAAAAAUAAAUUAGAAUACUCUUUAAUGUUGCAAAAACAAUAUAUUGGAUAUUUGAUGCAUAAAAAAGAAAGUUAUUUGAUGAAAUUCAUUCUAGGAAAUAGAGCUAAGAAAAGAGCGGUGUAGGAUUAUCUUAUUCAUAUUUAAAAUUCUAAAUAUAUUGAUUUACUUAUCAUAGUGAUAUAAUAGUAAUUGUAAAUUAAAAAUAAAUUUAAUAUUAAAACAAAUAGAAUUUACUAAUAAAAAUAAAGUUAUAUAUCUUUUUUCGAAAUAUUUAAGAAUUUUAUGUCCUUUUUUUUUUCAAAACGUUUGGAGUGAAUUUCCAUUUCCCAUUAAGCAAAACCCACCGCAAAAGUGAAAAGAAAAAACAGAGCCCACUACAAAUCUAAAUCAGAGGAGCUCAUGAUCGUGCCUUUGCUUCACACACUAAAUUAAAUAAAAGCCGAACCAAGAAUUGCCUUUGCUUAACAUGAUUAAUUAGGCACUACAUCAAAGAGAACACGAAACCAAUGGACCCUUUUGUUAAUCUUAAAUGUCAGGAAUAUGAUUAGCUUGGAAUAAAGUUACAUACUUUCUCCUCCUCUUACUGUCUCUUUAUGUUCAUUUCAAAAGUUUGAAGAGAGUAUCAAUUCUUCUACACUUUAGAAUGUCAAUGUUCUUGCUUUCUUCAAAUGUUGAAUAAAGAGAAAAAAAAAUGUUGAAUGUAGAAGGAAAAUGGAAUGCAUCCACCUUCGCUUUGGAAGUCUUCUACUUAUAAAAGCAAGCUAAAUUAAAAGAUUUAAAUCUCUCUUUUUAUUACUAUAAGUGCACUGCAUUUUUUUUUUUAAAUAAUCACCUAUACAAAUUUGUAAUGUAAUGAAAUAUUCAUAUUCCUGUCGUGUCGAAAUGAGAUAAAAUGAAAUUUCAAAUAACACAAAUUCGACUCAUUUGUUAAAGGUAUAUACUUAAUAAGCUAAUAACAUAAUUAACAUAACGCUAUUAUUACACUAAAUGAAAUAAAAGACGGUAGCCACUAAAUGAAAUUUUGUUGUUAUUGUACGUUGAUUUAAUGGUUUGAUUUUCCACUAAAUGAAAUAAAGCCGUUAGAUUUUAAUUACGUUGAUUUAAUGGUUUGGAUUUAUAAAUGAAUAACGACGUGGUGUUUGGCUACCAUCUGAACCCACUGCAUCUAAUUGGUUUUGUGAUUUUUUGCUUUCUUCUUUGUAACGCUUGACUAUUUCUGGAAAUAUCGACCGCCAUCGACAGCAAAUCUGAACCAUGCAUUAUUUCUUAGUACUAAGAAAUAAAGUUUCCACCACCGUACCAGUAUGUCGAUUUGCGAAUACAUUCAUUCAAAUAUUAAACGUUCAGAGAAGAAAGCAAACCGUGGCAGGAUAGCAAAAACUGCGAAUGGUCAUUCCCAACACAAACCCCUAUGGCUGUUUUCCUUUUAAUUUUCUUCUUUGAAUUCUCCUUUUAUUAAUCAUUAGAAAACUCCCUUUUUUUUUUUUAAAUCAUGUGUUAUUAACAUUUACAUGGUUAAUGUCAUCGAAAUCAAAUGGUUGUUAUCUACGAAAAGAGAAUUGCUAGAAAUUUUGUUAGUCCCAUUGCAACAAUAUAUUGUUAUAAAUUGCAUUGUGUCCCAUAUAACAAAUAUAAUAAAAUCUCAAUAAAUUAAUAGUUUUGGGAACCAUAAAAAAAUUUAUUAAAAUUUAACAAAUAUCAAUUAAUCAGUAAAUUGAUAAAUUAUUAAUUUAUGAAAAUAUUCAUUAUUUUGAAAAAACAUGAUCACGUUUUUAAUAUUGAUUUACCCUGAGUUAAUAUCUAUUAUGUUUUAUUUGUCUAUUAGUUUUAUCUUGGGAAGAUUUUUUAAGAGUUAGCUGCUUUAUAUUAAGUUAUUAACAGUAAUAAAAUUAUUAGUUGAUACAGGCGAAUUUUCUGACCAAAAUCGUACAAAGAAGUUGAAAGUGUUUAUUUUUGUUAUUUCAAGACAUUCUAACAAACUAUAAGGGGUCACAAAAAGGUUGAUACGACGUAAAAUGUGGCAAGUCUUCCCACUUGUUAACAGUAAUAAAACUACUUCUUGUUCUUUUUGUCCUCAAGGGUCAAGCAAAAUACGACGUAAAAUGUGGCAAGUCUUCCCACUUGUUGUUCUUUGCAGCUAAGAAAAGAAAAACAAAUCCCGCAAUGGAGUCCCCUUAAGUGGCUUGCCUGGGUUUGCUCCCCAGUUCGAGUCGCAAGGAAGUCGCCUUUGUUGGGAGAACCUGUGUCCUCCAGUUCGAGCGGGGACUUCUAGUCUGAGUUGUGGUACGGGCUUAAAGGCGUCUCCCACAGUUGGGCCCUCCCCAGGAUACCUCGUGGUUAAGAAAAAAAAAAAAACAAGAAAAAAAGAGCCCGCCACCCAUUAAUAAUUUAGCAAUUCACCAAUCACCACAAAAUUCCAUUAGAUAUUCGUCGAUCAAGUAGUUAAUCCAGUGUCUGUUACGUAGAGCCUUCACUUUACAAAUCUUCAACUCAUAAACCAAGUUAAAUCAAGACGUUUCUCUGUAUAUAUAUAUAUAUAUAUAUAUAUAUUUUUUUUUUUUAACUCCUAAAACGUUUCUUUUUAGAAAUAUUUUACUUUAUUCAUCUAAUAUGUUAUCUAACAAAUAGACACAGAUGAAAUCACUCUAAAGUGAAGAUGAAAGGGGAAAAAAAAACAUUCCAACCACCAAUAAUUUAGCAAGCUUCACUUUUAUUCCACCAAAGUGUAAACAAAGCCAGCCCCCACCACCAUCGAUAAUUUUGCAAGCUUCACACGCUUGUUGUCUUCUCCUUGACGAACUGGACGUGGGUGGACCAAGAAUCAGUGAAAGAAUUUUAAAAAUAAUAAUAAUAAAAGAAAAACCUAAACAUUUUCGACUUAGAGUAGAACCGUAAUUAAUGCUAAAAUUUACUCCGCUAACGUUUUCAAAAUAUUGUUCUUUAUCAUUGUACAGCAAAUAAGACUAAGUUUUGGACAUUUUCAUUAUUCACUUACUUUCAAAAGUAGUAUUUCAAAACAUUUUACAUAAUCAAGUUACAGUUAUAUAACGAGAAAAGUGCAAAGUUGUGUAAUUCUAAUGUUUUUUUUAUCACAGACACUCAGAUCAUUUUUUAUUUGGGUCGCCAACUCGCCAAUGAACCCAUGAUUGAAUGAGUGUUUAGAAAGAAAAUCAAUAAAAAACAGUUUAUUUUUUGUCGUCGAAAUAUAGUAAGUGAGAAAGAAUAUUCUUUUUUUUUUUUGUUAGUAUUUAUGAUUGAGUGACUCAGAACUAUAUUUUAGAUUGAGAAUCAAUGGUUCUCCCACACUGAGAGGCUGUAAGUUUAAGAUUGUCGUUUGCUAUUUCAUCGACAAGAGAACACUUGAAUUUUAUUAAAAGGAGAAGGCCAUAAAGGUUUUCCUUUAUGAGAAAUGUAUCUGAUCAUUCAUUUUUACUUGAAAAUUUCAUAUAUAAAAACUCAUUAAUAAAUGACAGAAUAUGUUGAAAAGUCAUGCAUGUGGCAUCCAAAUUCAAGAAAGCAUGCAAAUUUCAAAGUGCUACCAAACAAUUGAAGAAAAAAAUGAAAAGUUGGCAAAUUUUGCAAAUUUGCCAAAUGGACACCAUUGACAAUUUGCUUAAGUUAGGUGGAAUAGUAGAGGGGUUGGUGCACUUCUUCCAUUUUAAUCAUCUCAAAAUUGUUAAGCUUAUAAGUUUCUAAGCUUUUGAGAGAAGUGAGAGAAGUGUGUAUGGGGAAUUUAUCUUUCCUGCAGAGUGUGAGAGUAUUGGGUAUAUUUGGGUUUCUGGGAAGUGAGAUUCGUUACUCAAAUAUUGUACUCUAUUAAUUGUUAAAUAAACAAUUAUUCUUUCUUGCCUCCGUGGAUGUAGGUUUAAUUACCGAACCAUGUAAUUCUUGUGUCCUUUAUUUUUCUAUAAUUAUUUGGUGCGCUUGAUUUCGCAUUCCGCGCACAACAAAAUAUACAUAAAUUAUUAAUUCAUUUGAUAGUUGAUUAUCGAAGGACAUGUGACCCAUGGGAGCAUGCAGUCUAUAAAAUAAUUCUUUUUUUAUUAAACAAAAAAUUGGUGAUGUUGAAAAGCAAUAUUAUUAUUAUUCUAAUUGGGGUGAACAUUCAUAAAAAGAAUGCCGUAUGAAACUAAAUUAUUAAUUCGUUUGAUAGUUGGUUAUCGAAUGACAUGUGACCCACAAUAAAUAGUUAAAUUUGGCGGCAACAAUAAUUACAAGACGAACUUAAAGCAGCGCAUAGUUUUUUCUUAAAAAUACAUAAACAAUUCGAUAUUUGAAAUUCUAAUAUCUCAAUAAUAUUGAUCAUGAUUCAGUUACCAAUUAGAUCCACUUACAAUUUCUUUUUUUCUUUUUUCUGGUUUCCAAUCUUUACCAAAAGAAAAUAUUUAGUGAUCCCUUUUAUCAACUUGGUUUUAUUGACUUUCUUCCAAUCAUAGAAGUGUUACCAGAUUCUGUAAAGACAAGAUCAGUGCCCAGCAAAAGAAGCUAUGUUUUCGUUUAUAUGCUGCUUCCUAUUUAGUACAUGCAUAUAAAGAUAUACACGUGCACAUGCAGCACAUCUAUCUAAAAUUUAAAAAACGGAAUUAGAAAUACAGGAUUUAUGGUAGAAAUACAACAGGAAUAAGAGUGAAAUUCCAAUUUUAAAAUUUGGGAGAAAUGAAAUGCGAUAUUUUUUUUAUUAAUAAAAUAAUUUAAUUUUUUUUAAUUCUACCAGCAAAAACCAUUAACUUAUCAAGUUAUUGGUUUCAUUCACAGUUGACAGUCGGUUUCUUAGUUUCAUUCCUUAAUUCUACAAGAAAAAAACAGAAUACUUGACAUUUUUUAUUUGACAGUUUUUAAGAAAUGUCAAACAUAUAUGACAUUUUGUGAAAAACUGAGUAAUUGUGAAAUAUAAAUGACAAUUUAUUUAAACGUCAAAUAAUUGUGACGUUUUAUCAAAUAAAUGAUAAAUAUAUUACAUAUUUAUUGAAUAAUUAUCAUUUACCUUUUCCUUUUAUUGACUUGAGAAAAAAAACAAAAACAUUGACUAUACUGCUUUUGUUUUCGUUCUUAGAACAGAUUUUAGUUUCUUUUGAGAAAAUUCAAACUCAUUCCCAUUACUUUCUUUUCAAUAAUCACCUCUCAGUUUUUCAUCAAUCACUCAAUUCCGAAUUUCAUCUCCAUUCUCUUUCGAAGAAGAACGCACAAAGAAUUUUAGCUUGCUUUCGCUGCUUCUCGAAUAUUGGGUAUUGUUUCCUUUAAUUUAGAUAAUUUUUUUUUUUAUAUCUCCCUUUCUAGUUUGAUAAUUUAGGGUUAUACUUGAAUUAAUUGUAUUUUUAAUCAACCAAGGUUGAUUUAAUUGAUUCCAAGUCUCAAUUUCCUGUCCAACAAACAAGGAACGCACAAAUAAUUUUCAUUUUCAUACUCCAUUUUGAAAGAAUCAAUUUAUUUUAUCUUUGGUUAGUACACUUCUGUUCAAUUUUUGUUUAUUUAACUUAAGAUAUCUUUUUCUUUCUUUUCUUCAAGCAGAUUAUAGAUUAUAUUGAGAACAGAGCUUUCUCCUUAAUUCCGCCAAGAGCAACGUUGAUUUCAGGUGAUAAUUGAAUGUGUAAUAUUUUCAAUUGAAAUUAAUUGAGAUUUACAUCCUGUUGAAAUGAUUUUAGAGUGUUCUGCUAUUUGAAUGCGCAUUAAUUGUUCCUCUGUUUCAAAUCCAAAUCCACUGGUCUACUAUUCAUUAUGACAAUGCAUAUGCCGAUAUUGUCUUCCAUCCUUUUUGUACCUUUCAAUUAGUGAGGUUUAGACAGGGGUUCCAGAUUUGGUAAAUCAACAAUCACCAGAUAUGUAGAGCGGCCGGAAGAGGAAGCAUGGUUCCUAAUCCUAAUCUUGAUUUAGAGCAGAUUAGGUAACAUGUGGCAUUCUACAUUCUUGCAAUGCCAUUUCUUGUUAUGGCAGCAGCAUUCUUGGUCAUGGCAUCACAAGCAAAUGCUUUGAUUUGAAGACUUGCUUGGCUAUGAAAAAUAAGGAGAGCAAAGGUAAUCAAUCUUGGUCUGAUCAACAUUUUUAUGGGGGUACUAAGAAAAAUAAAGAUAAUAUAAAGAAUGUUGUUGAGGAGUAUUUUCAUAUUUACACAAGUGUUCAAAGUAAAAAUUGAUUUCUUAAAACCCAUUAGCUAGCGCACAUAAUAAUGGGGAGAAAAUUUUAGACUACGAAUGGUCCCACCCAUUUAAUAAUAUUCUUCAAUCAAUUAUGUUUACUUCAAAAAAACAAACCCAUCUCUUUAUUACUUUCUAACUAUUCAUAUUAAUGUGUUAAUAAUUAUGAAGAACCGGUGUAAUUUAUAUGAUGUAGGAAGCACUUUAGGCAAAAUCAUUUGAAUCUAAAAAUUUCAUGAUAUUGUACCAAAUAUCCAAAACAGAGCUUCCUACAUUUCAUUGCGCUAGCUAAUUUCUUGUACCAAAAUUAGGAAUCAUUGAAGAGUGGAGUUACGUGACUGAAUAGUAUCAUAUCACAGAAACUCAAAACUCAAAAGUGCAAUAACAUUGAACAUUCAGCUGGCUAGCUUAUAUUAAUUAAUUAAUACUACUACUAGUUCUUUAUGAUUAAUUAAAAGAUAAAAUAUUUGACAAUCACAAAACAUUAUUCCAUCACUCAAGAGUAGAGCUUCCUACAUUGUUACCCAGCUCUUUUAUAUCUCCCAAACAUUAUUAGAGUCCCACAUUUGUGGCACAUCAUUAAGUAAAAUGUGCCAAUUAGGAAGAGCUGGCUUCUUUGUUUUGUUUUCUUGGAUGUGCUGCAAUUUUCAAGUAUCAUUCAAAAUUUUACGCCAUCAACACGGGAAAAUUAUAUAUAUUCUGUCAGCACUUGCAUAUGUUGCAAGUGCUGACAGAACUUUUCAUUUGAUUUGAUAAUUGGCUAAGGGUGAUUUCGAUAACGUUUCCAAAGAAGAUAUAGAACAUAGAUCAAAAAGAAAAAUAAGUAAUUUGAUCAGUAGAUGCAAAAAAUGAGCGAGCUUCGUAGUCUGACUAACAGGACAUGGCUUGGAGCAGGGAUCAAUGGACAAGUUUGAGGUUUAUGAAAUAUUGGGAAAACAGACAAAUAAUAAAGCCACUACAAGUUAAGCAGAUCAAAUAAACAGAACAGAGGAAAUAAGUGAUCAAUUUAUUACUUUGUGCAAUGGCCACAGCAACAGCGAAAAUAUGUCUACAUGACUACAUUAUCCGACUGGCAUGGUACUAUAACCGUGCAGCAUUACACUAACAUUUCCUUAUCAAUCAAUUUUGAUGGUAUGAUAUUAAAAACAUCGAUUUCAUAAUUUUAUGUAAUUCAAAGAAAAGAUAUAAUUGAUUUUAGUUAGUUUAACAUAUAAGGAAAGAGUAAUGGGGAAUGAUGUCGAUGUGGCACGUGAUGAGUAAAGAUAGACAACAAAUAUUGAUCAUGUAAUAAUGAAAUAUGUAUUUAUUGAAAAUAAAUUGACAAUUAAAAUUAAUAGAUAUAUAUCCAAUGCACCGAGUUUAUUUUAUCACUUCGCUAACCAUUUUGUAACUACAUGUUAAUUAGAAGUUGAAUUAAUUUUGACCAAAGACUCUAGAGAAUGUUGAAAAGAGAUUUGAUUUUUGUCUUUAAAAAUAUUAGAAAUGAAAUAAGUCAAAAUCAAUCACAAGAACAACAAUAAGAGCAUAUUUUGUAAAACCACAAAUACAUAUUAUAAAUUUAGUUUCGAAUUAGAUCAUUAUUAAUUUGUAUUGUAAGAGAGUCUUAUAGAAAAAUAUGAAUUUUUUAAAAGGAGAUUUGCUUAAGGAACAACUUUAGUUUGGUUUAAUUUGUGAAGGCUCAAGUAAUUGAAAGCAACGCAAUGGAAGGAAAUACAAGUUUGAUUUUGACAAAGUAAUCACUAAAAUAUUUGACAAGUUUGAGAUGUUAAAAAACUGGAAAAAUAGACAAAUAAAGAAAACCCUACAAGUUGGCAAAGCAAAUAAACAGAGGAAAACAGAGCAAAUAUUUACCGUUAUGCAUAUAUAUUUUUUAAAUUUCCGAAAAAGAAUGUUGCGAUAUUUUUUCCCAAAAAGAAGCACAGUUUGGCAUAUGUUGUGCUUUAUUUUAUUUUAUUUUAUUUUAUUGAAGUUACUUUGUAAACUGCUCCAGCAAUUUGUAUUUCCUUUCGGUGAGGUUGGUUUUUUUCUUUAAAUAAAAUUUCAGGGAUGAGAAUGCAAGUUUAGAAAGUACUGCAGCAACAAAGUGCAUUCAUAGCCAUAGCCGGUUACACUAUGUCUAGCUACAAUGCAAGUUUCACUUUUACUUAAUUAAAUAUACAAAAUUAAAUCACUUGAGCCUCUCGUUUCAUUAUACUUCAACUCAAAAUUAAAACGCAGAAUUGAUGGUAUUGGAGUUUCAUAUUUAAUUGUGCUGUAGUCAUGGGGAAUCAUAUGGCCAUCCAUUUUGACGUCUGUUUUAUGGCCAUCCCCACUAAGUAGCUUGGUCAUAUACAAUAUGUGUGUGCGUGUAUGUAUGUGUAUAUUGGGAUGUCAAAGGCCCUAAAAGAUAAAGCUGAACAUCAAUCCCAAAUCUAAAGUGAAAAACAGUAGCUGGAACAGAAUCUUUGUUUUGAUGUCUAAGCUCAAACAAUUGAUAGUAUAGAAAAUGCAUGAUAGAAUAGAGAACCCAUAUUUUAGCAAUAAUCCUAAGCUCACUGGCCCUUAGUUCAGAGUGGCAGUUCUUAUUCGUCAAAGAAUCAAAUUUACUUUUAGUUGUAUACAAGUAGAGCACUAGAUCAACAAAUAAUUGAAGACUUGCUUGGCUGUGGAACCAUAGGAAGGCAAUUCGUGAACAGCCUUGAUAUUUCAUUUGGUUUUAUCUAAUUCUUUGUAAAGUUGUCUUGUGUAUAAAAUUUUUGUUACAUGAAAUCGGUAGGUGAAGAGAAUUUUUAAAAGCAAACGUCAAAGUCACGAUCAAAGGGACGAAAUCAGUAUAAAUAUUGAUUGUCUCAAGUUAGAUUAUACAAAGAUGAAAUAAUGCUAAUCUAAAAAUUCGAUGAUUAUAAUUUGAUUUCCAUUAUAUUAAUUAUAUUCAAUCAUACUAUUUAAAUGAAGAACACUCCAGCAUUUAUAUACACUCAGCUUAUGAAAUUAAUUACAAAAUGAUAUUUGACAAAGUAUGAUGAAAAAGGUACAAAGUUAGACUUCCCGAUCAUGCAACCACCCAUCGAAUUGUGUAUUGUGUCAUCGUUGAGCUCUUAGAAGGAUUCAGCUGCUGAGGAGAAGAUAUAAUCGGUUUUUGUGUGAGAAGCUAUGUACUAUGCUUUUAUGGUGUUUCUCUUGGUAGUUGUCGGACAAACUGUAAUGUGAAUUUCUAUCUAAUGGGUAUCCUUUUAGUUAGUUUGGGAUUGUUGAUUUAUAUAUGAUGUUUGGUAUCUAAAAUUCAGAUGAUGAUAAUCUUGGCAGUACUUUUGUCAAAUUUUCUUGUGUUGUUGUUGGUUUAAUAAAAUAUCACAAAGGUGCAAAAUACAGUAAAAUUAACAUUAGAUAUAUUGAAAAAGAAAUUGACACAAGAAACUGAAAAUUAGUUGUUAAUUAUGAUGGGAAUAUAAUCUUGGUAUUUCAAUUAUAUCAUUUGCACUAAUCUCAUUGUGUCUAUCACUGAAAAGCAGAGUGGCUUGAUUAAAUAGUGUCAUAUUACGUCACAGCAAUCACAGAAACUUACCCAAAAGUGCAUGAGCAUUGAACAUUCAGCUAAUUUAUACUAAUUAAUUAAUAAUACUAACAAGAGAAGUUGGAUCUCGUCUUCUCUUGGAUAUAUCCGAUGACUUUGAGCUCUCCAGCCUCGCAACCGGAAAUGUUCUUCCUUCACAUUCGGUGAUUGUUUUUCAUUAUUGCGGCUACUUGACUCAAAUAUGCUAUUGCAAGAGGAGAUUUCUAUUUUGUCUGAUUUAAGCCAUAAGACGGGUUUCAAGGUUCAUUCUGAUUGUUUAUCUGUUAGCUUUUUUUGUUUUAAGAACUUCUUAUUUACGGAAGCAAAAUUCUCCUUUCCAGGAUGAUCUAGAUUUAGAAGUUGCUUUUGUCAUAUCAGACGAAGAGGCCAUCUUUAAGGCCUUGUCUAAGAUUGUUGAAUUUAGUAGAAGGGACUACUGCUCUGAUUGGUCAAAACUACUAUGGCUGUCUUUUUCAUGAGCUUCUAAUAUCGAAUCAGUUUUAAUGGUAUGAUAUUAAAAACAUCGAUUUCAUAAUUUUAUGUAAUUUCAUAGAAAAGAUAUAAUUGAUUUGAGUUAGUUUAACGUAUAAAGAAAGAGAGAUGGGGAAUAAUGUCGAUUUGGCAUGUGAUGCGUAAUAAUAGACACCAAAUAUUAAUAAUGUAAUAUUGAAAUAUAUAUUUGCUGAAAAAUAUUUGGCAAUAGAAUAAUGCUUUAAAAAUUUAAUAUUUUUUGCAAGAAAGUAAUUCGACAAUUAAAGUAAAAGAUGUAAAUGUUAUGCUUUCUUUUAUUUUCUUUUAUUGAAGUUACAUUGUAAACUGCUCGAAGCUAAAUACAAUAUUUACUCUUACACUAGGAUCUUUGCAAUGGUCUAGCAAUUUGUAUUCCUUUCGGUGAGGUUGGUUUUUUUCUUUAAAUAAAAUUUCAGGGAUGAGAAAUCUUAUCCAUUGAACAUCAACUUUGAAUUUUGUUAAUAUUCAAACUUAGAAAGUACUGCAGGAACAAAGUGCAUUCAUAGCCGGUUAAACUAUGUCUAGCUACAAUGCAAGUUUCACUUUUACUUAAUUAAAUAUACAAAAUUAAAUCACAUGAGCCUGUCGUUUCAUUAUACGUCAACUUAAAAUUAAAACGCAGAAUUGACGGUAUUGGAGUUUCAUAUUUAAUUUUUCUGUACUCAUGGGGAAUCAGAUGGCCAUCCAUUUUUACGUCUAUUUUAUGGCCAUCCCCACUAAGUAGCUUGGUCAUAUACAAUAUGUGUGUGCGUGUGUGUAUGUGUGUACUGGGAUGUCACAGGCCCUAAAAGAUAAAGCUGAACAUCAAUCCGAAAUCUAAAGUGAAAAACAGUACCUAGAACAGAAUCUUUGUUUUGAUGUCUGGAAAAUGCAUGAUAGAACAGAGAACUCAUAUUUUAGCAAUAAUCCUAAGCUCACUGGCCCUUAGUUCAAACUGGCAGUUCUUAUUAGUCAAAGAAUCAAAUUGACUUUUAGUUGUAUACAAGUAGAGCACUAGAUCAACAAAUAAUUGAAGACUUGCUUGGCUAUUGAACCAUAGGAAGGCAAUUCGUGAACAGCCUUGAUAUUUCAUUUGCUUUUAUCUAAUUCUCUGUAAAGUUGUCUUGUGUGUAAAAUUUUUGUUGCAUGAAAUCGGUAGGUGAAGAGAAUUUUUAAAAGCAAACAUCAAAGUCACGAUCAAAGGGACGAAAUCAGUAUAAAUAUUGAUUGUCUCAAGUUAGAUUAUGCAAAGAUGAAAUAAUGCUAAUCUAGAAAAUUCGAUCAUUAUAAUUUGAUUUCCAUUAUAUUAAUUAUGUUCAAUCUUGCUAUUUUAAUGAAAACACUCGAGGAUUUAUAGACACUCAGCUUAUGAAAUUAAUUACAAAACGAUCUUUGACCAAAUCUGAUGAAAAGAUCAUAUUAUAAGUGCAAAGUUAGACUUCCCGAUCAUGCAACUAUCUAUCGAAUUGUGGAUUGUGUUAUCGUUGAGCUCUUAGGAAGAUUCAGCUGCUGGGUAGAAGAUAUAAUCUGUUUUUAUGUGACAAGCCAUGUACUCUGCUUUUAUGGUGUUUCUCUUGGUAGUUUUUGGACAAACUGUAAUGUAAAUUUCUAUCUUAAGGGAUUCCUAAUCCUUUUAGUUAGUUUGGGAUUGUUGAUUUAUCUAUGAUGUUUGGUAUCCAAAAUUCAGGUGAUGAUAAUCUUGGCAGUACUUUUGUCAAAUUUUCUUUUAUGUUGGUGUUGUUUUAAUUAAAUAUCACAAAGGUGCAAAAUACGGUAAAAUUAACAUUGAGCUCAUGAGAUUGCCAUUAGAUAUAUUGAAAAAGAAAUUGAUACAAGAAACUGAAAAUUAGUUGUUAAUUAUGAUGGGAAUAUAAUCUUUGAAUUAUAAUUAUAUCUAUCUAACGCAUGUGCACUAAUCUUAUUUAUCUCUAUCACUGAAAAAGCAGAGUGGCCUGAUUGAAUAGUAUGAUAUUAUGUCACAGCAAUCACAAAAACUCACUCAACAUUAUGCUAAUUUAUACUAAUUAAUUAAUACGACUAACAGGAAAAGUUGGAUCUCGCCUUGCUAAAAAUCAGGUGAUUGUUUUUCAUUUUUGCGGCUACUUGACUCAAUUAUGUUAUUGCAAGAGGAGAUUUCUAUUUUGUCCGGUUUAAGCCAUAAGAUGGGUUUCAAGAUUCAUUCUGAUUGGUUAUCUGUUAGCUUUUUGUUUUAAGAACUUCUUAUUUACGAAAGCCAAAUUCUUCUUUCUAGGUUUAUUCAUAUUCAGAAGUUGCUUUUGUCAUAUCAGAAGAAGAGGCUAAGACUGUUUAAGUACUAGAAGGGACUACUGCGCUGAUUGUCUUUUUCAUGAGCUUCUAAUAUCCAAUGUUGAUUAACUCUUCCAUUUGAACAGGAGAGUAAUCAGAUAGUUGAUAUUUAUGUUAAAAAAGUUGGAAGCCACUUAAGCAAUUCAGUAUCAUGCGAGGACUAUAAUAACCCCGAUUCUUUUGCCUCUUGGAUUUUUGUGUUAAUUCACUUGCUGUAUGCUUAUCCGACCUCUGAUUUUUUCUUAAUCUUUCUUUGUAGUUCACUUCACAGCACUUAUAGCCGAUGCAUUGGCAUUUUCUGCUAUUUGUUAUUGUUCAUUGAAGCAAGUUAGCUUACGAGAUUUCUUUUUGAUAAAUGUUCUUCAGAGGGUUGUGAGAGGCCAAAUCAAUUGAGAUGACCGGGUUUUCUAGAUCAGCCAUCUUUGUCGUCAACAGUGCUAAACUGUCAAUUACUGAGACACCAAACUCUAACCUGAUUCAUAUGGAUGUAGACUAAAGCUUCUUGCCGAUACCAUCCCCAGUCAAAGCUGCUAUCUUUGAAAGUUUCGCAAGACAAAACAAUGUUGGUUUCCCAGUCGAUACAAAUACAGAUUUCAUAUAUGCAGAUUGCUCUCAAUCUCUGUUUAAUUAGCUAGUCCUCUGCUGUAUCCUAGAAGGUGGAACAAUACAUUAUGCUUCCCAGCAGGCUCCAAUGGGAUCUAUAUAUGUUUCUGCAGCCAAAUUUUUUAAAGCGAUCAUUGUGAAUAUCCCUACCCAGUCUGAAGUGGGCUUUGAUACUUGUUACAAUACUCGAUCGAGGCUGUAAAGAAGCUGUGGGUGUACAUUUCUGGCCCAACAAUCAAUCUAACUGGCUUACUUUACAGCAAAAAAGAGAUAGAGAAUAUAUUAACUGCUUGUGCAGAAUAUGGAGCAAGAGCUUAUUUAGUGUCGGGUCAAAAUAAAUAUAGCAAAGUUUUAGCUGAAUAUAAAUUGUUAAUUACAGGCAGAGCAAGUUGAGUUUAAAAAAUGCGAAACACCCAGUCCCAAAACAGAGAAGCUUGACGUUGGCCGGCAGGAUUAAUAUUAUUUUUUUUUAACAACAAUCAAAGCCAGUUGGGAAUUUAUUAAGAGGUUAAUUCGUUGAAGUAUAAAAAAGGAAUUAGCAGGAUUCACGCCCGACCAAAUCCACAUGUCCAAAGCAAAGGAUUAAGUUUGAGAGAUUAUAAUGAAAUAUAAGUAAGCGUCGUACAUGCAUGCGUCUGACUGACAGAACAAAUGAAGGAAACAUAAACUUAUCAUUUUUAAGAUGUAAGCAUCAAAACAAUCGACAAGUUUGAGGUUCGUGAGAUAUUGGGAAAAUAUACAAAUAAUAAAGCCACUACAAGUUAAGCAGAGCAAAUAAACAGAGGAAAUAACUGAUCAAUUUAGUUCUUUGUGCAAUGGCCACAGCAACAGAGAAAAUAUGCCUACACGACUACAUUAAUCCUACUGGCGUGGUACUAUCACCAUGCAAAUUAACAUUAACAUUUCAUCAUCAAUCAGUUCUGAUGACAUGAUAUCAAAAACAUUGAUUUCAUAAUUUUAUGUAAUUCAUAUAAAAGAUAUAUAUAGUCGAUUUGAGUUAGUUUAACAUAUGAAGAAAGAGUAAUGGGGAAUGAUAUCACUGUAGCGUGUGAUGAGUAAUGAAAGACACCAAAUAUGGAUCAUGUAAUAAUGAAAUAUGUAUUUACUGAAAAAUAUUUGGCAAUAAAAUGGUGCUUUAAAAAUUUAAUAUUGUUUGCUAAAAAAUAAUUUGACAAUUAAAAGUAAAAGAUGUAUAUGCAAAACUUUGACCUUAUUUUAUCACUUCACUAACCAUUUUGUAAGUACAUCUUAAAUCGAAGUUCAAUUAAUGCUGACGAAAGACUCCAGAGAAUGUCGAGAAGAGAUUUGAUUUUUGUAUACCAAAAAAUUACAGAUGAGAUAAGUUAAAAUCAAUUACAAGAACAACAAAAAGAAUACAUUUUAUAAAAGCCACAAAUACAUAAAAUAUAUAAUCAGUUUCGAAUUAAGUAAUUAUUAACUUAUAUAGUGAGAGAGUGUUAUAGGAAAGUUUGGAAUUUUUUAAAAGAGAUUUGCGAAGGAAAAAGUUUAGUUUAGUUUAGUUUGUGAAGGCUCAAGUAAUUCAAAGCAAUGCAAUUGAAGGAAAUAUAAACUUCUAAUUUUUACAAAGUAAUCGCUAAAAUAUUUGACAAGUUUGAGAUUUUCAAAAAGCUGAAAAAAAUAGACAAAUAAUGGAGACCCUACAGAUUGGUAGCGCAAAUAAACGGAGGAAAAUAGGGCAAACAUUUAUAUUUUCCAAAAAGAAUAAAAGCACGUGUCAAUUACCAAAUAACUUCCACUUUAAAAAAGAAUAAAUGCUAAUAUCAUUGUUAGCACAUGUUGUGCAUUUUUCAUUUAUUUAUUUAUUUCUUUGCUUUUACUUAUUGAAGUUACUUUGCAAACUGCUCCAAGCAAACUACAAAAUUUCUUCUCACUCUAGGAUCUUUGCAAUGGUCCUGCAAUUUGUUUUCCUUUCUAUUAGGUUAGCUUUUUAUUCCAAAAAAAAAAAAAAAAAAAUUGGGCAGAUGGAAACCUCACCCACUAAAUACAGAUUUUGAAUUUUAUUAUUAUUCAAAAUUAGAUAACUAUGCAAAUAAUGUGCGGUUAUAACCAGUGAAACUGUGUCUAGCUACGAUGCAGGUUUAAUUUUCACUUGAUUAAAUAUAAACAAAACUAAAUCACCUGGGCCUCUGGUUUCACUAUUUUUCAACUUGAAAUUAAAACGUAAAAAUUGAUGGUAUUGGAGUUCGUUGUUUAGUUUUGCUGUAGGUCAUGGGAAAUCAAAUGGCCAUCCAUUUUUAUGUCUAUUUUAUGUACUAUUGGUCACUAAGUAGCUUGGUCAUAUAUGUGUAUUGGGAUGUCAUGGGACCUAAAAGAUAAAGCUGAAAAUCAAUCCCCAAUCUAAAGCGGAAAACAGUAGCUAGAACAGAAUCUAUGGUUUGAUGUCUUAGUUUAUAGGCUUAAACAAUUAAUAGUACAGAAAAUGCAUGAUAGAACUCAUCUUUUAGCAAUAAUCAUCCGCUCACUGGCCGUCAGUUCAGAAUGACAAUUCUUAUUAGUCAAAGAAUCAAGAUGAUUUUUAGUUGUAUAUGAAUAGAGCACUAGAUCAACAAAUAAUUGAAGACUUGCUUGGCUGUUGAACCAUGCCGAUGGCAAUUCAAAGACUACAGCUUAGCUCUGCCAUUCAAAGUAAGCAACUCAGCUGCCCAAAGACUGCCAAGCCAUCAAGACAAUACCAAGAUACAACAUCAAGAAUCACGUACAGGCCGUCACAUAUUACAUUUGUCCUCUGUUUUAAGAGAGAUUUACGAACCCAUGCAGUAGGAGUAAUUAAUUAAUUUAUACGUUCAGUACUCAUUCCUCUUUCUUCUGUUUCAAAUCCAAAUCUAGUGCUCCAUCAUUUAUUAUGACGCAAGGUAUAUGGGUUAGCAUGUGUCGAUAUUGUCCUCCAUUCUUUGUGUACCUUUCUUCGAACAAGGGACAACCCGAGAUCUCCAAUCGCAAAAGAGAGGCAGGCAGGCCCUUCUCUGGAAAGUACUUGAGCUUGGGACAAUUACAGAGUUUGAUCAAAUGAGGUUUUAAUGAUCAACAAUUGAAGAAGACAGGCGUUCCAAAUUUAGUAAAUUAACAAUCACCAAAUAUGGUAGGGUGGCAGGCAGAGGAAGCGUGGUUCCUAAUCCUAAUCUUGAGUGAUAACUGGCUAUGUAACAUGUGGCAUUCUACAUUCUUGCAAUGCCAUUAAUUUCUUGUUAUGGCAGCAGCGUUCUUUCAUCAUGGCAUCACAAGCAAAUGUUUGAUUUGAAGACUUGCUUAGCUGAGGAAAAUAAGGAGAGCAAAGGUAAUUAAUUUUGGGGUGAUGAAUAUUUUUAUGGGUGUACUAAGAAAAAUAAAGAUAAUAGAAGUAAUGUUAUUGAGAAGCAUUUUGAUAUUUACAAAAGUGUUCAAAGAAAAAAGUUAUUUUUUGAAAUCUAUUUGCUGGUGCACAUAACAAAAGGGCAUUCUGAGUAAAUUUAAAACUACAAAUAGUCUCACUCUUUUAAUAAUAUUCAAUUAAUUCUGUUUAUUUCAAAAUAAAUAUUCUAUCUCUUUAUUACUUUCUAACUAGUCAUGCUAAUGUGCUAAUAAUUAUGAAGAACUAGUGUAAUUUAUAUGAUAUAAGAAGCCCUUUAGCACAUUAACCCGAAUUUAGCUAAUACAUGUGCCUAAUAUAGCGAAAUCAACAUUCAGCGCAUUAGAGUGCUAUUAUAUAUAUUGAGAAAGAAAUUAACACAAAAAACUGAAUAUUAAUUGACACUGGAUCAUGUUGGAUUGUCAGUUGUUAAUUAUGAUGGGAAUACAAUCUUCAUCAUUGCGGCUACUUGACUCAAUUAUGCUAUUGCAAGAGGAGAUUUAUAUUUUGUCUGGUUUAAGCCAUAAGAUGGGUUUCAAGAUUCAUUCUGAUUGGUUAUCUGUUAGCUUUUUGUUUUAAGAACUUCUUAUUUACGGAAGCCAAAUUCUUCUUUCCAGGUUGAUUCAGAUUCAGAAGUUGCUUUUGUCGUAUCAGAAGAAGAGGCCAUCUUUAAGGCCUUGUCUAACACUGUGGAAGUACUAGAAGGGACUACUGCGCUGAUUGUCUUUUUCAUGAGCUUCUCUUCCAUUUGAACACGAGAGUAAUCAGAUAGUUGACAUUUAUGUUUCAAAAGUUGGAAGCAACUUAAGCAAUUCAGUAUCAUGUGAGGACUAUAAUAAUAAGCCGAUUCUUUUGCUUGGAUUUUUUUGUUAAUUCACUCGCUGCAUGCUUAUCCCUCCUCUGAUUUUUCUUAAUAUUUCUCUGUAGUUCACUUCACAGCACUUUAGCCGCUACAUUGGUGAAAAGAUAUUAUGCUCAAAAUAUUUUCUUUGUAUAUCGAAGAACGAGAGAGUUACAAGCUUAUAUACAACUAUUAAGGUCAGCCAAAUCUCUUAGAGUAACGGCUAGACAGGCUGUCCUAUUUAUGACUACAUACAUUAAGGAAUGAAAUCAUUUGUACAUAAGGAAUAUUAAUAUUAUCAAGUGAUACUUGCUCAAAAUAAAGAUUGUGUCUAGAAUAAGGGAUUGCCGAUGCCAAAUCUUGCUGCUAAUAAUAUUCGGUGAGCUAUAGCUACUGAUUGUAUGGUUUAUCAUCCCCCCUCAAGCUGGUGUGCGGAAGCGGAAAAAUCCCAAGCUUGCGACGAAGAUUAAGAAACUGAAAUUUUGAGAGAGCCUUCGUGAAGACAUCGGCGAUCUGCUUAAAUGAAGGGACAUAAUGUGUAGAAAGCUGACCAGCAGUUACUUUCUCCCGAACAAAAUGAUAGUCCAGUUCUAUAUGUUUUGAUCGAGCAUGAAAAACUGGAUUUUUUGACAUGUGUAAAGCACUUUGAUUAUCACAUAGUAUCCUUGGGGGUUGAAGAAGAAAUAGGCCAAUGUCCAUAAACAAAUAAGUAAGCCAAGUGAUUUCAGCUGCAGUUGACGCCAUGGCACGGUAUUCAGCUUCUGCACUAGAACGGGAAACAGUUGGUUGUUUCUUAGAUGCCCAAGAUACACAAUUAGCACCAAUAUACACACAGUAACCGGUAGUGCUUCUUCUAGUGUCCUUGCAUCCAGCCCAAUCUGCAUCACAAAAGGCAACAAUUUUUAAAGGACUUUGAGAUGUAUAUCGAAUGCCAAAUUGAAUGGUUCCCUUUAGAUAUCGAAGUAUUCUCUUGACAGCUCGCAUAUUAGCCUCGUUGGGGGCUUGAAAGUUUUGACAAACUUUGUUUACAGCAUGUACAAUAUCAGGCCUAGUAAAGGUCAAAUAUUGUAAUGCUCCCACAAUGCUACGAUAUGUUGUUGGAUCGACUGGUGUAAGAUCAUUUGGAUGUUCUUGAGGUUUUACUGCAAUUGGAGUGGAGAGAUGUGUGCUGUCCAGCAUUUUAGUCCUGCAAAGUAGAUCAUAAGUAUAAUUUGUUUGAGAGAUAAAUAUGCCAUCAGAAAGAUAAUUUAUUUCAAGUCCUAAAAAAUAAUGUAAGGGGCCUAAAUCUUUGAUGGCAAACUCUUUGCUGAGAAGAGAGAUAAGUUUCUCUAAAAGUAGCUCAUUAUUUCCUGCAAGGACAAUAUCGUCAACAUAAACAAGCAUAAGAGUUAUAGUGUUGUGUGUGUGUAGGACAAAUAACGAAGAAUCUGCCUUACUGCAUUUGAAGCCAUUCUGAAGUAAAAAUUGAGACAACCUUUCAAACCAAGCACGAGGUGCUUGCUUUAGUCCAUAAAGUGAUCGCUUUAAUUUACAUACAUGGUUGGGAAAUCUAGCAUCUGUAAAUCCUGGAGGUUGUUCCAUGUAUAUUGUUUCUUUUAAGAAACCAUGAAGAAAUGCAUUCUUCACAUCAAGUUGUCGCAUCACCCAUUUUUCAGUUACAGCUAAGGAUAAAAUGACUCGAAUGGUGGUGUGUUUAAUAACCGGACUAAAGGUUUCUCCAAAGUCCAGUCCCGGUAUUUGAGUAUAUCCCUGUGCCACCAAUUGUGCUUUAUGUCGAUCAAGAGUUCCAUUUUUCUUGAAUUUAUUUUUGAACACCCAUUUUGAUCCUACAACAUUCAAGUCCUCUGGGCGAGGAACUAGAACCCAAGUCUCAUUAUGUUCAAGAGCUCGAAUUUCUUCUUCCAUAGCAGAUUUCCAAUGUGGCUGCUUAAUUGCGGAUUUCCAUGAUUUUGGCUCAACUUGAACAUUAAGUGCCAUUUGAUCAGCAAGUUCAGGAUUAUUUUUCAAUCGACGCCUUGUGAUCAUAUGGUGAGGAGCUGUCAAGUUUUGAUUUGAUGAUGAUGACUGAGAAGAGUGCCCGCUUUCAUGUGGUAUUCUUAGGUCCACAUAGAUGUUGAUUCCUUCUGGACUGGUCUCUGAAGAAUUUGCUGUGACAUCUUGAGUGCUUUCUUUAGAGUUAUCUGAUCUUGUGGGCUCAAUAGCGUCUGACACCACCAAAGGAAUGUCAUCACUUGUUAUAGGAAUAUUAAUAUUAUCAAGUGAUACUUGCUCAAAAUAAAGAUUGUGUCUAGAAUAAGGGAUUGCCGAUGCCAAAUCUUGCUGCUAAUAAUAUUCGGUGAGCUAUAGCUACUGAUUGUAUGGUUUAUCAAUUGGCAUUUAAAUGCUAUUUGUUAUUGUUCCUUGAAGCAAGUUAACUUAUGGAAUUGCUUUUUGGUAAAUGUUCUUCACAGGACUGUGAAAGGCCAAAACAACUGAGAUGACCGGGUUUUCUAGAUCAGCCAUCUCUGUCCUCAACAGGGCUGAACUGUCAAUUACUGAGACACCAAACUCUAACCUGAUUCAUAUGGAUGUAGACUAAAGCUUCUUGCCGAAACCAUCCCCAAUCAAAGCUGCUAUCUUUCAAAGUUCUGCAAGAGAAAACAUGUCUGAGUCAGACAUUGACGUCCCCCCAAGAAUCAAACAGUAUAUCAAGAGCAAUGUUGGUUUCCCAGUCGAUACAAAUGCAGAAUUCAUAUAUGCAGAUUGCUCUCAAUCUCUGUUUAAUAAGCUAGUCCUCUGCUGUAUCCUACAAAGUGGAACAAUACAUUAUGCUUCCCAGCAGACUCCAAUGGGAAGCAUGUUUCUGCUGCCAAAUUUUUGAAAGCUAUCAUUGUGAAUAUCCCUCCCCAGUCUGAAGUGGGCUUUGAUACUUGUGACAAUACUCGAUCGAGACUGUAAAGAAGCCGUGGGUGUACAUUUCUGGUCCAACAAUCAAUCCAACUGGCUUGCUUUUACAGCAGGAAAGAGAUAGAGAAUAUAUUAACUGUUUGUGCAGAAUAUGGGGCAAGAGCUUGUUUAGUUAUUAUAGAUAUUUAAUAAAAUAAUAACACGAUUAAUAUGUUACUAAACAAAUAAACACAAUUGAAAUAGCCGUAAUGUGAAAACAAAACAACUCCAUUGUUUUUGUGUUUUUUUGUAAAUUCUUGUCAUUUAGAGUUUUUUGGGCUUUACUGCAUCAAUUAUUUGGUGUUUAUCUUGUUUUAUUCUUUUACGAUGUAAGAUUCUUGGUAGUGAUACAUCUGGAAUAAGAGUGAAAUCGCAAUCUUACAAUUUGGAGAAAUGAACUGCGAUAUGAUACUUCAUGAAAAAAAGAUUUAAUUUAUUAUUUCUACUACUAAAAACUAUUAAUUCAUCAAACCAUCAAGAUUUUUUUUCUUUUUUUUUUUUGAAUUCAACCCAUCAAUCUUUGUUUGUAACUGCCAGACCGUCAGUUUCUUUCUAUCACUAUGCAACAUUACAUUAACAUUUCCUCAUCAAUCAAUUUUGAUGGUCUGAUAUUGAAAACGUCGAUUUCAUAAUUUUGUGUAAUUGCAUAGAAAAUAUGUAAUUUCAUAAUGAAAGAGUAAUGGGGAAUGAUAUCACUGUGGCGUUUGAUGAGUAAUGAUAGACAACAAAUAUGGAUCAUGUAAUAAUGAAAUAUGUAUUUAUUGAAAAAAAUUUUGCAACAAAAUGAUGCUUUAAAAAUUUAAUAUUAUUUGCUAGAAAUAAUUUGACAAUUAAAAGUAAAAGAUAUAUUUGCAAUCCUUCGAGUUUAUUUUAUCACUUCACUGACCAUUUUGUAACUACAUGUUAAAUAGAAGUUCAAUUAAUAGAAGUUCAAUUAAUCGUCGUCUUCGACCUUUACACGGUCCUCCCCUUCCAGCCUCUCUGAAUUUCUACUGAUCAUCACUCCCCACCAGCCAACCAGCUUCUCUAUGCUACCUUCUAGAAUUCUAAAGACUUUAAUUAACUUCUAGACUUGUUUCUGGGUUUAAUCAAUUUGCUCCCCCCCAGUUUCCAUGUAAAAAUUCUGCUUAAUUUAAUUAAUUGUUAAUUAACAAAUAACAGAAACGCUAAUUUUCGCGCAAGUUUCAACAUUACUUACUUGGUUGCCUUCUGUUCUCCUGUUUGCGUCUCUGUCUUCCAUUACGAGCACCCAAAGAGGUAUAAUCAACGGUUUGCGAGAUAGCUGCGACUGCAGUAGGUGCCAGCGUCGAUCAUCAACAUGGCGGUGCACGGUAGAAUUAGGUGAGGAGAGAUGGAGAGGUAUAAUCAACGGUUGCUGAUCAAAUUUGAAACUUUCCAGCGAACCGACGGUGAUGACGAGAUUGAUUCCGAUUAUAAAUCCUGUGCAUAUCUUGCAUAUUGAGUCUAUGUAAUCGUGACCGUCAGAUCGGAUUUUUAUGAUCGUAUGGCUGGUGUUAGUGGGCGCUACGUUGGAGCUGAUCCAACAUAGCCGAACCCUUCAAAUAAAUAGAACUUUUGUGUCAGUCAAACUUACUUCAUUAAUAUUCUUCAUCAUUAUGGUUAAGCCAAAAUAAAACACUUUCUCUUGUAUUAACCUUUGCUAGUCGUCGAAAUUAAAAAUUUUUAGAACAAGUUAAAACAGUUCCAACUCAAAAUCAUUAGUGCGCAAUUGGGUUGUUAUAAAUAUUUCUGAAUUUCAGUCUAAUUUGAAUUAUUUAAUUGUGUAUGCACAAACUAGUUUUAUCACUUUUUUCGUAUUGAUACCCAAAAAUUUCAACCUUAUUUUAUAUUGAUGCACAAUCUAACUUAACAAAAAUAAUAUUCAAAUUGUCUCAAUUUUUUUUAAAAAAAAUUAUAUACAAAGUUAAGUUUUCUUCUUCUCUAAGAUCUAGCUCUAUACUAAGUUUUCUUCUUCUCUAGGAUCUAGCUCUAUACCCCUCUUCUUUGUCGUUAUGCUGCUCAGUCGUUAGAUUUGAAUUAUGUUAAUCUAACGGUCCGGAUUUGUAAUGAAUAAUAUUAAAUGCACCGGUAUAUGGAUGUACAAUUUUGGUAAAUUCAUCUCAUAUAUUAGAGUCUUUUGGUUUUAUGACGAAAGAGUCAUGGUAGCGAUGUAUCUAGAGUAAAAAUAUUUAAUUUAUUUUUCCUUGUUAUUAGCAAAAAUUAUUAUUAAUUAAUCAGCCUAUCGAGAUAUAUUGGUUUCAUUUGUUACAACUAGCCAAUUGCUUAAUACGGUUUUGUACGUCUCACUAUGAAAUCAUGAAGUACUUGUAAAUAAAAUCAUAGGUGUGGUAUGUUGUGAUGUGAUAAAUUUAAAUACAAAUCUUAAUUACGUUGUGAUGUGAUAAAUUUAAUUCAUAUCUAAAAAUUAAGAGAUGAUUCAUAUAUAGGUACAUACUUAAUAAAGAUAUUUAAAUACAAGCAUUCAAUUCCAUGAUACACCUAACGAUCAAGGGGACUGAAUAGAAAUAGAUGUAAAAAGUCAAAUAGAUGAACAAGUACACAUGAUGAUUUAUUAAAUAAAAAAUUAAAUUUAUAUCCUUUUUAAUAAGUGUGAAAUUAUUUACACUCUAAUAUUUAUUUAAAACACUCAUAAUUUUUUAUUACUAAAAACUUCAUAAUUCAAUCUAUAAAUAAGAACAAUUCAAUAUAAGUAAAUAGGACAAUAAUAUUUUUGACAUUCAUAUAUCUAACGUUCACACACCCAUGUAAAAUUGCUAAACCUUAAAUCGUAGAACGUUCUUCAAAACUCAUCAAUUAUUUAAAAGUAUAUUUAACAAAUUUGCAAGACACAGACUCCAUGUUUCUAAUUUCUUUGGCUUUAGAUUUCAAUUUUUGUUGAACAUAUAUCUAUUCCAUAUAAAGAGUUUCUGAAUUUUUAAUUUCUCUGCCAAAGAGGUUCUAUGGGAAUAAACAACUGUUAAAAACAAAUAAAAAAUCAGAUACAAGUGUAGAAUAUACUCAUUAAAUUUUAAUUCUUUGCACAGACACGACCUGCAUAUAUACACAAAUAACUGUUCUACGAAUAUGUAGAAGCAAUCUCAACUGUCCAUUUUUUUUUUGAAAUUUUAACGAAUAUAAAUUUUAUAUGUUGGAUAACUAUGGAAAAUAAGAUUAGGAAAAUAAUAUUAUCAACAACUAGGGAGAGAAAAGGCAGUUAAUAUUAGUGCAAUGAAUAUUUUUAUGGGUCUAAUAAGAAAAAUAAAGAUAAUAAAAGGAAUGCUAUUGAUAAUAUUAAUAGCAUUCUUUCAUAUGAUGCACAAAUUACCUUAAUCACUUCUUUCAUAUAAAUACUCAUAAAUUUCAUCUAAAUUAUAAAAAAGGGAAGAAAAAAAAAUCAUAUAGUUAAUUUUUCUUCUUCUUUACCCCAUUAUUCAGUGGGAGUAUUGUUGCAAUGAUAAGAACUCCGGCAAGUGCUUAUUUCGGAUACAUGUGUGGCAUUCAUUAAGGAAUGAUAAGAACGCCGGUGACCAAGAAUAAAUGAAUUUAUUUGUAUUUUAACAUCAACAAAAUUUUUCCAUUCCGGAUAUUUAUCAUUUUCUCGUUAAAAAAAAUUGCAUAAAAUUAAGAAAGCAGCAGUCCCUGAACGGGAGAAACAGAGUAAGGGAGUUCAAAUUUCAAAAGAUGGAACCCCGUAGAAGAAGCCCUAGCAACAAUCCCAGAAGAAGAAGAAGAUGGUGAUGAAGACACGGCCAUGCCCAACGUUAAGCACAACCCUGCAAAAAAAAAAAAAAAACAAAAGACAACUCUUCGGACUCGAGCGAUGCUCUGACUCCGACUAGGAUUCUGACUCAGAAGACGAAGCAAAACAGAACAUGGAGCUUCAAAACCUAGAGUUUCAGCUAUCCAGUGAACCUUUCAAUUACGACAACCAUGUUCAAGUAACCUCAAUACGCAUACUUAUUGGGUGAUUUUGUGGAUGCCCAUUCGCUUUUCUUUCUUAGUUGGGUUGCGAUAAAAAUGGCUUUUUUUCUUUCAGUAUAUAAAGGUUUUGAGAAAAAUGGGUGAGAUGGAGAAGCUGAGACAAGCUAGGGAAGCGAUGAAGAGAUUUUUCCAUUGACUCCUGCUAUGCGGCAAUAAUGGGCGAGAGAUGAAACCUCUAUUUCAACUGGGUAUCUGUCAUUUCCUUUUUGCAGUGGUUUUCGAUUUUGUGAACAAAUAUUUUUUCGCUUAGAGAUAUAGAUGUUUAUAUUCGUUAUUUGCUAGUGUAAAAAGGAACAAAACCUGCUUAAAAGGUGUUAAAGAAAGAAAAAGGAACCAAUUUGCAGAAGGGGAUACUUAUAGUGGGAGUUCUAUUCUUUGGGGUUUAAUUGAUGGGAGAAGAAACAGCUUAUAUGUUUACAGAAUUAGACAUUUGAUCGCUGAGUUAGUUGAGGAAGAUAUUUAAUCACAAUGUCUGAUGUUGUUUCUGUUGGCCUCAGCUAAUUUUUAAGAUUUCAUGCUUUCAUUCAACAAAGCAAUAGGCUUUCGUUGGGUCCAACUUAGUUGGGUGUUCUGAGCAACCAAUGAGUGUCUUGAGAAAACUUGGGUGGAGUUCGGAUCAUUUUCAGGAUUUAGUUUCCAAGAAAACAAAAACGAAGUCGUAGUCGUAGUCAUAGUUUAAAUUAAUUCAUGUUUUGUCUUUUUCUGUGAGCCCAGUGAGCUUUUGUUUUCACUUUGUUCUCUUUUGCUUCUUUCCCUUCUUUUCCUACUGUUUCUUGACAAUCAAGCAGAUCAGGAUUAAGUGUUUACUUUUGGUGUAAUUAUUCUCUCUAACUCGAAUAAUACAUAGGUUUAGUGCUAUCAAAAUUGGAAGUGAAUUAAUAUCUGAAGCUGACUUGGGAGUGGAAUGUAUGUUACUAAAAAUAUGCUAUAUGGUAGAUAGAAUUUGCUUUUUAGGUAAGACUAAAAUAAUUACCGCUGUUAAUUUAUUUCAAUAAGUUCGUACAUCAUUCAAUAAUAAGUCCAAGAUUUUAAUAGUUUUGUUUCCUGAAAAUUUGUCAUCAGUGCAUGAACAAAGUUCAAUGGAUGAACUUCUCUUAGUUAAUUUGAGCUCUUUAUGAAACACUAAUCUUGCUCUGUACUUUGGAGCAUUUUAAUAAUUGAUGUUAAGAUUUGCUAAUGUAAAAAGGAAAAAAACCUGCUUAAAGGUAUUAAAGAAAGAAAAAAGGAACCAAUUUGCAGAAGGAGAUACUUAUAGUGGGAGUUCUAUUCUUUGGGGUUUAAUUGAUGGGAAGAAGAAAUAGCUUAUAUGUUUACAGAAUUAGACAUUUGAUCACUGAGCUAGUUAAAGAAGAUAAUUAAUCACAAUGUCUGAUGUUAUUUCUGUUGGCCUCAGCUAAUUGUUAAGAUUUCUUACUUUUUUCUGGUUUUUCAUAACUGUGACCUAAAGCUUAAUGUAUACUUUGAUAAUUACAUAACCGGUUUCUUGCUGAUACUUUUCUUUCAUUUGUAGACCUGAGGCUCUUUUGGGAGUUGAGAAGAUUUACGAAAGAGGAGUUUCUAAUUAUCUGGUUUGUUCUCUUUAUGCCUACAGAAUUUGAAUUCAUACUAUGCAUGGAUUUAUAAUUCUUUUUUUUUUUUUUAAUUUUGAGAAAGAUUUUAUGAAAUUGAAGCAUUAUAGUAAAGCGUACCACUCACAAGCUUGAUUCACUUUGUUUUUUUUUACUACCAAGAGGUGCUAACAGUUCAUGGUGCACAAAAAGAGGUGGGGAAAAAAAGAAAUCUUCUUGCUAGAUACAUAAAUUUUAAUAUUUGAAUCAUUUUCAACCAAAGAAAUGUGCUGAAGAGCAGCAUUUUUGUUUAUAUCAAAGUUCAAUUGCAUCUUAUAUCAUCUGUUUCCAUCUCCUUCAUGGUAAAUAAAGUCCUUGAUGAUGACAAUAAGAAACACAGAAGAAGUUGUUAAUUUCAUAUCUGGAGAUUUUCAUCAUAGUAGUUCAUUGAAAGUGAAGGCAGCUGAAUACACUUUUUUCUGAUGCAGUCUGUCCCUCUUUGGUGUGAUUAUUUGAAAUUUGUGCAAGAAUAUGAUCCAUUUAUACACGAAUGUGCCUAAUAAAAUAUCACAAAGGUGCCUAAUACAGUGAAAUUAACAUAUUCAUCUCAUGAGAUUGCCAUUAUAUAUAUUGAAAAAGAAAUUAAUACAAGAAACUGAAAAUUAAUUGACACUGGAUCAUGUUGGAUUGUUAGUUAAUUAUGAUGGGAAUAUAAUCUUGAUCUUUUAAUUAUCAUCUAGCUAAUGCAUGUGCACUUUCAUUUGUGUCUAUCACUGAAGAAUAAAGUUGCUUGAUUGAACAACAUCAUAUGACAGAAACUCAAAACUCAAUUUCGUUGCCCGAGCAUAUCAUGCCAUAUUUAGCUCAAAAGUACAAUUAACGUUGAACAUUCAGCUAGCUAGCUCAUACUAAUUAAUUUAUAGGAUUGCUAGUUCUUUAUGAUUAACUAAAAGAGAAAAUAUUUGACAAUUACGAAAACAACAACAAUUCACUCCCAUAAACAACAUAAUAGAUACAUGGUCUAUAUUGCAAGUCUUUUUAUGAUUUUAAUUAAAAGAGAAAAUGCAAAGGAAAUAUUAUAUAUAAUUGAAUGUUCUCCUUGAUAAUUAGACAAAAUGACACCAAUCUGGCUAACUAAUACAAUCAUCAUAAUUAUCCGAUUUUCAUUUUAAUUAUGUCCAAUCAUGCUAAUUUAAUAAAGAACACUGAAUACAUGAGUAUUUAUAUGUUCAACAACUUUGGCUUAUGCAAAAUAUAAGAGCUGCAUUUAUGCUUUGUGUUAUUAAGUAGGACAUGACCAUAUUAUGUUGCAUUUGUCAGAAAACUGAAACAGGAGAAUGUGACAUCUGUGUAUUGUCUUUUACUUCCAGUAAGUGAAUCACAUGUUCUUCACGUGAUUUGACAUACUUUUAGACGGAUUUGGCAGUUGUUUUGGUCACUUAUUGAAGCACGAGUUAAGCACGUGAUUGAAGGUUGUUAACUGACCGUUAUAAGGUGGGAAAAUUCUGGGUUUGUUACGACAAACCCAGAAGGCAGCUGGUGAGUGGGGGACGUUUCUAGAUUCUACAUCAUCUGUAUAUAUGGUCUUAGAGGCUAUAGUUGGGCCAUAUGAAAAGCUCCUAACUUCUUAAUGUUUGUAGCUUGUUCUUGGUGAUUGAAAUAAGAUUAUUACUCCGCCCCUCUGUUUUGCUUGUUUCUGUUCUUAUUCUUGUGAGGUGUGUGAUUUGUUUAUCAUUUCUAAAUCAUCAAUUAGAGAGAUCAACGAGAUCUUGGUGGUUUUAGAUUGAGUUUAAUCGAUCAAGAAUCAAUAAGAUGUAAUGAAAACAAAAUGACAGAAUAAUGCACGCACAUCACAGCAAUGUUUCAUUCAUUUUGAAUCUGUAUAUACAAAACUUGUAUCUGACAGUUUACAUUUGUUUAAUCUAGCGCUGUAACAUGCGUACCAUCAAAAGCUACAGCCGCCAUCUUUGUUUGUCCUCGUAGCAUCCUUGAUCUUAUUUUAUCCUGGUGAUUCUUGAAAGUUCAUCUCAUUCUCAUGUGCUGAGUCACUUGCUGAGAUGAUGAAUACUUGAGGGUCCUUCCUUGAGACAUUUCAGCAGAAACCUGAUUCAUUCUAUCAAACAUCUGCAUCACUAAUCACUAAAUGAUGUAAGAUAGUUCUGUUUUGAAAUAUUAAUAUGCAUGCAUCCCCCGCGUUAGUAAGAGCUACUUGUCAUCUUCUAUUUUCUUUUAGGUACAGUUUUGAAUUUUUAAUCAAUCAGAUUCAGCUGCAUGUUUGCUUUUAGUCCAAACUGAAAUCACAUAUUAAGUAUUUUUGCUAGAAUGGAUGCAAAAACCUGAUCACACUCAACAUUCCAGGGUUGAAGAAAGAUGAUAUGAAGAUUGAAGUUGAACAGAACAGGGUACUGAAAGUGAGUGGGGAGAGGAAGAGUGAUGACGAUGAGGAAGUUGAAGGAGAGAAAUGGCACAGAGCCGUGAGAACAUUGGGCAAGUUUUGGAGGCUGUUUAGGAUGCCAAUGAGUGCUGACUUGGAACAUGUUAAGGCUCAUUUGGAAAAUGGUGUUAUGAGGAUCACAGUGCCAAAGCUUGCUGAGGAGAAGAAGAGGCAGCCCAAGGUUAUUAACAUUGAUGAAGAGUCCGGUAAUUCUUCCGGUGAAGAUAGUAAGGCCACCAAGGCUCAAAUGUAACUGAUUAAAGAAAGAAGUGUUUGCUUUGCUUUAUGUGCCAUUUGUUUUGUGAUCGUCUCAUGGUUUUGUUGUGUGAUGCUUCUCUUUAGAUGUGUUGUUUAUUGUAUUUUGGUGGAUUUUUGAGGAUGGCUGUAUGUAUUAGCAACAACAAGGUGCUUUUUAUAAAUCCAGGUUCUAAUUUUGUAAAAGAAAUUAAUACUCUCGGUUUAUUGUUAAUAAAAAAGAAAAAAGAAAAAACCUUUUUUUUGUGGCAUAUAUUAUGCAUUUUAAGAAAGAAAAAAAAAUCACAUUCCAAUUCAUGAAAGACAUUCCUUCUGUCAUACUGAUGUGUUAAUAGAAAGAUUUAUGUGAAUUAUAACAAUUUUGAUGAAUCUAAAUAUUUAAUAACUGAUAAAUUGUAUUUAUAAAUAUUAAUACCGGUAGCACAUAAGCACUUAAUUCAAGAACUCGCCUAUAGUGCAUUAAUUUAAAGAGUAGAAAUAUUUAAUAAAUCAUGCUCGGUUUACUAUUAAUUAAUCAAAUUUAAUUUACUCAAAUAUACUCCUCUACAUGAUCAAAGUAAUUUCAAAUAUACAACACACAAAAAUGGAAAUGACUUUGAAAUAUAAAAUAUUUAAAAUAAUCACCCCGCUAACAAUUCACCAGCUAGAUUAUAAAUAGUCAAAAUAAUGAUAAUCUAGGGGGUCCAGUCAUAAUAAUUUGAUUUUUAUUUAUAUUAAUUAUAUCAGAAAGAGUACUCGAGAUUAUAUAUAUAUCCAACAGCUAAAAUUUCAAAAUAAUAUUUGCCAAAGUCUGAUGAAGAGAAUACAUAUAUAUAUAUAUAUAUAUAUAUAUAUAUAUAUAUAUCAUGCACUCGCACACAUUCUAUUGUUUAAUUAAAAAAUUCGAAAGCCCAUUUUAUACAUGAUAAAGACUCACCGACACCGAACCAUAUUCAUUUAAAGGAAUUGCUUUCAACUAAGAUUUGAAAUUAUAUACACAAACACACCCGAUUUUUUUUUUUAAAAAUUACUAAUAAUAAAAUAUUUCAGUCGUCCUCUGUUCAGCCGUCAAAAACCCAUUUAUAUAUCCAACAGAUAAGAUGUCAAAACAAAUUUUGCCGAAAGCAAAAAGUCUGGUGAAAAGAAAUGUUAUGUACAUAUAACCGUACAGGCGCAGCAGAAGGAUAAGUCAAAGAAAAACGAAGUUUCAAUAAGAAAUUAAUUACACAUUUACACUCAAUAAGAAAUCAAUUCAUUACUUUCUAGCGCUUUUAUUUAAAAAGCGCAGUCUAUUUUUUAAUAAAAAAAAUUCGGAAACCGAUUACAUGAUAAAAAACUCACCGACACCGAACCUUAUUAAUUUAAAAUAGUUUUCAACUAAGAUUUGAAAUUACAUUCACAAACACACCCAACUAAAAAAGAAAAAUUCUAAUAAUAAAACAUUUCAGUCAUCAAAAACCCAUUUAUAUAUCUAUAUCAACAUGCGGUAUAUGGGUUAACAAGUCCCAAUAUUGUCCUCCAUCCUUUCUGCACUUCUCUUCUAUCAACGGACAAUUCACGAUUCUUAAUUUCAAAAGUGAGGAAGGCAGGCCCUUCUCCGGGAAGUAUUUGAGCUUGGGACAUCCCCAAAGAACCAAUUCAGUGAGGUUUUGAAGAUCAACAAUUGAAGAAGAUAGGCGUUCCAGAUUUGGAAAAAAUAAAAUAUGCAGAGAUGUUAGAGAGGCAGGAAGAGGAAGCGUGGUCCCCAAUCUUAUGUCCUCCGGUGGGAAUGACACCAUGUCGUCAUCACAAUUCAUGAUUGUAAGUUGUCGCAGAGAGGAGAAUCUGUGAAAUCCCCGGCCCCGCUCAAUCAUUGACUUCCAAAUCUUCGUAUUACCAUCAAUCUCCAGUGAAUGAAGGUUGGUGGGAAGGCCAUCUUCUUCAAGGCUUGGAAGCUCAACUCCUUUUAUUGUUAAUUCUUGAAGAGAGGUCAGAUUGUGCAAUCCCUUGGGUAAGGCCUCUAGUCUCUCACAAUAAGAUGUCUCCAGCGUCCUGAGUUUCGCACAAGGCAAUCCCCCUUCGGGAAAGGACACCAGAUUUUCACAUGCCCAUAUUUUGAUCUCUUGAAGCUGGCGGAGAUUAUGUAAACCACUCGGUAAAAUUUUCAGAUUUCCACAAUUAGAAAUGUCGAUUGUUUCAAGAGAUGUGUUGUUGUCCAACCUUUCUGCUAUUGACUCCAGCUUUGAACAAAACCAAACAGAAAGGGACUUAAGAGACGGAGGUAGAUUGCCAACUUCAAGGGACUCAAGCGUGGCAGGUAACUCGUUUUUUGAAAAUAUACAUGUCAGAGAGUCACAACUGUCAAUGUGUAAGUGCUCAAGAAGAGAUGAGGUGUACCUUCUGCUGCUGCUCUGGACGCCCUCUUCCACUGUCAAAGUCCUUAUAUUAUCACAAUCCUGGAUGUCCAACCUCUUAAGGCUCGGUGGUAGCUGGACUUCAGCAAUAUAUCUCAACGAAUGGCAGUCCAAAAUCCUCAAGAUCUCAAGAGAUGAAUUGGUGUCGCACAUCCAUGCCUCUGGUAACGAUUUCAGUGCAUCACAAUGCCAAAUAUCAAUUUCCCUCAACUUGGAAGGCAGAGCAAUCUCAGGGAAGGAAACAAGGGAACUGCACCCGGUGAUUUGUAUAUUUCUCAAGGAACUCAGGCUGAGCGAUGAUUGUGGCAGCUUCACAAGGCCUUGGCAGUCGCUCAAUCUUAGAUAUUCGAGUCUGCAUGACAACUCGUAGAGCUGCUGUUGUUGGUCUUUCUCUUCCUCCGCCACCAAGGAUUGAAGUUUGGGACAGCUGUCAAUCGUCAAUCUUUUGAGAGAUCUAAUGUCUUGUAGUAAUUCGUUAUGACUCUUCCAUAUAUAUGUCUGCUCUUUCAUAUCAUUUAUCUCCAAUUCUUCCAAUUUUGGUAGUCGCGGCUUCAAUGGCCCUGUGAGAAAUACUUGAUUUGAGGUAUCUCCACAAACCACUGAAUUCUGUGACCCGAGAUGAUCAGUUGAACUUCUCCACACAACCUUUUUACAUCCAUAAAUCUUUAGUUUGCAAAGAGCUGGAAGACACGUAAUCGAAACUAACAAUUCUUCACAUUUUUCAAUAGCAAGCAUCUCCAAUGCAGGAAGGUGUUCUGGAAACGUUCCUUGCAGUUUAGAACAUCUUAUAACAUGAAGCUCUCUCAAUUUGGGAAAUCCUUCAACUCCCCGACUGGAUCCAUGAGGAAUCCAAUCUUCCCAUUCUUCCAUGUCUUCAAAACGAAGAGUCUCCAAGCAUGCAAAAGGAGUUGAAGAAUCAUUCCCAUAGAACUCUGAGCCCAAUCUCUUUACUUUACUCAUUCCACUCACUGCAAGAUGCUUUAGAGAGGGCAGUUGCCCGACUGAUGGCCAUAUAGUACACAUACCACAAUCUUCAAAUUUUAGGAUCACUAAAUUUGAGAAUGAGGAAUCUCCUAACCAAGUUGGAAAUUUUGUGCCCCCAUAGCCACUGAUACAAAAUUGUUUUAGAUUUUUAUGGGGUUUUAGCAUGUCAAGCACGCCCUUUUCAGUUUCAGCCUCCCUUGAAGAUGAACCAUCGGCACUGCGAGUCCAUUGAAGCAUUAACACCUCAAGAUUCUUCUUUCCAUCCAUUUGAGCCUCCAUGGCAUCACCAACGCAUUUUACAUUCUCCAAUUUUGAAAUGUUAAGUGUCCCAUGAAGGUGCGUCAACAACUUUAGCUCUCGUAACCCGGAACCACUGCCUUUUCCCACAACAAAAUUACACAACGUCUGAAGACUAGUCAACCUACCAAUUCCUACUGGCAUUUCCUCCAACGACUUCGUAUUUGAAUUCUUAAGAUGAUGCAAUUUGGCGAGGUUUCCCAUGUCUGCACACAACUUCUUCAGCCGAUCACAAUCUUCCAACAAAAGACUGUGCAAAUUGUAAAGCUUGUUGACUGAUUCAGGCAGAGUUCUAAUUUCAGUUCCAGAUAG
Molecule: long non-coding RNA, 95557 nt
Filed under: Citrus maxima (pomelo)
Lineage: Eukaryota; Viridiplantae; Streptophyta; Magnoliopsida; Sapindales; Rutaceae
Description: long non-coding RNA (CMAX_LNC004142)
Source: RNAcentral